UCAGUUGGUGAUCAUCCGCUUCGAGGAGCUCAGAAAUUAGAUGGUUCUUGGGCUGGUCAAUGCCAACUAAUUUAGCUUCUUCCACAAGCAGCGCAUCAUCUCUGCUAUAGCGCCAGGUUGUGUUGUUCACAGCCGAAAGUGAGUUGGACGCUUGGGCAGAGAUACCAUAUUCGGAUUGGUAUCUUUGAUGACCUUCAGAAAUACUUUUGAUUCUGGACUGGAUGCUUUGUAUUUCGCUAGCAACUCGAUGACGAGCUCUCAAAUUCUUGAUGGAGCUGAAAAUUCUCCGAACAGAGCCGUAGAAUCCUGUUGCGGGAUGCCGAGCAAAGCGAGCUACAAAUUCAUCAAGAAUGUCCUCAGUGUCAUAAGCAGCAUCUCGCACUUGCUUGAUCCAUUGUUGGAGCGUGGGUUGAGCAUCUUCUUCUUUUGCUUCUGCCUCUCGCAGGAAAGCUCUCAUUUGCUCCAACUCAUCCCUGAUGAAUUGGACCUCUCGCCGACGCCGUCCCAAUAGUCGUCCCUCCUCGCGCAGAAAAGUUGAGAGUUGACGCAGAACAAAAGAGAGAACUGUUUCUGCCAUUUUCAGUUUUUCUUUCUAACUUAAGAAUGUCGGGGAAGGCGGCUUCUGGUUUAUAGGACAGUCCACUUGUAGUAUCUUGAAAGGAAGAAGGAAAAGUAGAUUCAUAAGCUGGUGAAAUUUGAUGCUAUAGGGUGCAGUAUUUAUCAAAAAGAAAAACCGUGUCAAAAAGAAAAAGAAAGAAUUAACCAAUUAGAAGAAACUAAAGCAAGAAACAUGAUUGUGAAGGACGAAGCUGCCUUACCUGCCACAAUACAAAAUCAUGGAAGCUAUUAAGAAGAUAGUAGUAUAUGAAUUCAAUAGAGAGGCCGGCCCUGGUAUUUGUUUACUAGAUACUAAUAUUAGAGAUUGAGAGAGUAGAAGGCAAAGUAAUAGUACAAGCGGGAUAGGAGAAAAGAAGCAUGGCCGCCUGGGUUAUGGUGGUAAAUUUUAGCAGGGUUUUCUUCUUUCUUUUUUAAUUUCUUUUCUUUUUUUGGGAGGGGGGGACUAGCAAUGAAAAAGGGCAAGAGAAGCCUAGAACAGAAGGGGGAGAGAGAGAGAGAGAGAUGUUUGUAAGAGAAGGGGGCUGCUGCGCAGCAGCGGUAGUACGCGUGUGAGAGAGAGAAUUUUGUGAAUGUAUAUGGUAGAUUGGUAGUAGCAGUAGCGUAGCAGUAAAUAGUAGCAUUGAUUGAUUAGUAGUAUGAGUUUGGAGAGGGUAAAAAUCCAAAGAAAAUUGAAGAGUCAGCCUAGUGAUUGAGAGUAUAGUCAACAGUAGUCAACAGUAGCAGUAGCCUAGUGAUUGAUUAUUAAUAUAGUAAUUUUUUUUUUGUCAUUUGUUAUCGUCUACUACGCUUGCACCUACACCUAAUCCUAAUUUAAUCUAUACUAGGCAUCCACAUGGAUUCUAAGCACAGACAUAUUAAGUGAUCACUUUUGAUGAGAGGUCAAGGAUAUUAAGUACAGACAUAUUAAGUGAUUAGAAGUCUAUAAGUAAGAGACAGAGAAGACUGACUUUGUGCCACUGGUGGUGCUGCUGCUGCUGCUGCUGUACCCAUACCCAUUGGUACCAAUUGGAUGGAUUUCUGGAUAGGUUGGCUACCACCACCUUAUCACUACCCUUUUGCUUUCCACCAUUUUACCCAUUUUACCUCCUGCUAAUCAAUCCUCAUUACACUUUCUAUACCGUACGCUAUGCUACCUACUUACAGUUACAGCCCUGCCCAUAAAUAUGUAAAGAAAAGACUUUGAAAGCUUUCCAUUAAAGAAAGUUGCCAAUUUAGUGUACUGCCAGCCUUUGAAGAAGAAGAAGAAGAGCAGCAGCAACAACAACAACUACUACUACUUGUGGAGUGGAAUGCUGACAAAAUUCAACAACUGGGGAUUUGUCUCACUUUGCAGCCCAUCAUCAUCCGGAACCAUUUGUCCAUUGUUACUGCUUACGUAACUUACAACAACUACUCUUUGCCAUCAAUUCCUCUCCCAAACACCACCUUUCUCCCUCCCCAAAAUGUAUGUGGCAGUGGCACAGUGAGCAAGUAGACUACGUACUAUUGACAAAUUAGCAAUAUCAUUCAUCAAAAAGUUCAAAAUGUGUUAAAACUCAUAAUCAAACAUAACAUAACCGUGUUUAUAUUAGUAUUCUAAAGCAAUUAUUACUCCCUUUUUGUUUUUUUUUUUAAUUCAAGACUCCAAAGGAUAUGCUUAGAACAUCUAUGAUUGUUUGCACAGUGAGGUCCGUGGGUUCCUGCAGGACUGAACUGAAGAGAAGGCCCCAAAGGCAGAGGUCAAAACGGCUCCGCCGCCCUCCCUCCCUUUUUCCAAAAUAAUUAGUAGUAAUAAUAAUAUUAUGCAUUUUAAGAGGGCUUUUUACCAGAAUUCAGGUGCUACAAAAAAAAAAAAAAAAAGUGCUUGUGCAUGUCUCAUAAAGCAGUACGACCCAAAAUUAAUGUUUUAUUUUCCAAAGCCAUGCAAGAUCCCACCAAACUGUGACCCCCACUUCUUGCCUUUUCUUUUCUUUUUUUCCAACUUUUUGUUGUCAGGGUGUUUUUUUUUUUUUUUUUUGAGGCGGUUGGGGUGUGUAGGAUGGCAACUGGGGGAGGUGUCCACAGAGGGUAAAAUAAUCUGUUUUGUUUCUUGAUUUAACUAGAUUUAUGGUUUUUUUAACUUUAAGCUCUGCUCCUUCUCUUAUUUUAGAGUUCCAGUUGCCAUAUUUAUACAACUAUCUACCUCCUUGAACGCAAGUUCAUAUAGUUAAGUAGCACGGGGUUAGCUUCCAUUGUUGUUAAAUGUUUUAUUCGGAUAAGUCAUCCCAAAACAAGAAACUCUCUUCCAAAUCAAAACUUUUUUUUCGAAUGGAAAAAUAAUUUCUUUGUUCAGGGUUAAAAAGUUCUUUGACAACAGUUUGCCUGCAUGAAAAAUGAAAUUUAGACCGGAUGAGUAUCGAUAAGCUCAUGUCUAUUAUUCAGGAAGACUAUGAUCACAAAAAGAUCUAAACCCCUGUCCAGACUCCAAGCAAAGAUAUCAAAAGUUUGGCAUUUUUCUCUACACUAGUAUAGGGAUACGUGUGUUGCACAUUGCAAUUAUUUAUUUUGGUGAUAUUCGUGCCAAACAUAUUCCUAAAGUGUGGUGUCUCAAAACAAUCAAUUAAUGAAGGGAAUCCAUUGAGUAUCACUUGAAUUUUUUUAGUCUCAUUACUUGUGUAUCAACUAUUAUUUGAUAAUCCAAUAUAUCUUUUGAUUGGGAAUUGAAAAAUAAAAAGUCUUGUAAGUUUAAAAGCUGACCUAAUAUGUCUAAUAAAUUUUUAUUCGACCUAAAACUAUAUUAGUUUGGAAACUAACUUUAUUUUUCAAUUAUUGUAAAUGAUUUCAGAGGACUAAUUUUUGUAAACUUUAAUCCUAAUUACAUAAUGACAUUUGUAUCUCUGUAUCCACAUUAACAUACACAAAAGCUGUGUGAAUACAUUUUUUAUGCUCAAAUUUAUUAUCUAGACAUAGACUAAUUCGAAUAUUGAAGUUGAGAUGUUUUACUUUGUUAAUCAAUACUUGUCCAAGCAUAUUAAUAGACACGAAAAAUGAUGCUACACGACUAUGUAAGCCCUCUUUAUCUCUUUCACUCUAGUAUGCAGCUAUAUUAUUUUCGUUUUCCUCAUUUUCUUUUAAAAAAUCAUUCUUAAUUAAGAAAACUAGCAUUAUCCUACUCAUAACUUCAUAAGUCAAAAGAUCAUGCAAAGUAAAUUAAAGAUCUAGAAACUAUGCACAGGAAUCGGGUUAUAGGUCAGGAAUUAAAAUCCCACAACCUAUAGUUAAAAAAAUCUAGAUGAUGUGUCAAGGCAUCUAUAUAGUUUAGAUGAUACUGCUCAUGUAAUUCAAUUCGGUCUCUGUCAGCAUAGAAUAAUGCUGACAAGUGUUGAGUUUGUACAAUAAUAAAUAUCUAUUCAAGAAAAAAUAUAAUUUUUAUAUGUAACCGUGAGGAUUGGGGAUAAUUCAUUUCGUCUAGAGUUCAGAGUAAGGGGGAUUUUUGGAAAAUACAAAAAUAACUAAUUAACCAACUAAUAAAAUAACUAAUGGAAAUAAAUAGGAAUUAAAUCAAUAAUAAAUAUGAAUCUAGUCAAAGGUACACCCUUUCAAAUACGAUUCACACAACUGAUCAUCGAUGCAAAAAUAAUUCAAUUACUCAUUAAUAGAUUAGUUAUAGCUAUCAACAAGUUCUGACAGCCAACUUUUUCUAUCAAAUAACUAAUGGAAAAUAAAUAAUGGAAAUACAAUAAUUAAUUAAUAAAAUACAAAAAUACAAAAUACAAAAAUAACUAAUUAACCAACAAAUAAAAUAACUAAUGGAAAUAAAUAGGAAUUAAAUCAAUAAUAAAUAUGAAUCUAGUCAAAGGUACACCCUUUCAAAUACGAUUCGCACAACUGAUCAUCGAUGCAAAAAUAAUUCAAUUACUCAUUAAUAGAUUAGUUAUAGCUAUCAACAAGUUCUGACAGCCAACUUUUUCUUACUUUAUCAAUAGUCAAGGUACGACUGUUAACUAUUCCCCUAACCAAGAAACAACCCUAAAUACAACCGUAGGAUUUAAUUCCUCAGUUGCAUUAGGAAUUAAAAAAAUCCAACCCUAACCAACAAACACGCUACAAGAGUUCGUUUAAAUUAGAUCAUAUAUUUCCCUAAUAUGGAACUAAUCUCGCUAGUCGCCACUAGUAUUAAUCGAUCAAAUAACUAUGGAUUCAAUCAAUUAAUCUGGCAAUAGAUUAUUUAGGUUAAUUCAAAUAUUGGCCCCAUGACAUUCAAAUAAAACAACAAUCAUAAGAAGUUAAACUAGAAAACGUACGAAUACUAAUGAAUAAAAGAAAUAAAUAAACUGAUUCGAUUUCACAGAUGUGCAUCUUCAAGUUGACCUUCAACUAGAAAAGGAAAUUAGUUCUUCAUUGUUGAGAAAAUUCCUAGCACGAUAUUAUGGAAAAGAGCCAAAGACAUGCGACUCCUAAUAAGAGAUAUCCAAUGGCUACUAGUCUCUUACGGCCGACCAAGAAAAGAUAAGAAAACCUAAUGAGUACUUGACUAAUCUCUCUGGCCAAAAAGAAAAGAAAUUAUCCUAUUGACUAGUCUCCUAUUACUACUAAAUUACCACUACUAUUUCAAAUCGAAUUGUCCAACAAAUUCCAACCUAUCCGAAAAGGAAAAACCAACAACAAUCCUCUGGUAAAACGUUGUGACCCCACUUUUGAGACUUUACUUCGCUGCUCGAUAUCGCACUUCAACUCCCUAGCUCUCGGACGUGCUGAGUUUUAAUUUGACGUGACCAUGCUGAUUAGCAUAAAAAUUCAAUGAAAACCACGUCUUUAAUUCCUGUUUUGCUCCAAAUCCCGACAACCAAUGGUAAUUAUAAAAAAAUAAGUAGAAUCCACCAAUUGACGCAAUAUUUGAUAAAAUAAAAUAGGCAAAUAAUCAUAAAAUUAAUGACAAAAUUACAACCUAUCAAUUUCUCCCACACCUGAACCAUACUUGUCCUCAAGCAUGGGAACAACAAAUCACACAAUCAAAUUGAAACAAUGGCUAUUUUUCAAAUCUUCUAUUACCAAGAUACAAUUAAAACACAUGUCAAGCAUUGACAGGUGUCGAGCCUGUACAAUAAUAAAUACCUACUCGAGAAAAACAAGAAUUUUGUAAAUAGUGGUGAGUAGGAUCGUAUCUACAGGGAUUGGGGGAAAUCUAUUCCUUUCUAGAGUGAAAUUACAAGAGGGGAUUUUUGUGAAUUUAAAAGUACCUAAUUAAUCACUAAAUCUUGAGUAAUAAAUAAACAAAAUCAACAAAUUACAGAAAUAACUAAAAAUCAAAUUAAGAACACAAUAAGCGAGAAUUAAAUUAACAGGAGACGCGAUUCUAGUCAAAGGUACAACUUCUCAGCCACGAUUCAUACAGCUGAUCAUUGAUGUAAAAAUAAUUCAAAUAUUCACUGAUAGAUUGGUUAUAGUCAUCAACAAAUUCUGACAACCAACUCUUUCUUACUUUUUCGAUAGUCAAGAUACAACCGUUGACUAUUUCCCUAAUCAAGGAACAAUUCUAGAUACGACCUUAGGAUCUAAUUCCUCAAUCGCAUUAAGAAUUAGAAAAUCCAACCCCAAUUAACAAAUACGCUACGAGGGUUUAUUUAAAUUAGAUCAUAUGUUUCCCUAACAUGGGACCAAUCAUGCUAGCUGCUACUAAUACUAACCAAUCCAACAAUUAUGGAUUUAAUCAAUUAAAUUGGCAGUAAAUUAUUAAAUUAAUUCGAAUAUCGGACCCUUGACAUUCAAACAACAAAAAAUCAUGAGAAAUUAAAGUAGAAAAUGUACAAAUACCAAUGAAUAAAAGGAAUAAAUAAAAUUAAUUCGAUCUCAUAGAACUGUGACUUCAAGUUGACCCUUAACUAGAAAAAGGGGUUUAGCUCCGCAUUAUGGAGAAAACUUCACACGACUUCAUUGAAUCUGAUUGCAUAUGAUUUUUCUCUAAAACUAAUAAAAAGCAAGAAGAAUUGAAAAAACAAGUGACGACUCUCUUAUGUUCCAAAGAAUCACCCUUGCGAAAUUGUUGCUACCGAACUCUUAAUCAUACGGGUCCGUCCUUUUUUUUCUCCCUUUGUUUUCUACUUAACAUCAACUACUAAUAAUAAGACAUGUUCCCCAAAGUAGAAAAAGGAAUCUACUAAAGAUAAUAUUUCAAGUUUCCUAAUCCAAUACUAAAACUAAUAAUGAAAAUUAAAGAUUUCAAAGUCUUCCUCCAAAAGCUGCCCUGAGUUCAAUUUGGACUUGGAAACCGGCCCGAACGUGUCACCAUCAAAUUAAUUAAAAAAUUGCCCUUUUAAUCACGUUUUGCUCCUUUUCCUACAAUUAACAUCAUCAACCAAAUAUAAGUAGAAUCUAUCAAUUAAAAUAAUAUUUGGCUAAAAUCAAGAAGAAAAUAAUCAUAAAUUUAAUAGCAAUUUUGCACCCUAUCAAGCAUUAGUGGCAAUUUUCAAAAAAUAUCUCUCCAAUUAGUUUUCAAGAUUAAGAACUUUUCCAAUUUAUGACUAACUAAUCUAAGAAUAUAAAAUAUUCAACCAGUAUCCAUCACCAACCGGUUCAACUAUUAAGAAAAAUCUCAACAUUAAAACUAAUAGAUCAGCAGGCUAAUGUAACCAUCCACAAUUUCGUACAUUUUUUUGUUUAAAUUUUUUUCACUCUUAGCACAACCCUCAUUUUUUUUCAAGAAAAAUGCUUAGUUUUUAGCCAUUCAACCCUUUUGACGCGAAUUUCGACAUCUACCAAAUGAAAGAGCCCAGUUACUCAAUUCUUAUCGUUUAAAAAUCACAUACUCAUAGCUAUCACCGCCUUUUGAUGCGAAAGUCGACGCUUGUGGUGAAAACCCCCGAUUACUAAACAACGAUAUUAGCGGAGUAUAGCUAAAUACUAUUCAUAAAUAAGAACCAAAUUAAAAUUAAAGACCACAAAAGCCCACUUCAUUUUCUAAACAUGGAGAACUAAGAUUAAUAGUUGAACGAAUUUACAGAAAAAAAUAUUAGACAAAUAUUUACAAUAUUUAGAGAAAUUAACUAAAAAGCGCAAAAGUCACAAAAUCUCAAAUAUUCACCAAAGAGACAUUUUUAGAUUUAAUCAUGUCAUACUUAAUACCUUGGAAUAUAAAACCUUAACAAUAGAAAAUAUUGAGAAUCUGACCAUCAUUUAUCAAAGAUAACCAUUAAUAUGCACAAAGAUAGGCAAAAAGUGGAUAAAAUUCGAAAAAAAAAAGCUGAACAAAAAAUUUCAACAAAAAAUGCCUAUACUUGCAUUUUUCUAAUAUACUACUCCUCCACACCUAAAUAUUACAUUAUCCCCAAUGUAAAAAAUAAAGAAUUAAAAGAUGAAAUAAAAGGGGCAACGAAACUUCCCUAAACGUGGACGAGGUACCAAACGGCUACGAGUCGGAACGAAAAGCAAGUUGAAUCCCAUGUGAUGAAAAUAGACAGCAAAAUUCUUGUAUUGUCUUGAAAAUAUAAAGUUCAUGCGGCAGAGAAGAGUAAAGCAAGAAAGAGAGAAGAAAUAAAGAAAAAUAAAGGAAAGAAAGAAGGGAGGAAGAAAGAAAAGAGAAAAAGAGAAAAAAGAAAGGAAAAGAAAGAAAAAGAAAGAGAGAAAAAGAAAAUGGAAAAAGAAAAGGAAAAGGAAACGGAAAAAGAAAAAUCUUCUUUUUACCCUUCUCAUUGAAACAAGACGCGGGCACGUCGAAAAGUGGAAAAGUUUUCUGAUCAUAAUUUUGAAAAAUUUCUUCCUAGCAUGUAACUAGAAGGCGCGGGCACGUCAUAAAGACUGGGAGUCUUCUGACCUGCAUCGUGAAAUUUUUUUCCUAGCACGCGACCAGAAAGCGUGGGCUCGUCAUAAGUGGAGGAGUCCUCUGACCAUCAUUUUUGGAUGUCUCGAAGUGAAGUGUGCCCUACCAGUGCGGGCGGUUGAUCUGCCCUUGAAGUCUUCUCGAAAAUUGUGAUGGACACAACAAUAUUUAACAUUCAAUUCUGACUUGAGCACAUUUUCUAGCGAAUUAUUUCCUGACACAAAGAAAAAAAAUCACUUGAAUUGUACUUAAAAAGUAAAUAAGAAAUAUGAAAUGACUAAAAUUAAAAAUUAAAAAUUCAUGGAUUGCCUCCCAAAUAGCGCAUUUCUUUAAUAUUUUUUGCUAGACAUUGUCAUGUUUGUCAAGGAGGAUAAAAUCGUGUAACUCAUUUCAGUAUUUCAUUCAUUAUGUAAUCCUGAUAACCUUCAUCAAUAGAGUGAUCCUUAACUACACUAGUUACAUUCUUCCAUAGACUAGUGGAUGGCGCCAAACAAUUAAACAGUGAUCGUGAUUCUUCACUUGCUCCUCCAUCACGAACACUUACCGAUUCAAGAUAUUUAGCCAUAGCAACUUCUAACUUAUUCUUGCCAUGAGACUCAAAAAUUUCUGAUACAACAAAAUCAAUCGCACUAGCAGAAAUUAUAGAAUAAGAGUCAGAGUAAUGUUGGCUAGAGAAUGGAGGAGGUGCCACCAUAUUUGGAAAUUAUUCACUGGAUUCAUUCACUUGAACGAUUAGAGAUUGGGGCUUUAUUUCUUCAUUUUCAACUGUAUCUUUAGAUUCUUCUUCUUGAAACUCUUGCAGUUUCUCGUCACUUAUCAGGAUAAUUGCACUCUCAUUUUUCUCAAGAUUGAUAAUAGUCUAUGAGGGUCAUGCUUCACAAAUUUAAGAAGCAAAUCGUUUUAUUCUAGAUAUCAAUAGACAUAUUUGAUCCAUCUGGUCACGAAUGCUCACUGCAGAUGCAAACAGACGCAUUUGAUCCUCCAUCUUUCUAAUUCUUAUUUGUAUCUCCUGUUGAAAAUGAUAUAUCAUUUCUUCAAGAUACAUAUCUAAUGUAGAUAAUGGUCGUUGAUGCAUUCCAUCCUCAAUCCCUCUAUUUCUCAUUUGUGUCUCCUGUUCAAAUUGAUAUGUGUUAGCAGUUAGUAAUUCCAUCAUUUCUUCAAAAGACAUACCUGACAUGGAUGAUUGUUCUUGAAACUCUUGUUGUUGAUAUUGAUGUUGAAAAUCGAUUAGCUCUUUUCAAUAAUUAAAAUUGGAGUUGUUCUACCAUCCUUGCUCAUACCCUUUUGAAUAAGGGUCAUACCACGUUCGAGAUUGGGAUGAAAAAUCUACAAAAGUAUUGAUUGGGGCAUUCAGGUCAUUUUGAAAUGCGAAACAUAUGUCGGUUGAAUGAUCUGAGAUAUAACAAAUUUCACAAGUUACAACAGCCAAUUGAUCAUUAGAAAAAACACGAGUCUCGUUACCCCUUCUAGAAAUAAAAUUUAGUCUAUCACCAAAAUACGAAAUAUUAGCAGCAAUAAACUAGUAAAAAAAUAAGAGAAAAAUAAAAAUAAGAUGAAUUCAAAAAAAAACAAAUUAAUCAGACACUAGUCCCUGACAACGCCGCCAAAAAUUGAUAGGUGCCGAAUCUGUACUGUAAUAAAUACCUACUCAAGAAAAAAUAUAAUUUUUAUGUAUAGCGGUAAGUAGAGUCGAAUCCACAGGAACUGGAGAUAAUUCGUUUCUUCUAGAGUUCAAAGUAAGGAGGAUUUUACAAAAAUACAAAAAUAACUAAUUAACUAACUAAUAAAAUAACUAACGGAAAUAAACAGGAAUUAAAUCAAUAAUAAAUACAACUCUACUCAAAGGAACAACUUUUCAGAUACGGAUCACUCAACUAAUCAUCGAUGCAAAGAUAAUUCAACUACUCGCUAAUAGAUUAAUUAUAGCCAUCAAUAAGUUUUGACAGCCAAUUUUUUCUUACUUUAUCGAUAGCCAAGAUACGACAGUUAACUAUUCCCCUAACUAAGAAACAACCCUAGGUACGAUCGUAAGAUUUAAUUCCUUAAUUGUAUUAAUAAUUAAAAAAGUUCAACCCUAACCAACAAACACACUAUGAUGGUUUGUUUAAAUUAGAUCAUACGUUUCCCUAACAUAGAACUAAUCACACUAGUCGCCACUAGUAUUAAUCGAUCAAAUAACUAUGGAUUCAAUCAAUUAAUCUGGCAAUAGAUUAUUAGGUUAAUUCAAAUAUUGGCCCCAUGACAUUCAAAUAAAACAACAAUCAUAAGAAGUUAAACCAGAAAACGUACGAAUACUAAUGAAUAAAAGAAAUAAAUAAACUGAUUCGAUUUCACAGAUGUUUGAGACCGCAUCUUCAAGUUGACCUUCAACUAGAAAAGGAAAUUAGUUCUUCAUUGUUGAGAAAAUUCCUAGCACGAUAUUAUGGAAAAGAGCCAAAGACAUGCGACUCCUAAUAAGAGAUAUCCAAUGGCUACUAGUCUCUUACGGCCGACCAAGAAAAGAUAAGAAAACCUAAUGAGUACUUGACUAAUCUCUCUGGCCAAAAAGAAAAGAAAUUAUCCUAUUGACUAGUCUCCUAUUACUACUAAAUUACCACUACUAUUUCAAAUCGAAUUGUCCAACAAAUUCCAACCUAUCCGAAAAGGAAAAACCAACAACAAUCUUGUGGUAAAACAUUGUGACCCCACUCUUGAGACUUUACUUCGUAGCUGAAUAUUGCACUUUAACUCUCUAGCUCUCGGACGUGCUAAGUUUUGAAUUUGACGUGACCACACUGAUUAGCAUAAAAAUUCAAUGAAAAUCAUGUUUUUAAUCCCUUUUUGCUUCAAAUCCCUACAACCAAUGAUAAUUACCAAAAAUUAGUAGAAUCUAUCAAUUAACGCAAUAUUUGGCAAAAUAAAAUAGGAAAAUAAUCGUAAAAUUAAUGACAAAAUUGCAACCUAUCAAGUGUUAUUCUUUAUGUUGAAAAAAAUAAUAAAAAAUAAAAUUUCCAACAUCCAAGAUAUUUGGCAUCCUUUUGUAUUGUUAUUGAAAAGAAAUGAGUUUCUUACCUUCAUUUAAUUUCAAUUUUUGUUAUUUUUUGAUUUAUUUCAACUUGCUACACUUCGCACCUGUCACUUUCAUGUAAAUAACCAUGAGCCGUUUUCUUUUUCUUAAGAGUGACAGGUGUCGAACCUGUGCAAUAAUAAUUACUAAAAAGUCCUAAUUACCACCACAAUUAAUUAUAGAACAAAUCUGAGUAUUGGAGUAGGGACCCUAGGUGUGCAAUGGGUUACUUGAUUCACCCUAUUCCCGAAGAGUUUGUUUGGUCCGAUAUACUAGAAUUAUCUAUAAAAAUGUUAAAUUUGCAUACAAUGGCAAGUAGGGUCGAUUCCACAGGGAACGGGUAGGAACUUGUUUCUUUUCAAGUCAAUAGAAUAAAAUAGGUGGAUAAUUAAUGGGAUGAAAAUAUAAAUAAAAUAAAUAAAAUUCAAGAGUUAACUUAACAAGUUCAAUUUAGCAAAAAUAACAAUUAAUAAAAUUCUACCCGAAGGAUCAACUGCUCAGGUACGGUCCAAUUAAAUGAUCAUCGACACAAAGAUAUUUCAUUCAUUCAUCACUAGGUUGGUUAUAGCUAUCAAUAAGCUCUGACAACCAGUUCUUCCUUACUUUUUCGACAGCCAAGGUACGACCAUUGACUGCUUUUCUAACCAGAAAACAAUCCUAGGUACGACCGUAGGAAUUUAAUUAUCCAGUUGCAUUAAAGCUAGAAGAACCCAACUCUAACCAAUAAAAACGCUAAGAGGGUUUAUUUAAAUUAGAUCUUGCGUUUCCCCAGCAUAAAGCCAAUUAUGGUUGUUGCCACUAGUUGUCAACUAAACGAACAAUUACGGAUUCAAUUUAAUUAAUGUGGCAGUAGGCUAUUAUAUUAAAUCAAAUAUCCGGCCGUUGAUAUUCAAUUAAUAAAAUACCCAUAGACAAUUAAUUCAGAAAACACAAGAAUAGCAACAAAUUGGACGAAAUAGUGAAAAUUCUAUUAGAUCUCACAGAUGUUAUGGACCGCGCAUUCGCGUUAACCCUUUGGUAGAAGGGAUAUCUAGCAGCUCCUCAUCGUAUCAAUCUCGCGUGGUUUAAUUGAUAUCAUCCAAUUAAUUGCCAAGGAGAUGCGAAAGGGGGAAAUAAUGAGAAAGUAGACGAAAAGAUGUUGUCUCUUUCUUUUUGGGUUUCGUCUCCGUACUGGAGCCGAAAUUACAAAACAAGAGCUAACGGAGAAUUGUCCAGAGCAAGAGUAAAAAUUCAGGAGUCAAAGUCGUACAACGCAAAAAGCUAGAGAAAAGAGGAAAAGCUCCAACGUCUGACCCAAAUUGAAACUCAAGCUAGAACUAAUUGGCCCCACGUGAUUCUGGCUCUUAAUUGCUGCUCAAGAGAAAAGAAACGUCUGAAGCAAUAAUUGAAACUAAAGCUCUCCUCUUAAUUGGACAUGAAUCUGGCUUUUUUAAGCCUCUCGUAGCGCCGCCAACUAAGGAAAGAAACGUCUCCAGUAGCCCUUCCUUUCCUAAGGGUUUUAAUCCCGUGCUCCUGGUCCACGUAGACCUAGUCUCCUAGUUGGCCCUGCUGCUACCAAGCCCGCGGGUCUGGCUUUUAGGUGAGUCUCCUCAGUUUCUGGUUUGGGUACGCCAUGAAAUAGAGAGUCUUCUGAAAAUUUUCCUCGUAAAAGCACUUUUUACACCAACCACCUGUAAUUCAUACAAACAUGAAAUAUGAGCAAAAUCUCAAUACUUAGCAUAGUAAGUAGCCAAAAUUAGGAUAAAAUAAUAGUGCAAAAUGUGCCCAAUAGUUGCUAUAUCAAAUCCCCCCACACCUAGCCAAUGCUUGCCCUCAAGCAUUUCGGAGCUCAGAAGUACAACCAAGAUAGCAAAGGUCAUGCAGUAAGCUAUACUAACACAAGCACCUCAGAUCCCUGACAAUGUCACCAAAAUGAGAAUACACCGGACAAGUGGUAAUUCAAAGAAAAUAUAUGAAUACUAGAAACUCUCAAAUCAAGAUCAUGGAAUGGCAUUACUAUAGGCUUGCACAUUUAUCACAUCUUCACCACUCGAAAGUGAACUAAAUACACAAAUCAAAGGGACUUUAAUAGGGUUGUAAUGGGGCUUAGGUAGAAGGCGAUUAAGGUAAAAAUAGGGUGUAAUAUGUCAAAAGAAUGUCUGAUACCCCCUACAUAACCACAAUGCUUUACCGGGGAAGUUUCACAAGCAAGGCAUUUUCCUUUGCUAUUUCCACUGUGCAAAUGUCGAAACUCGUCCCCUUUUUUUCUUCUCCAUUUUUUUCUUUUUUUUUUCUUUGAACAAGCGCCUUGUAGCCCAUAGCCUUCUGUUCACGAGCUGUUUUUUUUUUUUUGGAGAGGACGUCUAGCAAGGCAUGGGCACGCCCUAGAAGACAGAGUCUUCUGCUCACCAGGUUUUUGCCGAUUUCUCCCUUUUUUGCUCCAGAGCACAGAAACGGCACCAUACAGAUUCUAUUCUAACAACACUUGUGGUCCUAGAUUUAUUUGUUUUGCACAAAAAAUGAAUUUCAGACAUUCCUUAAUGACACAAGGGUGAACAAGAAAGUCUAAAAAGGUUCUAGGUUAUCAGACAUGGCUAACAAACAAAGGAGAGGGGUAAAAGCUCAAAAUGGUUCACUAUUGGGAGACAAGAUGAAGGCAUGGUUUGUAGAAAGUUAAAGAAAGUUAGAUCCUAAAUGCCCUUAUCAUUUCAAAUGCAUUCAGUUCAACAAAAUGUGGCCUCAACAUGUAUAAAAUAGCAAGUUCUAGAAUGCCAAUACCAUAUGUGAUACCCACUCAAUCAAACAAAAAUAGAGCAAAUAUGAAUAAUGUGCUCAUGCAUGACUCAAAAGCUCACAAAAGUUUCCAAGAAUGGGUCAAGUCCAAUAUAUCCAACAUUCAACGAUAUUGCCAAGGAAAAGUAGAACGCACAGCUAGCAUAUAUGACCACAUACUUGUGCACCCUAAUUGUGCAAUCCAUCAUAGCAACAUGCUCUAACAGCUAACAAAUGUAAAAAUAAAAAGAAAGUCAACUAACUACCCAUUUUUUCUUUUCUUUUUUUUUUCACUUUCUUGUUUUUCAUUUUUUUUAUCUAGUUAUUCCCAUUUUUUCUCCUUUUUUUCGAAUAAAAGGAAUUACUCGAAACAAAAAGAAGUAAUAGAAACCAUUCCCCCCACACCUAAAAUCUACAUUGUCCUCAAUGUAAUCUAGACAAAUAAAGUGCAAGGACAAGAGGGGCGAAACUUCCCUAACUACUGAGGAGGUGCGGCGAGAUCCUAAGGAGGUGGAGGAUGUGGUGGCUGGAAUCCAAUAUGAGCAUAGAAAGCCGCCUGAUUCUCCAUUUGAAUACGGGAGAAAACCUGUAAUGCUCUAAGACUGUCCUCCGUCCCUCAACUCGCCUCCCUAGCGCAUGGAUAGACUCUUGGAGAGAGUGAUAUUGGGACUCCCAAGCAGGAGGAGCAUGAUAGGCGGAUGGAUCCGCCUGAUCGGGGUGAGGUGGAGGCUCAGCAGAGGGGGCCGUCGGGGGAACCUGAGGUUGUGGCUUGCCCUCGCCAGGAGGUGUCAUCUGAUAGACAUCUCCUACCUUGAAAAUGACCCCCAUCCGCUCCAAGUUUCACAAAUCCAGUGGCUCAAUCUCACGAGCUGGAGCGAAGUUGUGCUCGCUGUUGAGGUCAAGCAAUCCCAAUCGAACGGGCAAGUAAGUGAUGAGCAAGCCUAGAAUUAGCAGUUUAUGCUGCUUUUGGACAACGGAUUGCAUUUGAGUGGCCACCCAACACCCAAAUUUAACUUAAACUUUGUUCUGCAUGCACCAAAGAAAAUAAAAUUUCGCCUUGGUAAGAGUGCCAGAGGAAUCCUUCCGGCCCGAGAAGUUAUAGGCCAAAAAUCGGUGGAUGACUUUCAGGAUCGGAUCCUUCAGAUAUGAGGCUUUAGACUGACUCGGAUCAUAAAGUUGAGUGUCCGUAGACCACUCCCUCCAUAUGUCAAUGUAAUCAGUAGAAAACGGUUUAGUGUAAUCACACGCACUGUUUAUAUAUGUGUCGGAUGAAAUUGUAUUCUCAGUAACAAACCCCAAAGUCACAUUAAAGUCAUUAAUGGACAUCUCAUGAUGGGCACCCCUUAACCGAAAUUGAAUAGUCCUCGGUUCAUCCAACGUAAUCCAUUCAUUUUUUAUGAACUCAAAAGUGGAAUAGAAUUCACAACACAGCUCCUCAAAUAUAGGAUAAUCAAUGUUUAGAUACCGCUGCCAACCUAUUGCCGAGAACAACUGUUCAACUUCUCGUGCAAUUUGCAAAUGGUCCAGGGUCGGGGCAUGGAAGCACUUACAAGGAGAAAAAGAACGGUGCACCAUGCUAUUAAAUCGGUCCUGUUGUGCCCUUGUAAGGUUAGUGACCGGUUCCCCCUAUUCCCCAGGAGACAUAGUGCUUUUAUUCAGGCCCAAACGAGAUCGAAUGGGGUGUAGAAUUGGGGCUCGCCUCUUACUAGGCUGGGACUCAGAUGGCCCAGCAGUUGUUACCUUUUUCGGAGGCAUUCGAAGACCACAAGUAAAAUGUAAACAGGCACAGAGACAGUCAAUCAACCACCCAAAAGUGGAUAGGGGACCACAGUCAACAAUUAAUAUUCAAUCAUCAGUAGUCCAAUAGCAAAGAGGGAACACAAUUACCCCACCAAACAACGGCAAAACAACAAACACUAACAAUGCCCCACUGCCGUCAAUUGGCAGACAACAAUAAAGAAGACAGAUCCAACACCCCACAAAUUAAAAUAUCAGUCAAUAAAAGUCAACAAUCGGUGAGUUACUGACCACGUGUACCAAAUAAUAGAUUCACCAGAGCCCACAGAUGUCUCAAGUCCAAAUUAGAUAAUCAAUGAAAGGCGGAUACGAGGUCUCCCAUUUUCAGACAACAAUCAAACGGUCCCCCGAUUAAACUAACAGUUAUUUCAACCCAACCUGGAGUGAGAAAUUAUUAACAAAAAUUCCAGAUCUUAGUCACCAGGGCAAAAUGAGAGAAAUAGGGGUACCACUAUAAUUUUUUUUCAGCUGGAGGAUACCGUGGCAGUGACAGCAAUGCGGCUACUGGGCACGCUACGGAUCUGGUAGCUGGCCGCGCGCGCUGGGUAGGCGCGCUCUGCUGUACGCGCGGUUGGGGCGAAGCUCGAUCGCAUGCUGGAUCUGGACGCUGCGCACGCGGGCGCGCUACGUCGGCUUUCUGGGCUGCACAGGGGGAGGUCCGCGCACGGCUGGCGAGGCUGGUGAGCACCUGCUACUGCGCGCAGGUCGCGCGCUGGCUCUGCUGGGUUAUGCGCGCUAGGUGCCCAACGAGAGGAAGACCGCACCCACUGGGGCACGCAGGCGCUGGCUGGAGGAAACGUGGGCAAACGCGUAAAGACGCGCUGGGUGGACCCUUCUGCUUCGCGCGCACGCUGGAGCUGGGUCGCGCGGCGAGGUGGGUCUGGCGGCGGCGCGCGACUGCUGACCACGGGCGGCGGACGAUGGCGCAGCGACAGGCGGCGGCGUGUGGCGAAGACGAUGGGAUGCGUGGAGAGAGAAGAGCAAGAAAGAGAAAGAAAGAGAGGGAAAGAGGCGUUGCGGUGGCGCUCGAGCAGUGGCGGCGGCACGCGACGGUGGCAGCGGCGACGGAACAAGAAAACAGAGGAAAAGAAGGAAGUGAAAUUAAUACCAAACAAAGAAAGAAAAAGAAAGAAGAGUAAAAACCAAAACAACGGACAUUGACUUGCCUAGACAAGACAAGGAAAAGAGUAAAGUGGAAAAGUAGGGUUAGAAGGGUCCUGGUCAACAAUUUUUUCGUUGACUUUCGUUAUCGGAAGAGUUGGAAGGAGUGGGCACGCCUUGGGGGACACAGUCUUCUGACCAUUGCAUCCUGAUAAUGUUCAAAAGGAUUCCUUUCAAGACGUGGGCAUGCUUUAAAGCUGCUAGUCUCCAAUUUGCUCAGGGCACCUGGCGUACCUUUUCCAAGACGUGGGCACGCCUUGGAACCCCUAGUCUUCUGUUUAGCACCACAAAAACAAUCAAAAUAAAAAAAAUAGAACUGAAAAAUCGCAAAGUAAUGAAAAAUGACCACAACUAAUACUGUAGUCCUUGGUUUGCCUCCCAAGCAGUGCCUUUCUUUAAUAUCUUUGGCUAGACAUGGCAAUCAACUGUUUAGAUUUCACAACUUGGAUUAUCAAGAGACAUGACCUCCACUUGCUCACUAUUAAACCCUUCAUAAUAGGGUUUCAGACGGUGACCAUUGACCACAAACUUCUUCUCCGUUUUCAAGUUUUGGAUCUCCACUGCACCAUAAUGAAAAAUAUUAGAGAUAACAAAUGGCCCAAUCCAACGCGAACGUAACUUACCCGGAAAAAGCUUAAGUCUCGAGUGAUAAGUUGGACUUUGUGUCCUACUACAAAUGACUUCCUUGAGACUUGUUGGCUAUGAAAAAUUUUACUCUACUCCUUAUAAAUUGCGGUUUUCUCAUAGGUUUCAUUCCUUAGCUCCUCCAACUCUUGUAAUUGGAGUUUUCUAUGUCCUCCGGCCUCCAUAAGAUCCAUGUUACAUCGCUUAAGUGCCCAAAAUGUUCGGUGUUCAAAUUUCACUGGUAAAUGGCAUGGCUUCCCAAAGACGAAUCUAUAUGGGGACAUUUCAAUCGGCGUCUUAUAGGCUGUGCGAUAGGCCCAUAGAGCAUUUUCCAACUUCAAACUCCAAUCUUUCCUAUCGGGCCGCACCAUCUUCUCUAGAAUUGACUUGACCUCCCUAUUUGACACUUCGACCUGACCAUUCGUCUGCAGAUGGUAGGGAGUGGAUACUUUGUGGAGCACGCCAUAUUUACGAAACAACGCAGUGAUCGCCUUAUUGUAGAAAUUGGUGCCCCUGUCACUCACUAUGGCUCUCGGCAUCCCAAAGCGGACAAAAAUGUUAGACUUUAUGAAUUCUACAACCACUCUCGAAUCGUUAGUCCGAGUAGCUUUUACUUCCACCCAUUUGGAAACAUAAUCGACAGCAAGUAAAAUAUAUAAGAAACCAAAAGACGAGGGAAAGGGACCGAUGAAAUCUAUACCCCAAACAUCGAAAAUUUUAACAAAUAACAUGGGGGUUUGACUCAUUUGGUCUCUACGAGAAAUAUUCCCUACCCUUUGACACUUAUCACAUGAUUUACAAAAUAAGUAUGCAUCCAUAAACAGAGUAGACCAAUAAAAAUCACUUUCUAACACCUUACGAGCUGUCCGCUUUGGCCCAAAGUGCCUUCCACAUGCAAAUGAAUGACAAAAAGUCAAAAUAGAAUGGAACUCACAUGCACUUACACGCCUUCUUGUCACUUGGUCCGAGCACUGCCUUCACAGGUAUGGGUCAUCCCAAAUAUAGUGCUUGGCGUCAUUUCUCAAUUUAUCUUUUUUAGCCUUUGACCAACCUGCAGGUAAUUGAUUCGUUACCAAAAAAUUGUCAAUAUCAGCAUACCAAUGUAUUGACGAAUCAAUGGCUAACAAUUGCUCCUCAGGAAAUGAUUCCCUCAGCGGUAAGUCUUCUUGAUUUGUAAGUAGCCGGCUCAAAUGGUCGGCCACCAAGUUCUCGGCUCCACUCUUAUCUUUGAUCUCUAAGUCGAACUCCUGCAGGAGCAAGAUCCACCUUAUGAGUCUCGAUUUUGCAUCCUUCUUCGCUAGUAGGUAUCUCAAGACUGCAUGAUCAGAGCAAAUAAUUACAUUUGCAUCUAAUAAAUAUGACCUAAAUUUCUCUAGUGCAAAAACAACGGCGAGUAAUUCUUUCUCCGUUGUGGAGUAGUUAAGUUGGGCUCCACUCAAUGCCCUCGAUGGAUAGUAGAUCGCGUGUGCCGCCUUUCCUAUCCUUUGCCCCAACACGGCUCCCACGGCAUAAUCACUCGUGUCGCACAUGAUUUCAAAUGGGAGGCUCCAAUCUGGGGGUUCAAUGACGGGCGGCGAUGUCAUCGACUCUUUCAAUUUGUCGAAGGCCACCUUGUAUUCAUUAGUGAAAUCAAAUGUCACAUCCUUCUGUAACAACUUGAAUAGGGGUGCUCCAAUCUUUGACAAGUUCUUGAUGAACCUCCUGUAAAACUCUACAUGGCCUAAAAAGGAACGCACUUCCCGUACACAUACGGGGUAAGGUAGAGUAGAAAUAAGAUAUAUUUUAGCUUUGUCUAUCUCUAUUCCCUUAACCGACACAACAUGCCCUAAGACAAUACCAUGUUCUACCAUGAAAUGACAUUUUUUUCAAUUAAAAACCAAGUUCGUCUCUAUGCACCUUUUCAAAAUUAAAGCUAGAUUAUCAAGACAUUCCUCAAAACUAUUACCGUAUACACUAAAAUAAUCUAUGAACACCUCAAUAAUCUUUUCUACAUAUUCGGAAAAAAUACUUACCAUACACCUUUGGAAGGUUGCAGGGGCAUUGCAGAGAUCGAAAAACAUCCGACGGUAAGCGAAUGUACCAAAUGGGCAUGUGAAUGUAGUCUUUUCUUGGUCCUCUGGCGCUAUCACGAUCUGGAAGUAAUCUAAAAAAUCAUCCAAGAAACAAUAGUAAACACGACCAGUUAAUCGUUCUACCAUCUGAUCAAUAAAAGGGAAGGGAAAAUGGUCCUUUUUUGUCACAGAGUUUAGUCUCCGGUAGUCAAUGCACUGACGCCAGCCAGUAGCUUUUCUAACCGGAACCAUAUCACCCUCCUAACUCUUCUCUACGGUCACUCCCGCCUUUUUCAGAACCACUUGAACAGGACUUACCCAAGGACUGUCUGAGAUAGCAAAAAUAAUCCCCAUCUUUAGGAGUUUAAGUAUCUCCUUUUUUACAACUUCCAUUAUCAGGGGAUUCAACCUCCGCUGUGCCUGUCUUACCGGUUUCGCAUAAUUUUCGAACCGAAUCCGGUGCAUGCAUAAUAAUGGAUUUAUCCCCUUGAUAUCUGCUAUGCUCCACCCAAUCGCCUCCUUAUGUCCCUAAGGAUUUGCACCAGUUUGUCCUUUUGACUUGGGGAUAAAUGUGCAGAGAUGAUCACCGGAAGCGUCUCUCGGUCUCCUAUGAAUGCGUACUUUAGAUACUUCGGGAGAGGUUUAAGUUUUAACUCCGGUGCCUGCACAACUGAGGGAAGCAAUUUUGUCUGAAUUUCUGGCACAAAGAUAGAAGUAAACUCAUACCUCGGAGAAACGGUUGGAAGUGAGUGCAGGGCUUCAACCGCAUGGUGUAAUUCAUCCCUCAUGUCCACAUCAAGAGUUAUACCCAACUCAAGAUGCUUGGUUAGGGCCACUUCUAAUGCGUCUUUACCAUCCAAUUCGAAAGUUUCCUGCACAAAAGACUCAAUAACACUCAAAGCAAAAACUGAGUUAAGUUCCUCUGGAUACUUCAUCGCCUCAAAAAUAUUGAAAUUCACAGUCUCACCAUCAAAUUUCAUUGAUAAAGUACCCUCAUUCACAUCUAUUUUAGUCCUGACAGUGCUAAGAAAUGGUCUACCGAACAAAAUAGGUGACGGGUUUAAUGAUUUUUCAUCUCCCAUAUCCAGGAUAUAAAAAUCUGUUGAAAAAACUAACUCAUUUACCUGGAUCAAGACAUCCUCAACUAACCCCUCUGGAUAGGCAUUGGUGCGGUCAGUUAGUUAGAUUAUAAUGGCCGUUUCUUUUAAUAGCCCAAGAUUUAGAGAAGCAUAGAUAGUUUUUGGCAUCACAUUGAUUGACGCCCCUAAAUCUAACAUUUCUUUUCUAAUCGGUGCAUUUCCUAUUUUGCAACGGAUCGUGAACAUACCUGGAUCUCCACACUUGGGUAGGAGGUUUCUUUGAAAUAUGGCUGAUACGUUUUCUCCCACCGCUACUCUUUCGUCCCCUCUCAACUUUCUCUUAUGGGUGCAUAAAUCCUUGAGAAAUUUCGCGUACUUGGGAACCUGCUUAAUUGCCUCCAACAAGGGAAUGUUGAUCUCUACCUUUCGGAAUACGUUCAGGAUCUCUUUUUCCUUCUCUGCCUUCUUCGUCUUUGCCAACCUACAUGGAAAAGAGGGUAAAUUUGAUUUAAUGGGAAUUGAAGGGGUUAGAGUUACCUCAGGAUCUCCACGAGUGUGUCAUUCUUCUUCCAUCUCCUUCUCGAUCUCAUCUUCACUUUUGCUCUUCAGGUUUGUGGCCUUAGGCCCCUCUACUUCCUUGCCACUCCUCAGUGUCAUGGCACUUACAUUCUUGGGGUUUGUCUCGGGUUCCAAUGGUAAUUUUUCAAAGACUUGGGACUCCAAACGAUUGAUCGCAGUCGCCAUGUGGCUUAUUUGGGUCUCCAGAUUUGUCAUGCCUGAUUUAGUUUCCUGCUGGAACUGAGCAGUCCUCGUGACCAAAGAUCUCGUCUCCUGUUGGAGCUGAGUGGUGCUCGUGGCCAAGCUCUUGACAAUAUCUUCCAGAGAACUUCUUGCGUUGAAGGACGAGGGUUGAGACUUUUGUUGUUAUGGUUGCUAAAAUCCUGGUGGACGAUUGGAGAAUGAAUUCUGUGGCUUAUUACCAUAACUGAAAUUGGGGUAAUCUCUCCAAUCCGAAUUGUAUGUGUUGGAAUAUGGAUCGUACUGCCUACGAGGCGCAGACACGCCUCCAGCCAUGUUAACUUGCUCAACCACAUCCUCUUGCAACAUAGGGCAUGAGUCAGUAGGGUGGCCCACAUUUGUGCAGAUUUCACAGGCCUUUACUUGGUGCAUAUUCCCCACAGCUAAUUAUCGAACAAAGGAUGUUAGCUCCGACAACUGUUGCUGAAUAGAUGUCGUCUCCACCUCAUUAACCCUGCGGGUAGGGUUACUCUCACGGAAGCCAAACUGUUGAGAAUUCUCUGCCAUAGUUUCAAUGAGCAGCCAUGCUUCCCUCAGGGUCUUAUUUGCCAGUGCUCCCCCCUCUUGCAGCAUCAAUGAUACUCCUGUCGGAUGACUGGAGCCUCUCAUAGAAAUAUUGGAUCAAUAGCUGUUCACUAAUUUGAUACUGUGGGCAUCUAGUACACAAUUUAUUGAACCUCUCCCAAUAGUCGUAUAGGGAUUCUCCAGGGUACUGCUUAAUGCUGCAUAUCUCCUUUCUCAGACUUGUGGCCCCGGAUGCAGGGAAAAAUUUUUUUAAAAAUUUAUUUUUCAAUUGGGCCCAUGUUAUGAUACUACCUGCGGGUAGGUAGUAUAACCAAUCCUUAGCUGCGUCCUUGAGGGAGAAAGGGAAAGUUCUAAGUUUAAUCUGCUCCUCAGUAAUUUCUGGAGGCUUCAUAUUGGAGCAUACCACAUCGAACUCCUGGAUGUGUUUAUGGGGCUCCUCACCUGAGAGGCCUUGGAACGUAGGUAAUAGGUGAAUAAAUCCCGACUUCAAUUCGAAUGAGGUAUUUUCCGCUAAACUUGAAAACGUGAUGAACAAAGGCUGCUGCGGCAAUUUCGGAACAGCCAACUCCCUUAGUGUUCUUGCAUUUACCAUACGGAUAUUCUCUUGAUCUGAAUCACUUGAAUUAUCACCACCUGAAUCUGUUGAUUUGACCUUAGGAUCAAGUCCCUGAGAUGCAAUGCUAGAUUGCUCCUCUCUAAACUGUCUAGUCUCUUUCCUAGUUCGACGCGCAGUUUUCUCUACUUCUGGAUCGAAAAUCAAUUCGCUUGUACGAGAAGAACGAGGCAUAAACUAAAAAAAUGUCAGACAAAUUCAAAGAAAAUAACUUAAAAAGAAAUAAAAUUAACCAAAAUACCGUUCCCCGACAACGGCGCAAAAAAUUGACAGGUGCCGAACCUGUGCAAUAAUAAUUACUAAAAAGUCCUAAUUACCACCACAAUUAAUUAUAGAACAAAUCCGAGUACUGGAGCAGGGACUCUAAGUGUGCAAUGAGUUACUUGAUUCACCCUGUUUCCGAAGAGUUUAUUUGAUCCGAUAUACUAGAAUUAUCUAUAAAAAUGUUAAAUUUACAUACAAUGGCAAGUAGGGUCGAUUCCACAGGGAACGGGUAGGAACUUGUUUCUUUUCAAGUCAAUAGAAUAAAAUAGGGGGAUAAUUAAUGGGAUGAAAAUAUAAAUGAAAUUCAAGAGCUAACUCAACAAGUUCAAUUUAGCAAAAAUAGUAAUUAAUAAAAUUCUACCUGAAAGAUCAACUGCUCAGGCACGGUCCAAUUAAAUAAUCAUCGAUGCAAAGAUAUUUCAAUCAUUCAUCACUAGGUUGGUUAUAGCUAUCAAUAAUCUCUGAUAACCAGUUUUUCCUUACUUUUUCGACAGUCAAGAUACGACCAUUGAAUGCUUUUCUAACCAGAAAAUAACCCUAGGUACGACCGUAGGAAUUUAAUUAUCCAGUUGCAUUAAAGUUAGAAGAACCCAACCCUAACCAAUAAAUACGCUAAGAGGGUUUAUUUAAAUCAGAUCUUGCGUUUUUCCAACAUAAAGCCAAUUAUGGUGGUUGCCACUAGUUGUCAACUAAACGAACAAUUACGGAUUCAAUUUAAUUAACGUGGCAGUAGGCUAUUAUAUUAAAUCAAAUAUCCGGCCGUUGAUAUUCAAUUAAUAAAAUACCCAUAGACAAUUAAUUCAAAAAACACAAGAAUAGCAACAAAUUGGACGAAAUAGUGAAAAUUUGAUUAGAUCUCACAGAUGUUAUGGACCGCGCCUUCGCAUUAAUCCUUGGGUAGAGGGGAAAUCUAGCAGCUCCUCAUCGUAUCAAUCUCACGUGAUUUAAUUGAUAUCAUCCAAUUAAUUGCCAAGGAGAUGCGAAAGGAGGAAAUAAUGAGAAAGUAGACAAAAAGAUGUUGUCUCUUUCUUUUUGGGUUUCGUCUCCGUACUGGAGCCGAAAUUACAAAACAAGAGCUAACAGAGAAUUGUCCAGAGCAAGAGUAAAAAUUCAGGAGUCAAAGUCGUAAAACGCAAAAAGCUAGAGAAAAGAGGAAAAGCUCCAACGUCUGACCCAAAUUGAAACUCAAGCUAGAACUAAUUGGUCGCAUGUGAUUCUGGCUCUUAAUUGCUGCUCAAGAGAAAAGAAACGUCUGAAGCAAUAAUUGAAACUAAAGCUCUCCUCUUAAUUGGACGUGAAUCUGGCUUUUUUAAGCCUCUCGUAGCGCCGCCAACCAAGGAAAGAAACGUCUCCAGUAGCCCUUCCUUUCCUAAGGGUUUUAAUCCCGUGCUCCUGGUCCACGUAGACCUGGUCUCCUAGUUGGCCUGCUGCUACCAAGCCCGCGGGUCCGGCUUUUAGGUGAGUCUUCUCAAUUUCUAGCGUGGGUACGCCAUGAAAUAGAGAGUCUUCUGAAAAUUUGCCUCGUAAAAGCACUUUUUAUACCAACCACCUGUAAUUCAUACAAACAUGAAAUAUGAGCAAAAUCUCAAUACUUAGCACAGUAAGUAGCCAAAAUUACGAUAAAAUAACAGUGCAAAAUGUGCCCAAUAGUUGUUCUAUCAAGUCACAAUAUAUUUUCAUAUGGAAACUUAUUUUUAACUACAUUUUGUUUCCAAUUCAUGUUUAACUUCUAGGUUUAUCGUGCUAAAGUGUUUUUUCCUAUAUUUCAUUAAUUUUUUGAACCCAUUCCUAAAAUUUUGUUUGGAAUUUAUGUCAAUAAAUUGGUCUUGCUAGUGUAAAACUUAAAAGUCAGUGGUAUAUGAAUUGCCUAAAAAAUAAUUCAAAAGGCUUCCAUAUAACCUAGAGAAAUAUUAUACAUAUACUGUUCUAUUCGAGUAAGAUUAAUUUAGAAAGGCGCUUGGGAGGAAAAGGAAAACUCUACUUUUCUUUUCUUUCAUAAUUAAUGUUCUAUAUCCUUAUAAUAUAAAAUAGGUAUAUGUGUUUUUUGUUAUUAUUUGUUAUUAGUAGGAGAGGGAUAUCAUUUAAGAAAUAUGAGUAGGAGAGGAAUUUGAAUCUAGGACCUUCACUUCCAGGGAUGCAUAUAUAUGUUGUCUUCUAUUUUGAAUGGAAAAAAAAUGGAGAGCUUUCUUAAUAUUAAGGGAAUUUGCUUUUCUAUUCUUGUUUAAUUUCAAAAGAUCAUCCUCAAAUAGUUUCCAAAUUGAGCUCCUCUCAAAAGAAAAUUUAUUUCAAUUAAAUUUUAAGGCAAAUGACAAGUUUCAUCCUUCACAUUUUAUAAAAAUAUUCUUUUUGUCCCUCACUAUUAAAACGAAGCAAAUUCGUCCUUUACAUUUGAAAACUGAAGCUAUUACAUCCCUGAAAUCAACUUUCAAUCUGAAUCCAACUACCUAACAACCCGAUUACAAAUUUUUGGGGUAUAAUUGGUAGAUUAUUUGAUUAAUUGAACUUGAUAUUCACAUGAAAUUUAAUGAAUCCAAAAAAAAAUAAAACAUAAAAGAGAAGGAUUAAUCUUUCCUACAUUGUCAUUAUAUAUAUGGACGUGUCUAGAUAUCUGUCACAUCAUUUGAAUUUAAAUUUAAACGCUAAAGUUUUUAUGUAUGGUAUAAAUCUACACUCGCAAGUGUUAUACUAACAGUGCAUGAAAAAAUUUAUCCAAAAAAGAAACUCUACCAUUCCAAGACAAAGAAUGGCCUUUUUAUGUUUUAAUUUUUUAAUUUUUUUCUUUGUUGGUUCAAUAAAUGUCAUAUGAAUGUGAUGAAAUUGACCGAGUAAUCUAUCAAUUCUAUUCCAAAAAUUUAUUAUUAGGUUACUGGAUAGUUUGAUUCAGAUUGAAAGUUGGAUUCAGGGAUAUAAUAAUUUCAAUUUUUAGAUGUUAAGAAUGAAUUUGCUUUGUUUUGAAAGUGAAGGAUGAAAAGAAUAUAUUUACGAAAUAUGAAUGAUAGAACAAGUCAUUUUCCCUAAAUUUUAAUUCUUAUGUCAACACAAAUUCUAUGGUUAAGACUUUAGGAAUUAGAGGUCUUAGAUUCAAAUCUCCACGCCCCUCCCAACUUCUUAAACCUCAAUCUUCUACUACUAGGAAAAAAAAAUUAAAAACAUGCAUAUUAUGUAACAUCAAGGUUGAUGCUUAUGUCAAUAAUAUCCCUUUAUUGACUUGGUGAAAUCCAAAGUCAGACUUUAAUUUUUAUGAUUACUGAGUAUUUUUUGUAUUCUUCAAGCCCCAGAUUUAAUGAUAGAAUUAAUUAACCAGUAAAUUAAUGGUACUCUAUUUUUCUUCAUCUUCUUUUUAGAAAAUCUAUCUUCUAUUCUUAUCUUAUGCUCAGUUAAGCACAUGACGGAUAUAUCAGCAUUUGUGCAUACUGCUGAAGAUAAAAGUCAGAUUUCUACACAACUAAAGGAAAUUUAUUUCAACUAAACUAUAUAUUUCUAGAUAAAUCAUAAAACUUUUGGAAAUUAAUUCCUACUCCAUAAAUAAUUCUACUUCAAAACCAAGAUCUCAAAGUCCAAAUCACGUAAAAAGCCCAAUCAUUAUUAAGAUUGCGUUCAUGUUUGGAAUAUAAUAGAGUCAUUAAAAUUUAUGAUGACGGCAUUAUAGGAAAAAAAAUUUAAUCACUAACCCAAAUGUGGCUAUUCUUUUUUUAUUUCUAUUUUAGAUUUAACUUUUUGAGGUUCCCUUCAUGGCUUGCAUUAAAGGGUGAUUACUUUUUUUUUUGUCAAACGUUAUCACUUUCAUAUGUAGCUAAAAACUGUUACAAAGUUGGAGCAACUGUUCCUACAUCUUCUCUAGCUAAUCUAACUAACCAGAGAGGGAAGGAAUCUUCCACUUAAUUUCACUAAUCAAGUUUGUGGCAUACUUUGCCAACUUGUGACUAACAUGGUUGCCUUCCCUUCUAAUAAAGGAGAAGUACCACUCUCUAAACUCUUUUCUAAUGACAUAGAUAUCUUGCAGAAUUGAUCCUAUUUUUGGACCAUUGGUGUUUUCUGUUGGACUUGUGAGUGGGCCAGCUCAUUUGUGCAAGUGAACAAAGCUUGACGUUUCUCAAGCAUAAAUACAAGAAGUUGCCGCACAAGCCAAAUAUACAUAGAGAGAAAAGGUUAGCCGCCACCUAGAGAGAAACGAAAGGAGAGAAAGAGUGAGAGCUAGAGAGAGAAAAUUCUUUGCAAUUUUGAAACCUCAGUUGGAAGGUGAUUUGAAGUUCGAUUGAGACGAAAUUUUACAUAUGCGAUCCUCUCGUCAAGUUCUACUCAUCUACCGGUUCAGAUUUUAGAUUUUCUGUUCGUUUGGUAACACCUUUCCAAAUCCACUUCUUUGACAGUUGUAAUUUUUGGGGGGUGAUUUUGUAGCAAUUUUGCUUGGUUGGUAUUGAUGAUAUUAUUGUCAUUCGAAUAUUUCAGGUAGACUCGUGUAUUCUCAUUAUUGUGAUAGUGGAGAUUUUUGACUGAACUAGGUUUUGUAAUUUUUUUCAAUUUGGAUUUUUCACGUAAAAAUCUUGGUGUACUGUCCCUUUUAUUUUUCUUACAUUUUAUUAUUACUGCUGGUAUUUUUAUUUGGUGAUUUGAUUUAUUCCUAUUUUAAAUGAUGCUUGAAAAAAGAGAAAUUUGUCCUGAGUUAACUCUGAUAUUGUGUGCCUGUACUGGUACCCCUUUUCUAAUAAGUAGUAUCAGAGCAGUCAGGUUAGGCUACUCAUUUGUACUGGUUAAAAAUGGAUGAUUCGGAUAGUGGUUGCAUGAUAAAAUUGAAUGCUACUAAUUAUUCGAUUUGGAAGUCUAGAAUGAAUGACUACUUGUAUGGUAGAGAUUUGUUUGAACCUAUUCUAGGGGAUAAAGGUAGACCAAGUGAUAUGAGUGAUGAAAAAUGGGCUGUUAUACAUAGAAAAACUGUUGAUAAUAUUAGAAAAUGGAUUGGUCAAAAUAUGUUUCAACAUUUUGCUAAUGACACCAGAGCUGAUGUAUUAUUAAAAAAGUUUGAAAGUAUGUAUGAAUGGAAGAUCGGUUUGAAUAAGACUAGUUGUUUGAAGCAGAUUACUCGGAUGAAAUAUAAAGAUGGAAAAUAUAUGACUGAACACCUGAGUAAUUUUCAGGGAUUGAUAAACCAGGCAACUAUGUUAAAUUUGAAUUUGGAUGAUGAAGUACAAGCUCUAUUAUUAUUUAGUUUACUACCGGAUAGUUGGAAAAUCAUAGUAGUCUCCGUCAGCAAUUCAACUCCGAAUGGUGUGUUGACCAUGGCUAUUUCAAAAGAAGCCGUGAUGAAUGAAGAGUUUAGGAGGAAGGAACAAGAAAUUGUCUAUAAAUCCCAGACCCUGGUGACAAAAAAGAAAGAAAGAAGAGGGAGAAGCAAAAGUAGAGGACCCCAUAAUAGGAAUAACAAAUCCAGAAACAGGUCUAAAUCGCGAAAAAAUAUUGCGUGCUAUUAUUGUAAAAAGUAUGGGCAUUAUAUGAAGGAGUGCAAAAUCUUAAAACGGGAAUAAGUUGAGAAAAAGGGUAAGACGAAAGAAAAAGGUGAUGAAGAGACUACAAUAGUUGUGGCAGCUCAUUAUGAUAUGUUUGUGUUUUGUGAUGAUGGUCAGGUGAAUAUUAUUCAUUAUAACAGUGAUUGGGUAGUUGAUUCGGGUGCAUCCUACCAUAUUACUCCUCACAGGCAUUUCUUCUCAACCUACACCGAAGGAGAUUUUGGACAUGUUAGGGUGAAAAAUGAGAUCUCAUGCAAAGUUGUUGGUAUGGGAGACAUAUAUUUGAAUACAGAUAUCAGGUGCCAGCUGAUAUUAAUAAAUGCUCGACAUGUCCCUGAAAUUUGCCUUAAUCUUAUUUCUACAGGAAACUUGACGAUGAGGGUUAUCAUAACUUGCAAAUGGAGGCAAAUGAAAACUCAGCAAAGAAAAUCUCGUUGUUGCUAGAGAAAAGAAGUAGAGUACUCUCUACUUGAUGCAAGCCAAGUUGGGGAAAGGAGAAGUGAAUGCAGUUCGUGAUUCAUCAAUUGAUCUUUGACAUAGGCGGCUUGGGCACAUGAGUGAAAAAGGGAUUUAGACACUUGUUCGCAAACAAAUAGUGUAUGGACGGGAAAAGAUGUGUUCUUUAAGCACUUGAGAGUUUUUGAUUGUCGGGCAUUUGUUCAUAUUCCCAAAGAUGAGAGAUCAAAAAUUGAUGUAAAAUCAAAAUAAUGUAUUUUCUUGGGUUAUGGACAUGAAGAUUUUGGUUAUAGGUUGUAUGAUCCUAUUGAGAAAAAGGCGAUCAGAGGCAGAGAUGUUGUCUUCUUUGAAGAUCAAACCAUUGAAGACAUUUAUAAAGGUGAUAACUCAAACUCUUCAGAUGACAUUCCUGCUAACUCAAAUUCAGAUCUAGAUUCAAUUCCAGUACCUGUUGAUUUUAAUCAAGGGGGAGCUGAGACAGAGCAGAGAAAGGUUGUUAAGGAUGGUGAUAAUCCUACUGCUGAUGAACCUGAGCAUGAGGCACCACCUACUCCAUCACCACAAGAUGAGUUUAGAAGAUCUACCAGAGAGAGGAGACCUUCUGGCAGAUAUAAUGCUCAUGAAUAUUUGUUAUUAACAGAUGGAGGAGAGCCAGAAUCCUACCGUGAGGUUUUAGAGCUUGAGAACAAAGAAGAUUGGUUGUGAGCCAUGCAAGAGGAGAUGGUGUCCCUGCAUGAGAAUCACACUUAUGAGUGAGUGAAACUGCCUAAGGGUAAGAGAGUUCUAAAGAAUAAAUGGGUUUACAGGUUGAAAAUUCAAGAGUACAGUUCACAACCAAAGUACAAAACAAGAUUGAUUGUGAAGAGAUUUAGUCAAAAAAAGGAUAUAGAUUUUGAAGAAAUCUUCUCUUCUGUGGUAAAAAUGUCAUCAAUUCGAGUUGUUCUUUGUAUUGCAGCCGGUUUGAAUUUGAAAAUCAAACAACUUGAUGUGAAAACAGCCUUCCUGCAUAGUGAUUUGGAAGAGGAGAUCUACAUGGAACAACCGGAGGGGUUCAAAGAAAGUGGCAAGAAAAAUCUUGUAUGCCGUCUCAAAAAGAGUUUGUAUGGGUUGAAACAGGCACCGAGACAGUGGUAUAAGAAGUUUGACUCCUUCAUAAUAGAUCACGAGUACCACAGAACUAUAUCUGAUCACUGUAUUUAUGUGAAAAAAUUUUCGGAUGGUGAUUUUGUUAUUCUCUUACUAUAUGUUGAUGACAUGUUGAUUAUUGAUCGUGAUACUAUAAAAAUUGACAGGUUGAAAAAGGACUUAAGUAAAUCUUUUGCAAUGAAAGAUUUGGGUCUGGCUAAACAGAUACUGGGGAUGAAAAUCUCACGUGACAGGCAAAAUGGGAAGCUCUAGUUGUCUUAAGAAAAAUACAUUGAGAAAGUACUCAAUAGGUUUAACAUGAGCAACGCUAAGGAAGUCUCAACUCCACUUGCAGGUCACUUUAAACUGAAUAUCAAGCAAUGUCCUACAAGUGAGAAAGAUAAAAAAAGACAUGAAGAAGGUUCCUUAUGCUUCGGCUGUUGGUAGCUUGAUGUAUGCUAUGGUUUACACCAGAUCAGAUAUUGCUCAUGCAAUUGGAGUAGUCAGUCGGUAUCUCUCUAAUCUUGGUAAGGAGCAUUGGAAUGCUGUCAAUGGAUUGUCAGGUAUUUCGAGGAAACUUCUAAAUUGUGUCUAUGUUUCGACAAUGGUAAAACUAUACUAGAUGGAUACACUGAUGCAGAUAUGGCAGGUGAUCUUGACAAUAGGAAUUCCACAUCUGGGUACUUGAUGAUUUUUAUUGGAGGAGCAGUGUCAUGGCAAAGUAAGUUACAGAAGUGUAUCGCCCUUUUUUAGUUCAGAGGCGGAGUACAUCGCAACCAUUGAAGCAUGCAAGGAGACUCUUUGGUUGUAGAAAUUUCUUCAAGAGUUGGGUAUGAAACAAGAGAAGUAUAGUCUUUACUGUGACAGUCAGAGCGCUAUUCAUUUGUGUAAGAACUCUACAUUUCACUCUCGAUCCAACAUAUUGAUGUGAGGUAUCAUUGGAUUCGAGAAGUACUGGAUUCCAAUUUGUUGACACUUGAAAAGGUGCAUACAAAUGAUAAUGGUACCGACAUGUUGACCAAGACAUUACCUAAGGAGAAACUCUUGUUUUGCAGACAAGAAUCAGGUCUGGUGAAGCCCCCCAAAUGAGUUGGAGGGGGAGAUUGUUGGACUUGUGUGUGGGCCAACCCAUUUGUGCAAGUGAACAAAGCUUGAGGUUUUCUCAAGCAUAAAUACAAGAAGCUGCCGCACAAACCAAAUAUACAUAGAGAGAAAAGGUUAGCCGCCACCUAGAGAGAAACGAAGGGAGAGAAAGAGUGAGAGCUAGAGAGAGAAAAUUCUUUGCAACUUUGAAACCUCAAUUGGAAAGUGAUUUGAAGUCCGAUUGAGACGAAAUUUUACAUACGCGAUCCUCUCGUCAAGUUCUACUCAUCUAUUGGUUCAGAUUUCAAAUUUUCUCUUCGUUUGGUAACACCUUUCCAAACUCACUUCUUUGACAAUUGUAAUUUUUGGGGGUGAUUUUGUAGCAAUUUUCUUGGUUGGUAUUGAUGAUAUUAUUGUCAUCGGAAAAUUUCGGGUAGAUCUGUGUAUUCCUAUUAUUGUAAUAGUGGAGAUUUUUGACUAGACUAGGUCCCGUGAUUUUUUCCAAUUUGAGUUUUUCACGUAAAAAUCUUGGUGUCCUGUGCCUUUUAUUUUUCUUGCAUUUUAUUGUCACUGCUGGUAUUAUUAAUUGGUAAUUUGGUUUAUUCCUAAUUUAACUGGUACUUGGGGAAAGAGAAAUUUGUUCUUGGGUUAACUCUGAUAUUGUGUGCCUGUACCGGUACCCCUUUCCCAACAUUUUCUAACAUGAUUUUCUCCACUGCCACUUUACAAUCUGACUGAAUUUCUACCUUUCUCUAGCCUUCUAACUUUGCUUUAAAAAGUGCAUUCCUGGUUGUAUUUGUUUCUUCAAUCAACGGUUCACUAUUUCUUUGUUCGGGACCUACGCAAGCACUUAUAAUUGCUCCGUUAGCUCCUCUAGCAAAAAUUCCCCAGUUAGCCUUGCCUUUCCUUGUAUCUACUGUUGCAUCAGUACUGAGCUUGAUUAUGCCUUCUUGCGGUAGUAACCAUUUGUUCUUGCCUCUUGUGUUUCCCUCCUUUUCUUCUUCUUCAUCUACUUUCUCCGUCUGUACACUCUGACAUUCAAACCAUUCCUGCAUUGCCCCAUUAAUUAUCGAACCUAGAUGCUUUCUUUUCUUGUUGAAAUGUAUCUGAUUUCUUGACUUCCAAAUCUGCCAUAGGAUAUUUACUGUUAGUAUAAUAUGAUCUUUUCUUUCAACUCUAUCCUUGGCUCCCAGGAUGCUAUUCCACCACAACCAAAACUUAUUUCCAAACUCAUGGAUUUCAGCCCAUUUAAUUGGAGCCGCGUUCCAUUUCAUCUCAGCAUGGCUGCAAAAGAAAAACAUAUGUUCAAUUGUCUCUUUACCUUCUCUACAACAUAUGCAGUUAUCAUCUUCUUUUCCUAUUCUAUUCUCAACACCUCAUUCACUGGGAUUAUUCUAUGUAACAUUUCCAUAUGAAAUGUUUGAGCUUCUGCUUCAUAUUUAGACUCCAUAAAGACUUCUAGACUUUAGUGUUUUGCUCGUUUCUACAACUACUCGCUUCUUGCUGUAUCCUUUCCAUUUUUUUCCUUUUGGAUCUUCUUUGCAACCAUAUAUCCAGUUUUACCAAUAGACACUCUUGUAGUUGAGUAUGGCCACACUAGUUUGUCUUUUCCAUUGCAGAUGCUGAGUAGGAUACCGAUGAUACGCUUGCAAUCUUCUUCACUAAACACUACUUUUAUCUUAUCCACAUUCCACUUUCCAUUUUGUAUUAAUUCAUACACCUUCUGCAAUUGACAAUUUGGUGGCUUUGAAGUAAAUACCUUCCCUUUUCCUCUAUCCAUUAUCCAUUUGUCCCUCCAAAUAUCGAUAGUACGUCCAUCUCCUACUCUUUUUCUAGCACCCCUUUCAAGCAAAUCUCUGGCACUUAUAAUACUUCUCCACAUCCAUGAAUCACUAGCUCUAAUCUUCAUCUCCCAAAUUGAUUGUCCCUUAAAGUACUUUCCCCUCAGCACCUUGCUCAUAAUCAAAUUACGUUGAGUCAGUAUUCUUUAUAACUGUUUUGCCAACAUUGCACUAUUGAAUUCCUGAAUUUGCAGCAUCCUUUUCCAAUUCAUCCAAUGAAUUCUCUUCUCCUUCUCCUUUUCUCCCCACCAAAACUUUGCCAUCUCUUUAUUGAUCCCCUCACAUAAUCCUUUAGGCAAUUUGCAGCAUGCCAUUGCAUACGUUAGCAUAGCUAUGAUAACUGACUUUAAAAGCACCUAUUUGCUUGCUUGAUUUAAUGACCAUUCUUUCCACAUUUUCAGUUUAUUUAUCACCUUUUCCUUCAUGUAGCUAAAGACUUGCCUUUUGGACCUACCAAUUACCAUUGGCAAUCUAACAAGAUUCUACCAUGCCCCAAAUUUUAAUAAAAUCUAAAUACCCUAUUUUCUACAAGUAUACAGAUAAUUUAUCGAGUGUAGGGAUAUUAGGCGUGGAUCCCACAUAGAAGAUUGUCAAUUAUCGAUGGUUUUGAAUUCUUUUAUUAUUUAGACUACCACAAAUUCAAGAGAUUAAAUCUACACUACACACAUGAAAUAAGAGUAAUAAAAAUAACAAUAGAAAACUCCUAAGGUUAUGAAAUUUCUUACUACUCUUGCAAGUGAAAUUAUCGAUUAAUGAAUGUUAUUAACUUGGUUAGUUAUAGUGUAAUUUCAUAAUUUCUGUGAAACCUAUUCUCAUAGUAAAUCAACUAUACUUUUGGUUAAACCAUACCUACUCUCAUGGUUAUGAAAUUAACUACAAACUUAUUUUUCUAUGAAAUUACAUGGAACAAACUAUGAAAACCACAAAAGUGUACCUCUACUCUCGUGAGUGUACUCUCUAGGUUUAGUACUUUUUUGAACUAGUGUCAAAUUCUAAUUCUCAUUGCAAACUGAACACCUUAAAAUUAUCACAAUUAAUGGCCGAUAAAUCAUGAUUAGAAAAGCAAAAGUGAUAACUAGCUUACUCAAAAUAAUAUAAUCAAAUAACCAAGUAAAUACUACAAAAAAAAUAUAGAAAAUUCAUCCAUAACUCUAAGUAUAAAUUUAAGCAAAAUAUGAAGAGAAUGAAAGAAAAGACCAUACUUGUAUUAUAGUUAAACAUGAACUCAAAUACAAAAGUCAAAGUCAUAGGAGAGAAGUCACUCUUGUCACAUGAGUUCCAAGCUCUCCAUCUUGUUUCUUAAUUUUUCAUCCAAAUCUAGCUACAAAUACAAGAAGAAUAAACUACACUAACUAUACUACACUAAUAAACUAAGAAAAACUAGUGAAGACUACAUUUUGGUAGUGUUUCUAGCCUUCGAAAGUUAUUAAACAAGCUAGGCCCUAUUUAUAGAGAAUUAAAGUUUCAAGCAAUCAUGUUUCAAGUUGUGCUAAUUGUGUCUUGAGAUUCCCAAAAUUUGUUUCUCCAAAUUUUCAAGAUGCUUCUUGCACUUUUCAACUGAAAUUCGUUCAGAGCUACAAAUACAAGAAGAAUAAACUACACUAACUAUACUACACUAAUAAACUAAGAAAAACUAGUGAAGACUACAUUUUGGUAGUGUUUCUAGCCUUCGAAAGUUAUUAAACAAGCUAGGCCCUAUUUAUAGAGAAUUAAAGUUUCAAGCAAUCAUGUUUCAAGUUGUGCUAAUUGUGUCUUGAGAUUCCCAAAAUUUGUUUCUCCAAAUUUUCAAGAUGCUUCUUGCACUUUUCAACUGAAAUUCGUUCAGAAAAUUGGUCCAAAAGUAGUAGGAAAGAGCUGCAAGUUGAAGUACAACUAGUUCCAGCUAUAAAGCAACCAAAAUGUGAAUACACACCCUCAAAAUGUGGGUUGAGGCCACGUAUUGCCUCCCCUGCACGUUUGCACUUUUCUUAUCAGUCUUCAACAUUGCUUUAUUUUUGUGCCAAAUUUAACUGGUAUUUUCUCAAUAAUGAAGGCCAAAUUAGCUCUUGUACAAAAAUAAAAGUUGCAACCCUUUAGUUAGCUUUUCAAUGCACUAAGAGUCAUGUAAUUUUGAGCUCUGUAGACUGAGAAAUGACCAAAAGACCCAUGACUAGUCAAUCCCCUGUUUCACCUUUCGACAAAAAAAAAAGGCUGACUAUAUUUCAACUUUUUGACUAGAAAAACUCAAGAAAUGGAUUUCAAUGUCUCAUAAUAAAUAUAGGGCUAUGUGUUAUAUUCAAAAUGGCUCAAGAAUCAUCUCAAUCCGAUGCUUCUAACUCAAGAUAUAGCCAAAAUACCAAAGGUGUCAAAGCCGUCAAACAUUUUUUCUUUUAUACUUGAUUGCAUUUCAUCUUUUGAAUAUUUUGCACUUCAUAUUCUCUUUAAAUCACUUCAAAUCAUCAACAAUCAUCCAAAUAUCUUUUCAAUUCAUUACAUUUGACUAUUGAAUCAUUAAAGCCUACAAAAACAUAAAGUUUUCAUCGUUUGAACACAUAGAAACUCAAUUUUUUAUACUUUGAACCACAAAAUGCAUAAUUCACUAGAAACCUAGUUAAUUAGUUAUAAUAAUGAAUAAAACACAUCAAAACUAAAUGAUAAAACACAUUUAAAUCACUCAAAAUGCACAGUUAAGUACUUACUUUGCUUUACUUCUUUCAUUCCACCAAGAAUUUCCACUAAAGGGUGAUUACACUAAAAGAUUUGGCUUCCAAUCAGUCGGUAUUCUAGACAUUGAUAGGUUUCAGCACAUUAGAUUUACGAACUCUUUUUUUUUUCGUUUUAACGACUUAAAUUUUUUUUUUAUCAUCAAAUGCAAUUCUAUUAUACAACUUAUUUUCAUCAUUUGAUCCAUAAUACCUUCGUAAAUCAAUACCAAAUUGAAAGAAACAAUAACUAAAUAUAAACACAAAAAGAAACAUGUUAAAAGUGGAAUAAGGAUGAAAAGGUCUGAUCACAUUGUUGACAAUAAUAGUGAUAGAGUUGAGGUGAGCAUUUUUGCAAAUCUCACAAAAGACUUGAUGUUGACCACUAAAAAAAAGGAAACAAUUGGAUGAGCAAUAAUUAUCUCACCAAUUCUUUUCACUCUUUACUAUCACAUAAUACAAGGUAGUUCAAAUUGAGCUUGCAGUCUAACAGCUACGUGACUAAUGACCAGAAGAAGGUUUGGUAUAUGUUGGUUAGUCACAAAUACUUGUGAAAAGAGCAAAACUUAGGAUCCAAUAGCUUGUAUACUUGCAAGAAAGUACUACACAAACAAACGAUAAUUGAUUUGGUCGAAUGUGAUCAGAGCAUCUUAUAAGCUAGAAUCUUAUACUAAUCGAUGACAAACAUCUAUGAAAUAGUUAGAGUCUUACUCUCAUCCUAGCAAAUCAAUUUCUUAGUUAGAGUCUUACUCUCAUCCUAGCCAGGUUUUAUUAUUAUUUUUUCUCGGUUAAUAACUUCCAAAUAUUAGAUUCAUGGUUUCUUUUUAGAAAUUCCUAUGUUUUAUUUGAUGUAUUUACUUUCAGUUGACAUAUAAGCAUUAUUCAAUGCAAUAUGCGGUAGGUUUUUUCCUGCUUCUGCUACUGUCAAAAAUUUUGUUUUCUUUUGCAAGUCAAAAUCAAAUUAGGAUUUGUUAUCCCUUAUGUUAUAUCCAGAAUCUAGUAGAAUAAGAUUAACAUUAUGUUAUUUGGUAGAAACUAUGUUUAAUUAAGUAAUUUCAUCCCAAAUCUAACUAUAUUUCGUAAGAAAAACGUAAUAUGGUUCUCUUUCUAAAAUAAAAACUUUAGGAUGAUAUUACACAAGUCAUUCAAAUUUGGAACUAGCCUUAAUAUGUUAUGGGAGGGUUAAUGUUGGAAAGUAAAAACUACUUUUUACAAUAAUUAAUAAAGUAGAAAUACUUCUUCAAUUUCCUUUUACAACAUGGUUCCCCUUUUUUUGGGUUUAACUUUGUUUUACAAUAUGAUGUCCCUUUUUUUUUUUUGUUUAACUUUGUUUGGAAUUCCUUCCGUUUAGAAUACUAAAUUUUAAAAGACAGUUUUUACAUCAACACUAAUAAUAUCCAUAAAUAUUCCUCACCCAAUUCGUAUUUGAAAUUUAAUAUACGUUUCAUUAUUUAAUUAUACAAGCGUGUUACUGGAAAGCCAAAACUAAAUCACUAAAACACCGAAUCACACUGGUGCUUUUAGUAUAUACACAUGACAGAUAUUUAUAGGGAUGGCAAUGGGGCGGGGGACAACUCCCCCAACCCCCGCUCCGUUGCAUUUUAAUUCCCCCCCCCCCGGGUUCCCUCGCCCAGCCCCGCUUCCUCCGCGGGGCCACUCUUGGGGUUAAAAAAAUUUUAUUAUAUAAUUUCAUUAUAAUUAAAUUUGAGCAAAUAAUCAAGUACUAAAAUAUCAAGUCAUCACCAAAUUAUUAUUUAUUGUAAUUUCACAAUUGAAACUCAUACAAAUAGUUAAACAAAGGUUAUUUGAAUACAAUUUAAUAUGAUAAAACAAAUAUAAUUAAAAUAAUCAAGUUUUCACUUUUGAUACAAAUACAAUCACUAAAUUAUUAUUGUAUUUUUUUUAGAAAAAAGUGUUAUUGUAUUAAGUGUAGUUAGGAAUUUAACAUAAAUGUAUUAAUAAAUUUAGUAUAAAUAAUUAAUAAUUUUUAUUAAUAGACAUGUAUAAUUAGUAGUAUAAUUGAUAAUAUCAUUAUAUAUAUAAUUAUGUACAUACAUAUAUAUAUAUAUUUCAAACGGGUGGCGGGACGGGGGAGUAUACCCCCGCCCCGUUUCUAAACGGGGGGAAAAAAUUCCCCCCUCCCCCGCCCCAAUGAUCCCUGCGGGUGUUUGCCCCCGUUGCCAUUUCUAGAUAUUUACACAGAGAGGCUUAUUUGGUAUCUAGUCUAGGGCGAUAUCCGCAAAACCAACGAGGCAACCACAAAAUUGAAAAAUAAAAAUAAAAUGCCUUGAGAAACAUUAGACAUAGAUUCAAGGGAUUGUCAACCAUGACAUUCCAAAAGAAAAGGAGAACAACAAAUCAAAGAGGAGAAUCAUCGAGGACAUCAGAAAUUAAAACCCAAUAAAUUAACUUUCUGAUGUUGAAAUAAUGGUCAAGUGAAAGGCAUCACAACUCCAAAACUUGUUUUCUCCUUUUUGUUAAUAACAGCUCGUAUAAGUGUGAACAUUGUGGAAGAUAGAAGCAUAAAUCAGCAUAACGAGAAGAAAAUUGAAAAUAAACUUAGGAUCCAUGAGCUACUAAUGACUUGGCCCAAGUGUUUUAAACCAGUAAUUUAAUAAACUUCAAAAGUUUUUAUUGAGCUAGGUAUGUAAGAUGUGUAAGAUGUGUAAAAUGCAUUCAAGGUGCUCUGCCUGUGAAAGCAGCAGUAAAUAGACGAACGGGGGAGGGUGAUCCGAUAUGUAAGAUGUGUGGUUUAGCACAGGAGACAGUCGAACAUCUUUUGCUGAAUUGCCCCCACUCGGAAAACAUAUGGAAGGCAUCUCCCAUUCAGUGGGAUGGAGCAAAGGAGCAGCAGGGAGAUUUCAAAAGGUGGUGGUUAAGAAUCUCUGAAGCAAGGCACAGGUCAGAAGGGAUGGAACACAUUGGAUUAACUGCAAACAUCCUGUGGCAGGUGUGGAAGGAAAGAAACAAAAUAGAAUUCGAGAAUGCUAACUUCGAUCCCCCCUUCAAAUCUAUAAGGAAAGCUCAUUUGGAAUGGUUAGAGCAGCAGCAGAUAGAGUACAAAGAAAAAGAAGAGAGCACGUUUGAAACAGUCCCUAGGCAAGAUGUUCAGCAUCAGAAUUAUGUAAAUGAAGGAGAAGUGCUAAUGGAGGUGAAUACAACCACGAAGCAAGGGCAGUUGUUUGUGGGAAUUGGAGUCACAGUUCAGUUUUUUGCAAGGAACACGAUGAUAGGGUGGGCACUGAAAGACAUUAGUUCUGGAAACAAAAUCCUAGAUGAAGCGUUGGCACUGAAGCUGGUGUUGUGUAAAGCUGUACAACGCAAGUGGAGCAAUCUUAAGCUGAGAUUUUGUAACAAAGAACUGUGGAGACAAUUAAAAUAUCAGAGCCCAGCAAACAGCAAAAUGGCAACAGUACUUGAAGACAUCUCUCAGUUACAGAGAUUGUUUUGCAUGUGCUCUUUUGUUUUGGAUAGGGAAGAAAAUAUGACAGUCAGUAAAACAUUGAGUGUUGAUGCGUUAAGCAUUAUUGUGGAUGAGGAGCGACAGCUUCCUCAGUGUCUUUGAACACUUGUUUGUAGAGUUCCGAUCGAGCCGUUGCUCGCACUUGUAAUUUUUUUUUUUUACCAUGAAAGCAAUGAAAUCAUCUUAUCGUUUCGACAAAAAAAAAAAAAAAGCUAGGUAGCCUGGACUGACGUAACAAUUGGGGUUCCAAUUUAAUCUAUCAUCUCACUUCUUUCUUUCUUUUGUUUUUGUUUUCAUCCAUAACAGUGUAGUUAACCACCAUUGCCAUUACUAUUACUAGAGAGGACGAAAGGCGGCUCUUUUUUACCAAUCAGAAUCGUCAUAUCCUAUCUAAUUAGUCAUUUAGUUUACUGUAAUGUAAAGAAAACGUAAGAUACGCUCGACAAAGCCAAAUCAUAAUUUUGUGUUUCUAUUUUCCUUCUUUCUUCUUUGUGGGAAAUUAUGUAUACUAUUAUAGUACUUGAUCUUUAAUUGCCAAUAAUAUUGAAGUUGACACAUGUUUCAUUCUAUAAUUAUCAUGUCUGGAGGUGCAAUUUUUUAUUCUGAGGUUUGCCUUUUUUGAUAGAUUAUAUUCACCUUUCAUCAUCGAAUUGAAUUUUCAACGUACCAAGGUUUUCUCAAAUAGCUUCGUACAAGAUGCAUGAUAUUUGUUCUGAUUUACCAUAUCAUCUUAGUAUUCGUAUGGGAUCUUUCUGUUUACCUGAUCAUUGUAAUGAUAUAUGGUUAUAAUGGAACUAAAUGGGAGGGUAGUUAGCGGGAGCCCGAACUAAAUUCUUUUGAAUAUGAGACCUUGAUUAUGACAAUACAUAAAUACCCUCAAUGAUAUUAGAAACUGCAUUCAAAUUUAGGGACAUGAUAUAGUCGUAAUUAUUUUGUAAGAAGGGUGAUCUUGAAAAGAAAAACUCAAAUGCUCAAUCAUCAAAACAAACUCGCUCUUAGCUUAGAUAUAGAUAUAGAUGAAUCUUUAUAAUUAACAAAGUACACCAUGGCAAUCAAUAAAAGUCAAUGGUAGGUAGAAUAGCUGGCAUCAAGGAACACCAUGUUGAAGGUAACUACUGCAUAGAUAUGGAUAUAGACAAAUAUAAAUAUUUAUAAUUAACAAGGUAACUACUGCAUAGAUAUAGAUAUGUUGAUCAAUAAAAGACAAUGGUCGGUUGAAAGCUGGCAUCAUCCUUGAAGGUGUCCUUUAGGACAGGAGCCAGAAAGCAAAACGAAGGAGAUCAGUAAAUUUAUCACAAGAUGCCUUGAGCUUACAAGAGUCAUCCUUGACAACGUCCUUUUGGACAAAAGAGCUAAAAAAAAAAAAAUUGAAGGAGAUCAAUAAAUUAAUCACAAGAUGACCUGAACUUACGAGGAAGCCAAUUUGUGCAAUAAUACACCAUAUUUUAUAGAUGGGAAUCUGCAAGUGGUGGAGUUGGGUAAGACUCUGCUUAUGCAAUUGUGGGGUUCCAGGCUUCAAAAUAAUGCAAAGAUGACAAUCAUGAGUUGGAGCCAGCUUAUUGAUGACAAUAAUGCUGUCUGAGAUGUGAAAUGUGAGAGUUGAAUGCUGUCUGAGCUCAUUCCAGUGUGAAAGAACCUUUUGCGAUAGCAAAAUGCUGUUCUCUGCCAGUCUCAUUCGGUCAUUUGCAAUAUGAUUAUGGUUACCUAAUCAUUUACCUACGGUAUAUCUAUAUGAGGGCAAAACUCGUUCACAUGCAUUAAUGCUAACAAUAAUGAUCUACAAUACUAAACAAGAUAUAUCACGAUAUAUGCGUUAUAAUCUUAUGUUUCUCUCUCUUCUAUUGUUACCUGAUUUUUCUUUCACCAUCCUUGCUUUUUAUUUCACCAUCUCCCUAAAUGGUAAGUCAUCUAGAUAUGUAGUGAUUUUCUUGUAGCAAUACUCUAUUUUUAAAUAGGAAUCUCCAAAAAUUUUUUAAGAAGGAUAGAGUAUUGUACACCAAUUUGUUAUUUAUAUGGUACUGCAAGUAUUCAAAACUCAAAAGGAGGCCUUAAAAGGGGCAAACAAUAAAGUAAAGGAAGAAGGACCUCAUGACUCGUGAGGUCAGAAUUAUUCUUUGAGCAAAUUGCACCGAAUGUCAUUAAACCAUUCACUUUUACUAUUUUUGAUAAUUAAACUAAUUUCUUAGCCGAAAAUGUUACUAAACUAACCAAAUUGUAUGUUUUGGGUCAUUCUGUCUAAUUUGAUCCUCAAAAGAGAUAGAAUGGCUGUCACAUGAUCUGCACAUGUAGGGUUUGAAGGACAAAAUCGUCCAAACAUUUCAAGUGGACAAAAGGGACACAAAGGUCAAUCGUUUAAUUCACAAUCUGGAAUUCCUCUCAGUUUUAAUUGAGUGAAAAAAUUUUCUCCAUUUCUCCUGUGAAAUCGAAUUGAAACUAAAUAGAAAAUCUGAAGAUGCAAGUGAAAGAUAGAAGACGAAGUUCAUCAGUCAAGCAAGUCCUAGGUUGAUUUCCUUUUCUCAGCAGCAUCCCAGUAUAAAGAUUGCAUGAAAUUCUUGGACAAUCUUGCAGCAAAUUCAAAUGCAAAGUAGGCAAGUUGAGGCUCCUUAAAAUCUAUCUACACAGUGAAGGCGCUCUUCCUUUGUGUGUUUCUUGCUAAGUCAUUUAUUUUUGCCCAAAUGCUAUCUCGCACCGAUCACACCCUCCUGAACAAGAAAUAGUAGCACUAUUAGCAUGGACAUUAUAUCAAACAUUUGGCGUACAACAUGAAAAAAUGGUCCCAAUUACUUAGCCGACAAGGAUUCCCACAGCGGUUAAGCUUCUUAGACUACCAGAUGAUGCUAGACUUCUGGCUCAUUUAGCAUUGAUCUUGAUGUCGAGUAAUGAAUUUGAAAGUCCAUUUUGAUUCCCAAGUCUCUAGAACCUUAUUUCUGUAGUACGAGCAAUCUUGGCAUCCUCUGGAUCUGGCUCAGGGAAAUCCAUGUGAAAUGACCCCGGUUUGAUGGGUGCAUCAGCCUCUAGGAGUUUAGAUGUGAAAUGCGGGAAUUGGGUUUCUAUGAAGGGAUGCUGAAAUUGUGAUUGGAUCAGCUUGCUUUCCCCUUCCUCUCAGGUGCAUAUUAGAACAGGUAAAGAAAUUUAUUUCAUUAAUCCGACUUUAUUUCCCAGAUUCUUCAAAAUGAUUUUCAUCCCACAGUAGCGAGUCGGAGUCGGUUCCUUGCAUCUUGAUCUUGAGAUUUGGGCAGAAAUUGACAAGAGCAUUGGGGUUUAGAUUUGGUGAAUGAAAUUGUCCGUAAUGUCGAAGGGCUGUUUAUGAAGACAAUUUUCAACCAAAGCUACCCUGGUGAUUUUGCCUCCAAAAAGCACGCUUGCAAGCCACGUGAUAGCCAUUCUAUUUCUUUUGACGAUCGAAUUAAGACAGAAUAACUAAAAACAUAUAAUUUGGUUAGUUUAGCGAUAUUUUCGGCUAAGGAAUUAAUUUAGUGACCAAAAGUAGUACAAGUGAAUAAUUUAAUGACAUUUGGUGCAAUUUACUCUUAUUCUAUCAAGCGCACGGCAGAGCGGCCAAAAUUGGAAAAGAAUAUAAAAUUAUGAAUGAAAUGCAGAGAGGAACCAAGAAAUUCAUAAAUUACCUUCAAAUGUCAAAAGAGUGGUGUUUUUCACCUACCAGCGCACCCUUUAGGCUUUAACGCGCUGCUGCCCACCCACCUCUUUUUCAAAUAAGUGGUAGAUAUAUAGAUAAUUGCAAUGAUUUUUCGACUAAAAUGGGGUUGUACUUUUAUUAUUAUGUUUUUCUUUUGGUCAAAUGAUGUGUAGUCAAAUAAAGAGGAAUUUGCUGAAGAAUAUAAGGGUUCAAAUCUUAUCUAUUAAAAGCCAGCUUCCUGAAUUUCAAAGAAGGAAGUUGAUUAGAAAUCUCUUCUUCAUAUUCUGGUUUUUGACAGAGUAGAACUUAAACAUUUGCUAUUAAUCAAACAAAAAGCCAACCAAUCGUUCUUGAUUGCUCACAUGUUGCUAAAUCUUAUCGUAAGCAUCGGAUCUUGGUUGCCUGCAUAAUUAUCAUCUUUUAAUUUUUCAAUUAAUUAUGCUGGAAAUGAAUACGAGUUCCACUUCAUUGCUAGUAUCAACAGGAUUUACUAUUUGACAGAAAAAAAAACAGGAUUUACUAGUAUUAGGAAUAAAUGUAGUUGAGAUAAAAAUGUGAUACUUAAUAUUUAUAUUAUUUUAUAUUUUUUCUGAGUUUAGUUUGCUCUAACCAAUACAAAUAUACAAGCAAUAAAUUAUUCUUUGUUCCAAGAGCACUUUUAUUUUGUAAUAGUAUCAAUAUUUUUGUCUUUGGUUAAAUUAAGAUGACCUAAAUGUUCUUUUUUAUGGCAUUUGAGUUUAAAUUUUUAAUUUUUUGAAUAAUUUGUUGCUCCCCUUUAAGUCAUUCAAUGAAAUGUUUAUUAGUUUUAGUGAGAUUUUUUAAUUAUUAUUAUUAUUAUUUGCCAACGGUGGAUUAUCAAAUGAUCUAUAGUGCUAUUGUUAUUAUAAUAGUAUCUAAAUAUAUUUAAAUUCCAUUGUUCGAAUUUAAAUAGCUUAACUUUGAAGAGAAAUGUUUUGAUUUGGUGAAACUUAUUUGUAUUUCGCAUUGAUAACAUGUUUUAUGGUUACAGAGUUUAUAUGAUUAAAAAUUGUAAGACAUUAAGGUUAUUUAUUACAUAAUAGUCAAUUUGAACUUGGAUAUAUUUUAUUCACUUUUGAAGUACUCCUUGAAAUUGAUAUUUUAUAUAAAAAAAAAUUUUUGGCUUAAUUCACCACAACUCGAAGGGAUGUUUUAGCUUUGUAAUUAUUAUUUUGAUUGGUAUUAAUGAACAUAAUAUUCAUUAAUUGUAGUUUAAUACUAUUAGUUGUUACAAGAAUAUGAUUGAUGAAGUUCAUUAAAUUUAAUCUUUAUUGCAAUUUAAAUAAAUAAAUUCCCAACAUAAAACUCUUUGCCUACCUUGUUACUCCAUUUUCUUUGUUUUUUUGUAAUAAAUUUUUUUUUUACUCAAAACUAAUAUACGCAUAUUAAAAAGGUGCUCUUAAAUCUUAAUUUACUUUUAUCCAAAAACUAAAAAAAAACUCAAGGUACUUUUUUAAGACUCAUAAUACCAAUUUAUUAUAUUUUGUUUCAUGUUUGAAGUACUGUCUAAACUUGUUUAUUGUAAAUUAAAUUUGUUCUUCUUUCUUUUGGCAAGUAGAAAAGUAAGGAAUUUUUCAUUUUUGUAAAUUGCUAGCAUGUUUGAUAGUAUUUAUUAAUGAUGAGAUGCAGCGCAAUUUGUCCAUUUAUUAGAAAGGAGUGUAAUUUUGGCAUCACAUAAACUAAUAUCAUUUUUUGCUUACACUAUUAACCACUAAGAUUCACCAUAUUCUUUUAAUAAUUUAUAAACUAAAUUUGUUCUUCUUUUUUCAAUUUAAUUCACUAUAACUCAAGGGAAUGUUUUUCAUUCUUGUAAUUGUUGGCAUAAUUGAUAUUAAUUAUUGAUGAAAUGAAAUGAAUUGGUUGUUCUUUUUUUUUUUUUUUGUUUCAUUCACCGGAAUCACCACAAUUUAAGAAAUGUUUCUUUGUAACUGUUAGUAUAACUCUUAUUAAUUAUUAAGGAAAUGCAAUGUAAUCUAUCCAUUUAUUAGUGUUAAGAACAAUAUUGGCAUCACAAAAAUUAAUAUCAGUUUUUGCUUACACUCACAAUAAAGACUCAUCAUGCUUUUUUUUUUCUUAUUAAUAGCUUCAGGUUAUAAAGAUUACCAAUCUCUUGAGGGAUUGUACCUGCCAAAUAAAACUGUAGUCUUGAAUUAAUGCACGAAAUUGGAAGAUACAAUUUAGAAGCCAAUUAUGAGUCAGGGUCUUCCGUAAGAAGAAUUUAUCAAGAUGCAGUGCUAAACAGUAUUGUGACUCCUAACAACUUCAGUUUAUUCUUCAUAACUUCAGUUCCUUUGCCACAAAGUACACAGAGCGCUCAUUCUCCAUUUACUCUUAUCUUAUGGCUCAUCAUGCCCGUCAGCUCCAAUAUGUAUAUAAAAAUAUAGUUAGCUUUAAUUAUCACGCAUAAGAAUAUAAUAAUUGAAGAUAAUUUUGACAUGUACAAUAAUUGGAGAUGAAGAAAAUGAUUGGUAAAUAUAGUUGUAAGUGGGAAAUUCUUAAUUUUAAUUACCAAUAAUAGAAGAAAUUUUUAAAUUUAAUUUCAAUGUAAAAAUGUUUUUAAGAAACAGUGAUACACAUUGUAGGUUUAUUAGCACAUAGUAAUUAUACUAGUCAAUGAUGAAUAAUCUCAUAUCAUAUACAAUGUGACUUUAGACAUUGGCAAAUUUAGGAAGGAAAGAAUAGAAUGGAAAAUACCUACCACGUAAAAUGAGUCAUAUAGUAAACUAGGGUGUAUAUCCAAUAUUCGCUAUAUUUAUUAGAUGAACCAUUUUUAAUGUAGGUUGUACAAGUACAAGUGAGGACAAACCAAAUUGGGUUUAUGUAUUAUCUCUUACCAAAAUUUAAAUGUUAUUAUUUAGAUUUUUUUUUAAUGAAACGGUAGAUAUUAUCAAUACACUUCUAACUUGCCAACCUCUUGAUCGUUUGCUAAAUCAAUUAUAGAAAAGAUCAAGAAACAAUAAAUAAAAGAGUAAUAUACAGUACAUCAAGUCGUUAACAACAUCACACAAUAUACACGAUGUAGUAUGCAAUAAAUAAGGUAAAAUACAGAAAAAAAAAAAAAGAUGCAAUGUCGUCCACAUUCCAUAACCAGAGAAAGGGGAGUUGCUGCUGCUGCUGCUGCUACUUGCUAGGAAAGAUUAUAUGUUUUCCUCUUCUCCGCCCACAGCCAGCGGUCUCUCCAUUCAAUUACAGAUAGAAAAGAUCAAGAAACAAAAAGAUAACAACAAUAUCACUCAUCAUAUACGAUACAUAUAAUAAAUAAGAAGGUAAGACACACAAGAUGAUGAACUUCUCUCAUGGAUGUCGAAGGGAAAAAAGAUUAAGAAAAAAUAAAAACAAAAGAAGAGGAAGCCGUGUUGUCCACAACACGGAGGGUACAAACUAGAGAAAGGGAAGCCUCGGCAGCUGCUAUUGCUAGGAAUGAUUAUGUCUUCUUCUUCUUCUCCUUCUUCUCCCAUAGCUGGUGCUCUCUCCAUAUCCUAUCAUCUGUAUAGUAACCAAUGAGAAUUUCAGGAAUGUGUGCGAUUCUUGUGUAAUCUUCACUUUCUUCCUUCUGAUUCUCUAACAGCUUCUCUCUCAAUUGAGAACUCAUCUCAUACAAACCCAGCAGUUGAAGAUGGCUCAAGUACUGAAUGCCCGAAGGUAACUCCUCUAGUAACGGAAGUUGUUGUGUAAUCUUCACUUUCUUCCUUCUGAUUCUCUAACAGCUUCUCUCUCAAUUGAGAACUCAUCUCAUACAAACCCAGCAGUUGAAGAUGGCUCAAGUACUGAAUGCCCGAAGGUAACUCCUCUAGUAACGGAAGUUGUUGCAAAAAUAGUUUUUGGAGACGAGGCAAUGCACCCUCCUCCACUCUCAUCCAUCUCAACCCUUCCAUUCUCUUUAGGUGCAUCAUCUUCAGCAUUAGGAACCCUCCAGUCUUGAAACACAACCCUUCUCCCUGGUAAGAUCCACAGAAAUUGAUUUCACCCAAAUUGGGCAAAUGUUGGAGGGAUUCAAGCGGAUCCUCCUCACUCCUUAACCUGCUCCAGUCCAAAUCUAUUCUUACCAAGCCGUGAAGACGAGCUACCCAUUGUGGCAUCUUUUCUAAGCGGCCACACAAAAUCAGCAUACGAAGAGAUUGAAGAAACGAAGAAGAAGAAAGAGAAGGAUGAUGAUGAUUUAGGUCGAUUAUCUCGUGAUCAUCACCUUUUCCAAUUGAAUAAACACUUAAUUCCCGAAGACUGGUGAGGUUGGCAAGGGAGGAGCAGAGCUCCUUUCCAUCUUCUCUUCUUAACUUUGUAAUAUAUAGCUGUCUUAAUUGGGUCAGCUUUCCUAUCUCCUUAACUAUUGCGGAUCCACUACUUGCAUCUAUGCAGUCUAAUACUUCUAGGGCAAGAAGCCUUCCCAUAUUCGAUGGAGCUUUAAAUCCGUGAGAUCCAUAAUCAUCAUCUGAAGAAUCAACUUGUUGAUAUACUUUGAGAAACCGAAGUUUUUGCAGCUUUAGAAUUUCCAUGGGCAAUUCCCUAACUCCGGUGUUACCCAAAUUCAGAUACUCCAGAUGUUGAAGCUUUCCAAUGGCUUUCGGGACUCUCUCCACUCUUGUACCAUAUAGGUCCAGAUGCUUGAGAUGAAACAUCUUGAAAAUCUCAUUUGGUAUUUCCUCCUGGGUCUCUUGACCACCGAAAUCCAAAACCUUUAACAGCUUACUGCUCCCUAAAACUUCCGAUAACAGCGUUUUGAAUAGUAGCUGGUUCGUGGAUUCAAUCGUAACGAAUGAACGAAGGUGGUCAAAGCAAUUAUUUUGUCUUUGUUGGUGGUGCUGGGUGUUGUUACUGCUACUACUAUGGACUACAAGACGGCGUACCUUGUCGGACGGCCGCAUCAUUGGUUGUCCAGUAGUAACUGUGACUACGUUUUGUUCCCUUGACUUGGAAAUGAUAACUUCUCUCAAUAGGUCAUGGAUUCGACAAGUGUCGGGCAUUCCUUCAUAAAACACACGAGUCACUUGAAUUAAACUUCUAUUGACGAGUUCACUAAAGUAAGCCCAGGCUACAUCUUCAAUACUUAUUCCUUCCCUCCAUUCUACAAACCUUUCAGUAAUCCACAAAUAAAUUAGUCUAUUGCAUUCCAUUGCAUAAUCCUCUGGGUAGAUGCUUGUGUACAACAGACAUGUCUUUAGAUGCCAAGGCAAAUCACCAUAACUAAGAGAGAGUAUCUUUCUAACUCUGUCUAGCUUACCGGUGCCUUCUAAUUCACCUCCAAGACUGCGUCGAACCAUCUCCCAUUCCUCUGCUCUGUUUACAUCUUUCAAAGCCAAAAGCCCACUGAUUGCAAGAAUCGCAAGGGGCAAGCCCUCACAUUUAUCCAAUAUACCUUUGGCAACAUCCAUCAAAUGGCCAGGGCAACUAUUUCCUUUAAAGAUCUUGUUACAAAACAGGGUCCAUGAAUCUUCAAAGGACAGUGGCUCCAUUCUGUGGAUAUAACCUAGAGAUUCUGUACAAGAGGCAGAGGUUACAUCAGCUUUUCGAGUUGUUAGCAUGACACGGUUGCCGUGGCUACUCUCGGGCAGUGCAAAUUUGAUGGUAUUCCAAAAUUCCACGUCCCAUACAUCAUCAAAAACAAUUGCAUACCUUUCAGCUUGUUGAAGAAAAUCUUUGACAAAUUUUUUCAGCUCAGUGGUAGUCAUGGACUCGAUCGAUUGUGGGACUGGUUUCUUCCCUUCCUCGUGUAACUGCCGAAUCAAGUUUUUCAGGAGGUACUGAAAGUCACAUGUUUGAGAGACAGUUACCCAAGCACGGACUGGGAAAUGCCUUCUGACUUCAGGAUCCUCGUGGACUUUUUUCACUAGGGUAGUUUUGCCAAGUCCUCCCAUACCAACCACUGAAACAACUUUCAGUUGGUGAUCAUCCCCUUCGAGGAGCUCAGAAAUAAGACGUUUCUUGGGCUGGUCAAUGCCAACUAAUUUAGCUUCUUCCACAAGCAGUGCGUCAUCUCUGCUAUAGCGCCAGGUUGUGUUGUUCACAGCCGAAAGUGAGUUGGACGCUUGGGCAGAGAUACCAUAUUCGGAUUGGUAUCUUUGAUGAGCUUCAGAAAUACUUUUGAUUCGGGACUUGAUGCUUUGUAUUUCGCUAGCAACGCGAUGACGAGCUCUCAAAUUCUUGAUGGAGCUGAAAAUUCUCCGAACAGAGCCGUAGAAUCCUGUUGCGGGAUGCCGAGCAAAGCGAGCUACAAAUUCAUCAAGAAUGUCCUCAGUGCCAUAAGCAGCAUCUCGCACUUGCUUGAUCCAUUGUUGGAGCGUGGGUUGAGCAUCUUCUUCUUUUGCUUCUGCCUCUCGCAGGAAAGCUCUCAUUUGCUCCAACUCAUCCCUGAUGAAUUGAACCUCUUGCUGAAGCCCUCCCAAUAGUCGUCCCUCGUCGCGCAGAAGAGUUGAGAGUUGACGCAGCACAAAAGAGAGAACUGUUUCUGCCAUUUUCAGUGUUUCUUUCUAACUUAAGAAUGUUGGGGAAGGAGGCUUCUGGUUUAUAGGACAGUCCACUUGGUAGUAUCUUGAAAGGAAGAAGGAAGAGGAGGCUAUAGAUUCAUAAGCUGAUGAACUUCGAUGCUAUAUGGUGCAGUAUUUAUCAAAAAGAAAAACCGCGUCAAACAGAAAAAGAAAGAAUUAACCAAUUAGAAGAAACUAAAGCAAGAAACAUGAUUGUGAAAGACGAAGCUGCCUUACCUGCCACAAUACAAAAUCAUGGAAGCUAUCAAGAAGACACGAGUGCAAUUAGUAUAAAGAUAAAGGAUAAAGAUAAAGUUUACAAGGGGAAGGAAUAAAGUUAUUGAUUUCAUUGCUACAAAGUCUUUUCAUCGAAUACGGUGCUGACAUAUAUAACCUUCCUUCCAAUACGGUGCAUGCGGUUGGAACUAAUUUCUGCUGACCAAUUAGUAUUUGCAAUAAAAAUUCGUAUUUGUUGCAAAAAAUUAGUAUGUAAUACAAACGGAUGGAAUAUCAAAGAAACCUUAGGAACUAUGAACAGCAUGCAAAUUAAGCAAAAAAAAAAAAAGAAAUUGCAGAAAAUGGUAAGGAGUACAUUAAAAAGAAUCAAAUUUCUUGGCAAUGAAGGAUUACAAAAUUUGUUGGAAUAUCUGUACCACUCAAUCAUGACGUGGCUCAUUUCUAUGCCCUUCACUUUGCCAAUUAAUUUAAUGUCUCAUUUAUAUCAUUUUUGCUGCCAUCUCAUUUAUAUCAUUUAAGUUUCCCUAUUAACUCAAUCAAAUACCAAUUAAUAUCGUAAAGACACAUUCAAACUUAAGAUUUACGCAAAAAAAAAAAAAGAAUAUGGGUGUCCCAUAUCCUAAAUGUGAUGAAUACGUGGAUUCCUUAAAAUUGUCAUCAGAAUCUUAUUAAUUAAUAAUUGGAUACAUAAAAAAAUGCUGUAAACAAAAAAAAUCAACAAUAUGAAUUAAAUUGUGAAACCAUUUUAAUCAUUAAAAGCAUAGUUAUUAAACCAACCCGGCCUGGCGGUUCAACCGAUCAACCCGGUGAACCGGCCAUGAAACCGAACUGGGUUUGUAAUUGGAUCGUUUGUGCACCAAAUCCGUUGACUUUUCAACGGACCGACGGUUCAAUCGGUCAACUCAGUUGAACCGGACGGUUUGUAAGGAACCCGGUUUUGGGAUAAAAAUGAUUAGAAAAUGCUCCAAUGCUGAUUCAAACCUCAAACUUCAAGCAUAAAAGUUACGCGCAGUCACCACUAGCCUAGCAGCUCACUUGGUGCUUAUUCACUCCUUCUAUAUUAUAUAUUAGAUUUUUAUUCUUAUUUUAUUUCUUCAAAACAAUAUUUGUUUGGAAUCUUUUAAUAAAAUUUUAUUAUUCUCUAAAUUCUAUAAAUUAUGAAAUGGAUUUAAAAAAUAACAUAUUACACAAUUCAUUUUUAAAAAAAUAUUAUUCUUAAUAACCUUUUGUGCUUAAAAUUCAAAAAUAAACUAGAUAAUUACACUUAGAUAAAAUUUUAUUCUUGAAGUUUGGUGGAUUACUAAUUAAAUUUAGGUUUUGUUAAUUCUUAUAACAAUUAAUGAUUCUAUAAUAAAUUGGACUAACUAAGUAUUUACUAUAACAUAUCAAAAAUAGUUUAUUAUAGUUUAUUAUAGUUUUAACCAUAUCAAAAAUUAUAAAACAUAAUAUUUAAAUAUAUGUAGUGACCCACCGGUUGGACCACUCACCCACUGUUUGAACCAGUAACCCGUUAACCCACCUCUUUCACCAGGUUCCUCUCCGGGCCAGGUUUAAUAACUAUGAUUAAAAGAGACUUUGUGAUUAAGAUAAUCUAUUGAAAUAUCCAAAUUGAUCAUGCAUUUUCAAAUAAAUAAUCUGCUUUGUUUCUUGAUUUAACUAGAUUUAUGAUUUUUUUACUUUAAGUUCUGCUCCUCCUCUUAUUUUAGAUUUCCAGUUGCCGUAUUUAUACAACCAUCUACUUCCUUGAACGCAAGUUCAUAUGGUUUCUAGAUCUUUAAUUUACUUUGCAUGAUCUUUAUCCGACCAAAGGGCCCUUUGUUGGCGAUUAGUUUCCAUUGUUGUUAAAUGUUUUAUUUGGAUAAGUCAUCCCUAAAUAAGAAACUCUCUUCCAAAUCAAAACUUUUUUUCGAAUGGAAAAAUAAUUUUCAUGAGUAAUAACUUUGUUUCGGGUUAAAAAGAUCUUUGAUAACAGUUUGCAUGCAUGAAAGAUGAAAUUUAGACUGGAUGAGUACUAAUAAACCCAUGUCUAUUAUUCAGGAAGACUAUGAUUACAAAAAGAUCCAAACCCUAGUCCGGACUCCUGGGCAAAGGAACCAAAAGUCUGGCAUUUUUCUCUACACUAGUACCUGUGUUGCACAUUGCAAUUAUUUAUUUUGGUGAUAUUCGUGCCAAACUCAUCCCUAAAGUGUGAUAUUUCAAAACAAUCAAUUAAUAGAGGGAAUGCAAUCAGUAGUAUCACUUGAAUUUUUUAGUCUCAUUACUUGUGUAUCAACUAUUAUUUGAUAAUCCAAUAUAUCUUUUGAUUGGGAAUUGAAAAAUAAAAUGUCUUGUAAGUGUAAAAACUGACCUAAUAUGUCUAAUAAAUUUUUAUGCGACCUAAAACUAUAUUAGUUUCGAAACUAACUUUAUUUUUCAAUUAUUGUAAAUAAUUUCAGAGAACUAAUUUUUGUAAACUUUAAUCCUAACUACAUAAUGACAUUUGUAACUCUGUAUCCACAUUAAAACAUACACAAAAACUAUGUAAACAUAUUUUUUUUUAUGUUCAAAUAUAUUAUCCAGACAUAGACUAAUUCAAAUAUAGGAGUAGAGAUGUUUUACUUUGUUAAUCAAUAUUUGUCCAAGCAUAUUAAUAGAGACGAAAAAUGAUGCUACACGAGCAUGUAAGCCCUCUUUUUCUCUUUUACUCUAGUAGGCAGCUAUAUUUUUUUCAUUUUUUUUGGAAAAAAUCAUUCUUAAUUAAGAAAAUUCAUAAUUUCAUAAGUCAAAAGAUCAUGUAAAGUAAAUUAAAGAUCUAGAAACUACACACAGGAAUCGGAUUAUAUGUCAGAAAUUCAAAUCACACAACCUAUAGUUAAAAAAAUCUAGAUGAUGUGUCAAGUCAUCUAUAUAGAGCUUAUGUAAUUCAAUUCGGUCUCUGUUAGCAUAGAAUAGUGCUAUUCUUAAUGUUGAAAAAAAUAAUAAAAAAUAAAAUUUACAACAUCCAAGAUGUUUGGCAUCCUUUUGUAUUGUUAUUGAAAAGAAAUGAGUUUCUUACCUUCAUUUAAUUUCAAUUUUUUGUCAUUUUUAUUUAUUUAUUUCAACUUGCUACACUUCGCACCUGUCAUUUUCAUUUAGAUAGCCAUGAGCCGUUUUCUUUUUCUUAAGAGUCACAAUAUACGUUCAUAUGGAAACUUAUUUUUUAACUAAAUUUUGUGUCCAAUUCAUGUUUAGCUUCCAGGUUUAUUGUGCUAAAGUGUUUUUCCAAUACUUCAUUAAUUUUUUGAACCCAUUCCUAAAAUUUUGUUAGGAAUUCAUUUCAAUAAAUUGGUCUGAAAGACGAAGCUGCCUUACCUGCUACAAUACAAAAUCAUGGAAGCUAUUAAGAAGACUGUGCAAUUGGUGGGGUGAUCAGUCUUCAAGACCUGCUUUCAACUGUGGGUCCUUUGGUCGGAUAAAGAUGGAGGAGCACCUUUCUAACUGUGGGUUCUUUACAAGGGGAAGGAAUAAAGUUAAAACGCGGUUGGAGUCGUUGGACUGGACAUUAUUGAUUUCAUUGACGAAGAAAUAAAGCUAAGAACAGGGUCUUCUACUCCUCCUGCCGACAUCUAUAACCUCCUCCUUCUAUGGAACUAAUUUCUCCUUUUUUUUUAUUGUUUGUCCCUUGGUCUGCCCCAUUUGAAUUGUAUUUUUCGUCAUUUUUCAUGAAAAAAUUAUUGUAACGAUUUAAUAUAUGUAAAAUAAUAAUAAUAAUAAAAACAUAUGAUUACGAAAAAUGACACAAUUUUAUGACAGAAAAUGACAAUCCAAACUGGGCACGUUUGUAUUAAAAACGGAUGGAAUAUCAAAGAAACUUUAGGAACAAACCACUCCAUUACGGUGUCUGACCAAAUUUUUGGUAUAAACAUACCUCUGUGUUUAAGUAGUUAAAGAGGAAAGACUCCAAGGGCAAUGAUGUCGAAGCAUCGUGCAAAGGCAAUGAUGUCGAAUUAUUUAACAAGGGAACGAAUAAAGCAAUGGUGUCUGACCAAGUUUUCCAACUCAAAGCAACUCACCCACCCACCCCUCUUUCUCCUCAUAGCAAAAAUGACAGUUCUGAAUCAAAUGGAAGCCAGCCAUGAGUUUCCAGUAACAUGUGAUGCAGAGGAAAGUGAAUUUCCCUCCAAAUGGAAGCCAGCUAUUAAACUGUUCCGGGCAAGAUAUAAACCCUCCAGCUUCUUCAAGGUUCCAUAUUUCCGUUGGUAUCUGUCCGCUAAAUUCAUGAGUUUGUUUGGAUUGCCUUGAUUUCAAAUAAAAAAAUUUACUUCACAAAUCUCACAAACUUAUUUGAAGUUAAAUAAAGCCCUGUGAGACUUGGAAGAUCAUUGCACGCGUCUAGAGGAAGAUUACCAGGUAAGUUAUUUCCAGAGAGGGCAAUAAUUUCCAACGUUGAAAUGUUGAAAAUGGAGGAUGUUAUAGACCCUGUAAGCUGGUUAUACUGCAAAUUUAGUACCCUCAGGUUUUGUAGACCUCCCAUCACUUCAGGAAUCUUACCUUGUAAAGGAUUGUAUGAUAGUUCCAAUGUUUCAGGCUUCGAGAAUGAGGGAUAAAUCCAGUGAAGCUGUUAUUCUAAUUGACAACAAAAAUUUAAGUUCAGGAAAGGAACCAAACCAUGACGGGAUAUCUCCAGUGAAGUUGUUGAGCUUAAAGUUCAUAAACCUCAGGCAUCGCAAACGGGACAAAUUCUCCCGGGAGAUUGCCCUGGAAAUUGUUACAACUCAGGUCCAAGAAACAAGAAAAGACAAGUUCCCCAGAUGGGGAGGAAUGCUGCCUGUCAAACCCCAUGAAUGAUAUGUUUAAAGCAGUUACUCUAUGAUGUUGGAUGCCUCAAGUGACUCCAAUCCACUCACAAACAGAAGUUUUAGCAGUCUAGUAGUCUUCCAGGACUAGUUAGGCGUCUGAUAAUGUGUGCUCUUUCAAAGCAACAAGAGCAGAUUGAUCGGUGACAAUAUUGGCUUCUAAGCACACAUGUAGUAUUCUACUCAUCUCUUUCCGAUGUGGGAUAUUGAUUCACACUUGAUAUCCCAUUGAGCCUACAUCCACGGAGAGAAACACGUUCUUUAUUAUGAGAGGAAAACCCUAUACAAGAAUACAACUUGAACCCAAGCCCAACCCUUGUAUACCAUCUCUCAUCUCCCAAGAACCCUCUCUCACACCCCAAGUAUAAGGCUACAUCUUGCCCUUGUAUCUCUCUUGUGUGUCUCUUGUGUGUAUCUUGUAGUAUGUCAACCCACCUAUUUAUAGAGAAUAUUACUGCCAAAAAACCAAAUAACAAUUGGAAAUCAAUACUAUUUUCUAAACUCAUAUAGAGUAGAAAAUAGUAUCUAGCUAAAUAGGAAUUUACUUGACUACUACUUCAAGUAACCAAAUCCAAUUAGAAAACUAGUUACUUCCCACACCAAAUAAGAAUCUUACCUAAAAGAAAUUAAGCCAAUUUCCUAAUAUGCAGGAGCAGAACUGCAAGAGGAAAGUAAUGCGGGAGUGUUCUCUCCAUGAGAAGAACUAGCAAAAAUGUUGUGAUUUCACAACUUGAUGUAACUUUGGAAGUGCAUGGACAUAGGCCUAUGUGCAUGUUACAAAAAAAAAUAACCUUUUUUAGAAUCAAAGCUUAGUAUUGUCGGCAUCAUACUACUAUUAUUUAAACUUUUCUUUUUCAUGCAUCACGAUUAGCACCUCAGUUGUAGAAGCCACUCUAAAAUUGAAAAAAGAAUCAAAUCAUUGGUGUAGAGCAAGUUGAGAGUUCACCAAGUACACGUUGAAAACACAAAUGCUAGAAUGCAUGUAGGCGAUCUGAUUAGAGUCUAGGUUGCAAACUGGAGUGCGACAUGCGCAGAAAUAGCUGACAUUUCUCAAUGAGAGGCCACAUUGGCUAAUGAUAUCAGCCUGGCCGCGUUAUGGUCUGAUUGGAGUUACUGAAGCAUGGCUGCUGAAUUUUGCGCUUCUUUUAUGGACGAACAAAAGAUGAGGACAGCUUAACUGCGUCUCAAAUAGUCAAAUGCCAAGUAAGAUCAGCAAUUGGGGUCCUAUCGAAUCUGUUCACGUUUGAAACGAAGAAAAGAAAAGAGCAUGAAUGCCUAUCCAUACUUCCCAGCUAACUAGAGUUAAAGUUCCAAGAUCUAGAAUUCUAAAUUCAGAUCUUGGUAUUUUCUACUAGUUCGUAUUUGUUGGGACGUAUUCAAUUUGUAUGAUCCUACAAUUUUUUAGUUGAUCUGCCCUUGGGCUUCAUUCAAUUUGCAUCCAUCCUACCAGUUGUGAGCAUGAUGUAGCUCUCCGGUUGUGAGCAUAACGUAACUCUUUGACAAGUGUCUUCACCCACAAUCUUCCUUUGAUCCUACCAUUUGUGAGCAUGAUUUAACUCUCCAUAGACGCUAGCAUCACUAAUGCUUUUGGCACAUUAAAAAAAUGUACACUAAGUCUUCUACAUACAAUAACUUAUUGUAAAAAAAAUAAUAAUUAUUAUGUAUUUAUAUUUUUGAAAUAAGCACACAUGUGUACAUUUUUUUAAAAAAAAAAAUCUAUUAAUACUACGCAUUUUUAUUUAGGAAAUUAUUAUAUCUAAAAUUAUGGUUGAGUAGAAAUACUAACUUUAGAGGGUAUUUUUAAUAUAAAGAAUUGUACACUUAAAUUAGCAUUGUACUUUAUCCCUUCGAGUUGGCAUUGUACUUUUAUUGCUAGGUGAAUUAAGACUCAAUUCUCACAUUUUUACACCACCAAAUUGCAAAUUGCAAAUUGCAAAUUACAAAAGCAUAGUAUUGUGUUUCUGACACAUUUUGUAGAAUUUAUAUUUGUUGAAUCAAAUAUAGAGGCAUACUAGAUAUCUGGGAAAGAGAAUUGUAUUGAAGUUACACAUCAAUAUUCCUUUUCCACUCAAUGUAUCAAUUCCUCCUAAUAAAAACCACAGACUGAUAAACAUUUAGAUGCUGGCAUUCCCCAAAUUUGAUAAAAUCAACAGAACAAAGAAUGAUAUUGAUAGAGUGCAGUUUAGUCGGUCUUCUCACGUGCUUUUCCUAUUUAUUUGGACUAAAUACUGCACUAAUCGGUGGAUUUUACUGAGAUUUUGUGUUCUAUGCGAAUUGCAGCAUUUAGGGGCAAAAGGAGCUGGAAAAUUAACUUUUGAAGCCUUCCUGUCAGUUAGACGUGGGCACGCCUAAGUAUGAUGUCCAAAGCCGGAUUUGCGGGAUUGUUGGCCACGUGCAAACUUCCAAAUAUUUGGAGAUUCCUUCGCGGGUGACAAUUCUGGAACAAUACUGACUUAGCCAAUUUGCACGUGAAGAGUCAUUUGGCAACAAGACUUCAAUUGGAUUUCAAUUGAUUGGGUUCCUUCUUUGACUAAACGUGCUGACCCACAAAAGCAGGUGUGAGAACCCGUAUUUUUCCCAUUUUAUAGGUUUUAUUAUUUUUCAUGGCUUGUUUUCUGCAUUUUCGUGAGUAGGAAAAUUUCUAGAUAAUUUUAAGGAGCAGAUAUAGUUUUUAGAUGAUUUUUCUAGUAUCAAAUAGAUUUUUCGAAAUUAAGAGCGUGUACCGGACGUGGGACCCACUAGUGCGAAAAGUUCGGCAAAAUUCGGCAAACUAGGUUAAGUUUUGGAUACUGGAAUUAAUUUACCGGAUGUUAAGAGAUAAUUAGAGGAGGCUAAGUGGAUUGGUAUAAGAGAGACAAGUUAGGUAAGCAUUUAAUAAAAGGUGACAAGUGUCACCAUUUAAGUGGUUUACCUUUAAGACCACUAUUCAUGGUCUUACCAUUUGACUUAAAUAAACCAAAAAUCACCAAAAUUUCCCAUUCUUUUCUCUUCAAGUGGCCGGCUCUCUCUCUCCAAAAGAAAGAAAGAAACUCUUCAAGGUUUGCUUCCAUUUAGCUCAAAUCUAUCCAACCAACCAUUGAAACCUGCAAUUUCUCCAUAAAACCUCUUCAAUUAGUGUUUGUGAGUUGUUGUGUGAAGUUAUUUGGAAAGUUAAGGUGACCAAUUGCUCUCUCUCUCUUGUUUUUAAUGACAGGUUGUCGAAGCCUGUGCAAUAAUAAAACCUGCUCAAACUAAAAGUGAUUUCUGUAAAUAGCGGUGAGCAGGGUCGAAUCCACAGGGACUGGGAGUAAUUAUUUCUUUUCAAGUUCACAGUGACAAGGGGGGUGUUUUUGUGCAGAAGGUGACAAUCAAAGAAAUUCAACUAAAAUCUAAGAAACUACUAAAAAUUAAAUAACAAAUUACUAAAAUCUAAUGAGUGAUAAUUAAGGAUCUAGCCAAGGAAUAACUUUAGCAAUGGUUCACCCAAUUGAUCAUCGAUAAGCAAAGAUAAUUCCAAUUAUUUAUCAAUAAAUAGGUUAUAACUACCAAACAAGCGAUGGCAGUCAACCCCUCCAUACUGUGUCGGUGAUCAAGGUACGCCCGUUAAUCACUGCUCUAAUUGAGAAAUAAUCCUAGGUACGCCCAUAGAAUUUAAUUCCCCAAUUGCCUUACGUAUUAGAGGAACCCUAUUCUAACCAAAUAACGCACUACCAGGGUUAUUUUAGAUUAGCCCGCGUAUUCCCCUGACACAAACCUAAUCAUGCCAGUUGUCACUAUUUUAGAGCAAUUAAACAAUUACGGAUUUAAUGCCCUAAUUGACAAUAGAUUACCCAAUCAACUAAUUAUCUGGAUCCAAGACAAUCAAUUAAUUAAAUAACCAUAAGUAUAGCAAUCAAGAAAUAUGCGGAUACCAAUAAGUAAAAGGAAAAGAUUAAAUUAAAACGAUCUCACAAUUUUAGGCGACCCAAAGCAUCCGUUGUCCCUUGACUAGACAAGGGAAAUUAGUUCAUUGUUGCUAAACAAAGCCCAAACAAAAUUGCAGAGAGAGACGCAGCCAUCAAUUGGGCAAAUGCCCAAGUUCAAUUCGUUUGAAGGAGUACUGAAAACCGAAAUUGCAUCAGAUGGUUUAAUGCGUUAACUUGUCUGCUCAUACCAAGGAAGAAAACGAAACUGCUACAAGCUAAAAGGUGGAAAAGCUAACAGGAAAAAGUCAAGUACUACGGCUAAGCUAUCCUGCCAUGCGUAAGAAAAGUAAAAAGCAAAGCUCCAGGAAAAGUCAACAAUAAAGCUCCUAAGCUACAGACGAAAGACUAAGCAAAGCCAGCCAUCCUUUCCUCUCUGAAGCAUUCUACUCUAAUGCCUCGCCAUUGUGCGGCGGCUCCCCUCCGAGAGGAAGAAAAUUCGAGAGAGCCCAAGAAGACUUCGGCCUCCUCCUUUUAAUGCUGUCUGCGGGCCAAUUACCAAGAAGGGUUGUGGUUUGAUAUUCCAAAAAUGUCCCUAGAUGCCUGCUACUUGAACUCUUUUUUGAUAACUGUCAAAUUGGCCUUGAUUGUGAUAUUUUUGUUCUACUCCCUGAAAUAAAUAUAAAUUACGAAAAAUGAGUAGAAUCUAAUAAUUAAUUCACAUCAAGUCAGGUAAUAGGGGAAAUUAAUAAUAAAAUAAAUAACAAAAUUGCAACCUAUCAAUUCCCCCCACACCUAAACCAUGCUUGUCCUCAAGCAUAAGAACAGUACACAGAUACCGAAAUUUGAUAACGGCUGUUGCUCUAUCUAUCAUAUUGCCAAGAUAUCAAGAAAAAUAUAUAUCAAGCAUCAGUGAUUAAGAUCCAAGAAACAUCACUCCGGUUAGCUUCUAAACCACAAAUUUCUCCAAUUUCAGGUUAACUAAUCUAAGAAAAAGGAAUGACGUGCAACAUUUAUCAGCAAAUGGUCCAACUAUUAACCAAAAUCUCAACAUUAAAUCCAUAAAUCGGCAAGCUGACUAUCACAACCUUCACUUUUUUUUUUUUAGCACUUCACUUUUCAUUUUUCUACUUUUUUUUUUUUUUUUUUUUUUUUUUUUUCAAUAGUAACAAAAGACUUAGUCGCUAGCCAUUUGAGCCUUUUGACGCGAACUCCAACAUUGGCCAGAUGAAGGAGCCCGGUUACUCAGCUUCUAUCGCCACGUGACCACGUACUCAUAGCAAUUACUACUUUUUGACGCGAGAAUCAACACUUUUAGGUGCAGAUCCCCGGUUACUCAGUAGUAACUAAUAGCGGAGUACAGUCAAAUUUAUUCAUAACUAAAAAUCACAAAAACUCAAUAUAACACAAGAACCAAAAGAAAACUUGCAUCAGCUAGCCUCAUUUUCAAACAUGGAGAACUAAAAUUAAUAACCGGACCAAUUCACAUGAAAAUGCCAAUAAUCAUUCCCUAUGCCUAGGAAAGUUAACAAAAAAUUAUAAGAGUAAAACAAUUAUUGAUAUUCACCAAAGAGAUGUUUUUGGAUUCAACCACAUUAACUUGAUACCCUUUUAUUAUUAAAAUUGGCAAUAGCAGAAAUAGAGGCAAUAAUCCAACAUCAAACCUUGGCAUGCACUUACGAGCCAAUCACUAAAAAGAAGAAAAAGAAAAUGAAUGAAAGACACUAGCACCAUAACUGCUCCCCCCACACCUAAAUCCUACAUUGUCCUCAAUGGAGGUAAUAAAGUAAUUAAAGCGAAGAGAACAAUGAAACUUCCCUGUUGAACAGCUAAGGGAUAGGAGGGAACAGUGGAGGGAAGUCGAGUUCUGAGACAUCCUUGCCACUUGGCGUAGAGAAUGCGCACUGAACAAACUCCCAAUUGAACAAACAAGUGCAGUAUUGCAGUUCACCCAAAAUCUCAACAAAUGGCUCCAGUUGGCCAGCUAAAGUCUUAACCCAAGAUCAGCAAUUCCAAUGAAAACAGCAUAGAUAUUGGACAAUAAGAACGCAGCCAACCAAAUAGAGGUACCCAAUUGAGGUAUAAGACCCGCAUGCUACAUGAAUGCUGCCAAAUUCUGCGCCAUGCUAUGCACAUUGUUAAUUAGACAUAAUCACUAAGCAAUAAGCAAUGAAAGUGGCACAGUAGCCUUCCAAAUCAACAAACAAAAGCAGAAAUUACUCACUCCAAUGGACUCAAGACAGAAGGCAGGACAAUAGACUCAGGUGAAACCAAAAAUGACCCCAACAAGGUAGCAAAUAAUGACAAAAUGAACUCACCCCUAAAGCCCAAAAGUUGUCACCAAUUGGAAAGUCCAAUACAUAACUCAACUGGGAGCAAAUAUAAGCACAAGGGUUUGGGUUUUCAAGCAAACAGCUGACCAAACACAUAGGGAAGAAGCAAUUCGAAUAGGCCGCCCAAAACACUGAUAAAUCCAUCAGCACAAGCAGUACCAGAAAUAGAAGAAACCAAAUGGCAAUCAAUUGUGGCAAAUAACUCCCAAGGCAGCCCCAAACAUGCACUAGAAACUCCAAGCAAGGCACAGGUAAAGAAAAUCAAGCAAUAUACCACUUGCUAAUAUCCACCCAAAAACACAAGAAAAUGGCAACAACUCCAGCAGUUUAAAAUCCAGAAAAAAAAAAAUUUAGAAACAGAGGUGAACAGCACUACCUCCACCCGUCAAUUUGUUUGACAGGUGGUGAUGGUGGACAGCGUCCAUAGUAGUGGCGGCGGUGAGCCGGAGCUUGGGUGAGCUGUGCGACAGAGAAGGAGAAGACCGCAGGGUCUGCGUGCAGUUGCUUGGUGGCGGAUGAGGUGGUGAUGCGGCCGUGAGCAAGGGCGAGGCACGCGAGGGAGCUGCGCUGGUGGAUGGCUCGCCACGCGCGAGAUUGGGCAGCGGAGUUGGCGGCUUGGGCGGCAACAGGGGGAAGAUGAGCUGGUGUGAGGUGGAGUGGCUUGCGGCGCGACGCUGGUCGCGCGAGGUGGUGGCGAUGGAGCUACGGUAGAUAGAGGGAGGCGCGGCCUCGGGUGAGAGAGCUGGCAGCCGCGAGGAGGGCGGCGGCAAUCGGGGCGUCGGCGUGCGCAGAGGGAAGAAGAAACAGGGGAAGAAGAAAGAAAGAAGAAGAAAAAAAAAGAAAGGAAAAGAAAGAAAAGAAAGAAAAGAAGAGAAAGAAAAGAAAAAGGAAUUUUUUUUUUUUCUCUUGCUACGGUUAAGAGGAAAGAUUUUUCUUCUUCUCUUUUUUUUUAAUUAUUUUUUAUUUGAUUUGUUAUCAUUUCAUUUAUUCAAAAAAAUUCUUUUUUUUCUUCUUUUUUUUUAUUUUUUAUUUUUUUUAUUUUUUUGAAUUCUUACCUUUUCCGCGAACGUGACGCGGGCGCGUCAAGAGAACAAGAGAGCUCCCAGAAGUUCAGGUCGUGAGCUUUCUGCACGUCACCACGCGGGCACGUCAUGAGGGCAAGAGAGCUCCCAGAAGUUUGAAGUUUCUGAUCGUGAGCUUCCUGCUCGUCACCACGCGGGCGCGUCAUGACUGAAUGGCACCUAUAAAGCAGCAAAAACGAAAACUAACACCCAAAAUCAGUCAAAUUCAAGGAAAACAGAUUUAAACUAUGACACGAAACCAACAACCAAUUAAAAGAAACAAUUGGGUUGCCUCCCAAUGAGCGCCUUUCUUUACUGUCUUUGGCUAGACAUUAUCACGUUUUUUUUCAUGGAGGAUAAAAUCUUGUGGCUCGUCUCAUUGCUUCAUCCUCUACAUAGUCCUGAUAGCCCUCGUAGAUAGAAUAAUCUUUGGGCAUACGAGUUACGGGCUUCCAUGGACUAGUAAAUGGCGCCAAACGAGUCGAUGAUAAUUUGCAUUCUCCAUUCACUCCUCCCUCACUUGCAUUUAUUGGCACAAAAUAUCUUGCCAUCGCCACUCUUAAUUUAUUCCUGUCAUGAAAUUCAAAAUUGUCUGGUAUAAUAAAGUCAAUUUCAUUAACAGGAAUUGAAGAGUAAGAGUCAGGAGAAUAUUGAUGAAGGAGUGGAGGAGAUGUCACCGCAUUUGGAGAUUGUUCACUGGAUUCAUUCACUUGAAUGGGUUGCGGUUGGGGUUCCAUUUCUUCCAUUUCGGCUUCUUUUUCAACAGCAUCUGUAGAUUUCUCAUUUUGACACUCUUGCAUCUCCUCAUCACUAGUCAGGCAAAUUGCACUCUCAUUUUCUUCUAGAUCAACAAUGGUUUUCGAGGGCAAUUCUUCCAUUUGAGAAGCCAAUCGAUUCAUUCUGGAUGUCAAUAGACAUAGUUGAUCCGCCAGAUAACUCAUUGCAUCCUUCAUCAUCUCAUUCCUCCUUUGUGUCUCCUGUUGGGAUUUGUAUGUAUUAAUAAAUAAUUCACCCAAUUCUUGAAAAGACAUACCUGACAGGGACGAUGGUUGUUGAGACUCUUGCUGUUGAAAAUCCAUUGGCCCGGUCGCAUAAUCAAAAUUGGAAUUAUCCCACCAUCCUUGAUCAUACCCAUUUGAAUAAGGGUCAUACUGCAUUUGAUAUUGGGGUGGAAAAUCUCCAAAAGUAUCAAUUGGAGCACUUAGAUUGUCUUGAAAUGCGGGGCAUGUGUCAGUUGAAUAACCUGAGUCAAAAUAAGUUCCACAAUUUGCAACAGCCCAUUGAUCAUUAGGAAAAACAUGAGUCUCAUACUGCUGAAAAUCCAUUGGCCCCGUUGUAUAAUCAAAAUUGGAAUUAUCCCACCAUCCUUGAUCAUACCCGUUUGGAUUAGGGUCAUACCACGUUUGAGACCAGGGUGAAAAUUCUCCAUAAUUAUCGAAUGAGACACUCAGAUUAUCUUGAUAUUCGGGGCACAUACCUGUUGAAUGAUCCCUGGCAUAACAAAUUUUACAUGUUGCAGCAGCCAUUCUUUUUCUAAUAGAGUUUACUGCCUCUGCAUAUGCCAACUCAGGAAAAAAACAAAUCUCAUCGCCUUGCCUGGAAAUAAAAUCCAAUACAUCACCAAAAUACGGAGUGUUAGAAGCCAUAAACUAUAUCAAAAAAUAAAUAAGAGGAAAAAUAAAUAAAAAAAUGAACUCAAAAGGAAACAAAUUAAUCUGACACCAGUCCCCGGCAACGGCGCCAAAAAUUGACAGGUUGUCGAAGCCUGUGCAAUAAUAAAACCUGUUCAAACUAAAAGUGAUUUCUGUAAAUAGCGGUGAGCAGGGUCGAAUCCACAGGGACUGGGAGUAAUUAUUUCUUUUCAAGUUCACAGUGACAAGGGGGGUGUUUUUGUGCAGAAGGUGACAAUCAAAGAAAUUCAACUAAAAUCUAAGAAACUACUAAAAAUUAAAUAACAAAUUACUAAAAUCUAAUGAGUGAUAAUUAAGGAUCUAGCCAAGGAAUAACUUUAGCAAUGGUUCACCCAAUUGAUCAUCGAUAAGCAAAGAUAAUUCCAAUUAUUUAUCAAUAAAUAGGUUAUAACUACCAAACAAGCGAUGGCAGUCAACCCCUCCAUACUGUGUCGGUGAUCAAGGUACGCCCGUUAAUCACUGCUCUAAUUGAGAAAUAAUCCUAGGUACGCCCAUAGAAUUUAAUUUCCCAAUUGCCUUACGUAUUAGAGGAGCCCUAUUCUAACCAAAUAACGCACUACCAGGGUUAUUUUAGAUUAGCCCGCGUAUUCCCCUGACACAAACCUAAUCAUGCCAGUUGUCACUAUUUUAGAACAAUUAAACAAUUACGGAUUUAAUGCCCUAAUUGACAAUAGAUUACCCAAUCAACUAAUUAUCUGGAUCCAAGACAAUCAAUUAAUUAAAUAACCAUAAGCAUAGCAAUCAAGAAAUAUGCGGAUACCAAUAAAUAAAAGAAAAAGAUAAAAUUAAAACGAUCUCACAAUUUUAGAUGACCCAAAGCAUCCGUUGUCCCUUGACUAGACAAGGGAAAUUAGUUCAUUGUUGCUAAACAAAGCCCAAACAAAAUUGCAGAGAGAGACGCAGCCAUCAAUUGGGCAAAUGCCCAAGUUCAAUUCGUUUGAAGGAGUACUGAAAACCGAAAUUGCAUCAGAUGGUUUAAUGCGUUAACUUGUCUGCUCAUACCAAGGAAGAAAACGAAACUGCUACAAGCUAAAAGGUGGAAAAGCUAACAGGAAAAAGUCAAGUACUACGGCUAAGCUAUCCUGCCAUGCGUAAGAAAAGUAAAAAGCAAAGCUCCAGGAAAAGUCAACAAUAAAGCUCCUAAGCUACAGACGAAAGACUAAGCAAAGCCAGCCAUCCUUUCCUCUCUGAAGCAUUCUACUCUAAUGCCUCGCCAUUGUGCGGCGGCUCCCCUCCGAGAGGAAGAAAAUUCGAGAGAGCCCAAGAAGACUUCGGCCUCCUCCUUUUAAUGCUGUCUGCGGGCCAAUUACCAAGAAGGGUUGUGGUUUGAUAUUCCAAAAAUGUCCCUAGAUGCCUGCUACUUGAACUCUUUUUUGAUAACUGUCAAAUUGGCCUUGAUUGUGAUAUUUUUGUUCUACUCCCUGAAAUAAAUAUAAAUUACGAAAAAUGAGUAGAAUCUAAUAAUUAAUUCACAUCAAGUCAGGUAAUAGGGGAAAUUAAUAAUAAAAUAAAUAACAAAAUUGCAACCUAUCAUUUAAGGUGAGUUGUGAAGAACCACCCUCCUCCCUUAAUUGAUGCUUAAAUCAUGAUUAGUGGUAGUAUGAGAUGCAAUAUUAUGCAUUAUUUCUUGAUUUGUGGUUGAAGUGAUGAAGUUUUAUUAUUUUUGGGGAUUUUUCUGUUUUAAUAUAAGCAUGAUUGUGUGGCUAUGUAUGAUGAUUGGAAAUGAUGUAUAAUGACUCUAGAAGGUGGAAAAAGUGAUUAAUUGCAACCAAUUUCUGGUUUGGAAGAAAUUUCAGAAAAUUAGGUUUUGUGAAGGAACAUUCUGCCCGAAUUUAUAGCUCCUAGUUAGAGGCCGAAUUGGCCUUGGAUUAAAACAUGAAAGUUGUAGGGAAUGACAUUUUAGAGGUUCCUGCAAAAUUUUAGGUCAAUUGGAGUAGCGUAGAGUGAGAAAAGUUGAAAUUACCCUUGCUGUCCUGGUUUUACCCGAAUGUAAGAAUUGCGCCUGUAAUUGGUUGUUUUGGCUGGAAUUGCUUCCGAAUUGAUUGUUGAGGUCUUCUGAUGAAAUUUAUCCCUGUUUCUUAUCUUUCAUCUGGUUUUGGAAUUUGUGGAUUUGGACUUCGGUAGCCUGAUUUAUGAUGUUUGCACCAGAAUGCGAUUUGUGAACCUGUUUUUUCGAUUCUGGUGUAGUAUCUUGCAUUUUUGACCUGGUUACACUCGAAACUGGGUUGAGUGACCUUCUGUAAUAUUGUAGCCCUAUCUCUUAGCUUUGAAACGGUGUAUCUUCCACCUUCAUCCGACAAUCGUAGUGCCAUUGGUGCCAUUACCGCAAAACGAGGUCAAAAACCAUUUUUUUUUCAGGGCAAAGCUAAAUCAUUUCCGGAUUUUUCUGGUUUCCUCUAUUGCUUGUGUACGCUUAAGGAACCCUAUUUUAGUAAAAUGUAGAAUUGGUUUAUGACUUGUAAUCGAGUCUUAUUGUGUUUAUUUGAAUAGUUUAGGGCUUGACUUUCAUAUCCGGUCAUUUCCUAGCUAAAUUUUGUACUUGAAUGCCAUUAAGCCUAGUGAACGGCUUUUGGGAAUGAGAUUAUUUUUGGACGAGAUGUUGGGAUUGAUUUGAGGAAAUAAUGAAGCCAUGAUGGCUGGAAAGUAGGUAAACACAAGGGAUAUGCUGCCGAAAUUUUUCUUGAAGGCUAGUUGGAUUUACUUGUGAUUUGAACGAAGGGCUUUUGGGUUGUUUGAGCCUAGGUCUUCAUGUUACCUUUUCGUUACCAAAAAUCAUGUUUUGCACCCUUGCUUUAGUAAUUAUUUGGCGAGGCAUACGACUGGUAGUCGAGCCUCACAUGUACAUUCUGUAUACUCGAUUUUGAAAGUGGAACCUUCAAUUGUUUUCCUUGGAUUAUUUUAGGGUUUCUUGGUGAUUAAAGCUCUCUUUUGGGAGGUAUCUGCACUGACCCUGGUGAGUGUACUACUCACUUGUGUGUUACUAUAUGGCUUUGAAUGUAAAUUGCUUGAAGUGAAUAGAAUGUGACUUGAUUGAAGUGAAAGUGUACUUUAUCACUCUCACUUAUAUGCCUUAUAUCAUUGUUGUCAUGUUAUUGGAAUGUUACAUGAAAUGUUACAUGAAAUGAAAGUACUUGACUUGGUGUCGAUUGGACGAGUAUCCAACGACUACAAAUGUUAUCAUUGAGCUCAACCCCAUUGGUAGUUGAUUGAAUCGAGCCGGCGAGGGUUUGGUCGUGCCAAUUAAUGAACCUUGGGUAAAGUUAUAUGGAAUCUUGUAGUAUGCGAGACUCUCGAUUCCGGUAUACUCGAGUAAUACCAAAGUGCAAGUGUUUGGAUUUCGGGCCCGGUAGGGGGAUGUUAGGUGGAAGGAGUGGAAGUAAAGUGGAGUCUACGGUUGGUUACGUUUGAACAUUGACGGAGAGUCAAUGACGUCCGAUCAAGAAAUGCAAACGGGGAAAGGGCUCUUGAGAGCCAUCUGUAUCCUUUUAUCACCAUAUUUGACGUGUGUCUUUGCUUAUUUUGCUAUAUUGAAUGAAAGCUUGAUGCUUAUAUGCACUUGGUUGCGUAAGUGAUAGUAUCUCACUGGGCAAUUAGCUCACACCGUUCCUUUUGUUUUCCUUACAGGAAUAUGACUCUUUGGGAAUGAAUCUUGAUAGAUGGUUGCCGAAUGAACUAGAUGUAUAUUUCUUUUGUAUUGUAUUUGAAGAGAAACCCUAAAUGUAUCUUUAGAGCCGUUUUCACUUUCAAUUUGGCAAACCGUGUAUAUAUUAACUUUUGAAAAUUUUUGUAUGCCACUUUGGGUUGUAAUUGCUAAAGUUCAAGAUGUGAAUGUCUGCUUGCAUUUUGGUUGGGUUCUGACGGGUCGGUUACUAUUCAUGGCCGACUCCGAAUUUCUUUUUUUUUUUUAUUUUGGGUUAUUUUGCCCUUUUGCCUUGUUUAUGCGCGUUAUAAGUUCCGAAACGCAAUAGAUCGCUCUAAACUGCACCGUUAGUCCUGGCGAGAGUUGGGCAGGCAGUCCGCUAACCCCUUUGGCUCGCCUUAGGGGAAGGUGGGGCUGUCACAGCAGGAAGACUACUGGGUCUCUUUUGGAGACAUCCGCACGAGGACUCUAUAAAUACAAUCCCUUCGCUGGCUUCAGAGGAUCUCUCUCUCUCGGCAGAAACAAGUUCUAGCUUAGGAAAUUUUUCUCUUUUUCGCUUCUUUUUCUCUUUCGCACCACGGAAUACAAUUUCUGGUGCAAUUCUCGUUAGCUUUUCGUUCAUGGCGAUGGGAUCUUCCCUAGACCCAAUUGUGAUGCCUGAGAUCAUGAUAUGUAGCUGAAUUUCUUCUUCUAGUCAAGGAACAACGGACGACUUAGUUCAAUUAUUACUGUGAGAUCUAAUUUAUCUUAAUUGCUUCCUCAUUCAUUGAUAUUUAUAUGUUCCCUGCUUUUAAUUGCUAUAACUCGUGUGAAUGAUUGAUUAGUGCGCAAUAAUUAAUUCUUCAUAUAGGCUAUUUUGCUAGUUAGGAGUGAUUGAAUCCGUAAUUGUUCGUUAUCCCUAUCUCAGUAGCAACUGGCGUAAUUGGGUUUAUGUCAGGGGAACAUACGAUCUAGUUUAAACAAACCCUCGUAGCGUGUUUGUUAGUUAGGAUUGGAUCUUUCUAAUUAUUAAUGCAAACCAGAAAUUAAAUCCUAUGGUCGUACCUAGGGUUGUUUUUGGGUUAGGGAAGUAGUUAACGGUCGUACCUUGACUAUCGAUAAAUUAAGGAAGGGUUGGUUGUUUAUCGCGUGUAUGACAACUAUAACUGAUCUAUUAAUAAAUGUUGGAAUUAUUUCUGCAUCAAUGAUCAGUGCAUGAACCAUUUCUGAAGUGUACCCUUGACUAGAACUCUCCUAAUUAUUUCUUUUAAUUAAUUACUUUUCUGCAGUUAAAUUGUUUAGUUAGCAUUUAAUCCUAAAACCCCCUAUUAAUCUUGACUUGAAAAGAAAUAAAUUUCUCUCCGGUCCCUGAGGAGACGACCCUGCUUACCACUGUCUACUAGUAGUGAAUUCAGUUAAAUAAUUAAUUCAGGUAUAUCGGAUUAAGCAAACUCUUCGAAAACAGGGUGAAUCAAGUAACCCAUUGCACACCUAGAGUCCCUGCUCCAGUACUCGAAUUAAUUAUUGACUGCCUUAGGUGGUAGUUAGGUUUUAUUUAUUAUUAUUGCACAGGUUCGGCACCUGUCAGAUAUAAUUUAAAUCAAGAAAAUGCAAUUUAUUUUUGGAAAAAAAAAAAAGAAGCACCCCCGCCACCCAAACACCCCAAAAAAAAUAUUUGUUUUGACGGAAUGGAAUUUUUUUUUGGCGACCAGAGAAAAUGCAAUCAAACGUGAAAUCAAACAAAUUAUCCAAAAGAAAAAAGGAUUAAAAAAAACAUAUUAUAGAAAAGGGCAUCAGGUCUCCAAGGUGAUUUAGCAUCAAUGUAGAGCUAUUCAGACGCAAAUUACCCAUUUGUAUACAUGAGAUUCAUCCUUUGCCCAAAAAAUUAAUCUGAAACCUAAAUAAAUUUAAAAACCCGAUUUCACGAUAAGAAAAAAAAUAAAGAAAAACUUCAAAGGAAAUAAAGAAAGGCGAUCAGAACCUGUCGGUUCCAAUUACUUAACCGACAAGGAUUCCCACAGCGGUUAAGCUUCUUAUACUACCAGAUGAUGCUAGCCUUCUGGCUCAUUUAGCAUUGAUCUUGAUGUCGAGUAAUGAAUUUGAAAGUCCAUUUUGAUUCCCAAGUCUCUAGAACUUUUUUUCUAUGGUACGAGCAAUCUUGGCAUCCUCUGGACCUGGCUCAGGGAAAUCCAUGUGAAAUGACCCCUGUUUGAUAGGUGCAUCAGCCUCUAGGAGUUUAGAUGUGAAAUGCGGGAAUUGGGUUUCUAUGAAGGGAUGCUGAAAUUGUGAUUGGAUUAGCUUGCUUUCCCCUUCCUCUCAGUCUCAGGUGCAUAUUAGAAAUUUAUGUCAUUAAUCAGACUUUAUUUCCCAGAUUCUGCAAAAUGAUUUUCAUCCCACAGCAGCAAGUCGGAGUCGGUUCCUUGCAUCUUGAUCUUGAGAUUUGGCCAGAAAUUGAUAAGAGCAUUGGGGUUUAGGUUUGGUGAAUGAAAUUGGGCAGUUUAUGAAGGCAAUUUUCAACCAAAGCUAUUCUGAUGAUUUUGCCUCUAAAAAGCACGCUUGCAAGCCACGUGAUAGCCAUUCUAUUUCUUUUGACGAUCGAAAUUAGACAGAAUAACUAAAACAUACAAUUUGGUUAGUUUAGCGAUAUUUUCGGCUAAGGAAUUAAUUUAGUGAUCAAAAGUAGUACAAGUGAAUAAUUUAAUGACAUUUGGUGCAAUUUACUCUUAUUCUAUCAAGGGUACAGGAGAGCAGCCAAAAUUGGGAAAAAAAAGAAAAGAAAAUUACAAAUAAAACGCAGAAAGGAACCAAGAAAUCUAUAAAUUACCUUCAAAUGUCAAGAGAGUGGUGUUUUUCACCUACUAGCGCACCCUUUAACCCGGCGCCCACCUCUUUUUAUGUAUACUAUUAUACUUGAUCUUUAAUUGCCAAUAAUAUUGAAGUUGGCACAUGUUUCAUUCUAUAAUUAUUAUGGCUGAAGGUUCAAUUUUUCCGUCUGAGGUUUGCCCUUUUUUGCUCGAUUAUAUUCAUCUUUCAUCAUCGAUUUGAAUUUUCAACGUACCAAGGUUUUCUCAAAUCGCUUUGUACAAGAUGCAUGAUAUUUGUUCUGAUUUACCAUAUCAUCUUAGUAUUCGUAUGGGUGCAUUCAAAUUUAGGGACACGAUGUAGUCCUAAUUAGUUUGUGAGAAGGCCGUGAUUUUGAAAAGAAAAACUCAAACUCUCAACCAUCAAAACAAACUCGAUCUUUUAGCAUAAAUAUAGAUAUAGAUAUAUAGAUGAAUCUUUGUAAUUAACAAAGUACACAAUGGUGAUCAAUAAAAGUCAAUGGUAGGUAGAGAAGUUGGCAUCAUCCUUGAAAGCGUCCUUUAGGACAGAAGGGCUAGAAAGCAAAACGAAGGAGAUCAGUAAAUUAAUCACAAGAUUACUUGAGCUUUCAAGAAUCAUCCUUGAAAACGUCCUUUUGGACAAAGAGCUAAAAACCAAAUUGAAGGAGAUCAAUAAAUUAAUCACAAGAUGCCCUGAACUUAUGAGGAAGCCAAUUAGUGCAAUAAUACACCAUAUUUUAUAGAUUGGAAUCUGCAAGUGGUGGAGCUAGGUAAAGACUCUGUUGAUGCAAUUGUGGGGCUCCAGGCUUCAAAAUAAUGCAAAGAUGACAAUAAUGAGUUGGAGCCAGCUUAUUGAUGACAAUAAUGCUUGUAUUUUAAGCACGUUAGAUGUGAAAUGUGAGAGUUGAAUGCUGUCUGAGCUCAUUCCAGUGUGAAAGAGCCUUUUGCGAUAGCAAACUGCUGUUCUCUACCGGUCUCAUUCAGUCAUUUGCAGUAUGAUUAUGGUUAUUUAUUAGUGUGAACACAAAUGAUUGGAAUGAACAUUUGUUUAUUUAUGUAGAAAAAGUGAUCUUGUUAACGUUAUUUUUUCCAAAUAGCAGCCCGCACUAGUGAUUUCGCUCUACUUGUUUUGGGGUAAAUUGUGGAAGAUAGAGGCACAAUUAAAUCGGCAUACCUCUAAUCAUUUACCUACCGUAUAUCUAUAUGAGGGCAAAACUCGGAUCACGUGCAUUAAUGCUAACAAUAAUGAUCUAUAAUACUAAACAAGAGAUAUCGUGACAUAUGUGUCUUAUGUUAUUUCAUAUUGUGAAUUAAAUGGUUGACCAUUGUGCCUUCUUUGGUCCACUUAAAAUUUUUAGAUGAUUUUGUCCUUCAAACCCUACAUGUGCAGAUCAUGUGAUGGUCAUUCUUUUUUUUUUUUGACGGUGAAAUUAGAUAGAAUGACCAAAAACAUACAAUUUGAUUAGUUUAGUGAUGUUUUCGGCUAAGAAAUUAAUUUGGUAACCAAAAUUAGUACAAGUGAGUAAUUUAAUGACAUUUGGUAAUUUGCUUUUAUUCUAUCAAGGAAUACAGGUAGCCAAAUUUGGAAAGGAAUAUAAAAUUAUGAAUGAAAUACAGAAAGGAACCGAGAAAUCUAUAAAUUACCCUCAAAUGUCAAAAGAGUCAUGUUUUCCACCUACUAGCGCACCCUUUAACCCGCCGCCCAUCUCUUUUUCAAAUGAAUGGCAGAUAUAUAGAUAAUUGCAAUGCUUUUCUGGCUAAAUGAGGUUUUACUCUUUAUUACUCUUAUUAUCAUGUUUUUCUUUUGGUCAAAUGAUGUCAUACUCAAAUAAAAAGGAAUUUGUUAAGGAUUCAAAUCUUAUCUAUUAGAAACUAGUUUCCUUAAUUUCAAAGAAAGAAGUUGAUUAGAGAUCCCCUCUUCAUAUUCUGGCUUUUAACACAGUAGAACUUAAACAUUUGCUAACCCUUACAUUAAUCAAACAAAAAGCCAACCAAUCGUUCAUGGUUGCCUGCAUAAUUCUCAUCUUUUAAUUUUUUAAUUAAUUACACUAGCUGGAAAUGAAUGCGAGUUCCACUUCACUACUAAAAAAGAUUAUUAGCAGAAGUAAAAUUUAUUAGCAUAAGUUAUAUAUAGCCCAUGCUCCCAUGUGCAAUAUCACAAUGUUAACGUUGGUAAAUAGCUAGGCGAGAAGACAAAAGAGAUAGAGAUGCCGCCGCCGAGCCUUAGCACCUAGCUGUCAAGUGGCAGAUGCCUAUGCAUUUUCUAGGAUACCUUUAUGGUAAGAACGCGUUGACCGUGCCUAUGGUAGGAAGGCCUCCAGAGGUCGACACGUGUUGCAGGUGGAUGAAUUGCAAACGGAGACGUUAAGCCGUGGAAUUGCGCGUGGAGAUGCAACGUUAACAUGUUGUCCGCGGCUGCAAGGUAAAAGCACAGGUUCGGAUAUUGCCUAUUAUAUGAAUAUGAAUACAAUAGUCAAUUGUUUUGAAAGACUAAGUCUGCCUAGAUAUUGCCAACUAAUUAAAGAUAACUUUUAUUUAACAUAGCAAAUACAUAUUUACAUAUGAAGACGGUAAUAAGAAUACAUAAAAUAAUUAAUGAUACCAAAAGUUAUCCUUAGUGUUUGGGUUUUACAUUCUUAUUCAAAUCUAAUCAGGGUCAAAUUUGGGUUAGAUAUAUACAAAUUAAGUAGUAUUUUAGGGUCGAAUGUUCUAUAUUUUUUUCUUAAACUAUAAUGUUACUUUUUUAAAAAAUUUUGGUAGAAUUGGUGUUGUUAUUAUCAUAUUUAUCAAAAAAAAAUUUCCACGUUAAAAGGCCAGUAGUACUUUUUUUUAUUUAGUGAUUUCAUAAUUUAGAUUUCAUGAAUGGUACCAUUCUUGAUUUUUUAAAUCCACGACAUUAUUUCCUUUUGUUUUCUGUAUAAUUUUGCUAUUUUACUUAGGAUUACUAAGUUAAAAGAUAAAAUAUUAUUAUUUACUUUUUUACUUUUACUAAGUUUGGUAAUGUUUUCUCUUUAUUUACCUUCCCACUAAUAAAUUUCAAACCAAAUUCCUAUAUAAGUGGAGCCACUUCUUACUUAUUUAAAUUAGAAAGGUAUGGAAGGCACUUCUUACUUAGAAAAAUGUUAUUUGCACUCCAUUUUUUAUUAUUUGUAAUUCCACCAUUUGUUUUAUCAUAUAGUCUAAUGAAUGAAAACUAUAUGAUCAAAAUGAUUAUUGAAGUGUGAAUAACAAAAAUAUAGUGUAAAUAAUCUUACUUAUUUAAAUUAAUAAGAAAGCAUGAAAGGAUGUCAUAUUUGUUAUCUCUUGUUAUGGUCUUAUAGAAGUUUUAAUUGGAGUAGAAUAAUAAAUAACGCAAGGUAAUCGAAAACGUGAUAGGUUGAAGUACAAAUAAGAUAACAUGCAUAUUAACCAACAAUUUGAAAUGAAAUGAUUUUAAAAAGUAACUAACAAUUUCAAAUGUAAAGAGUAGAUGUGAAAGUUAAGAGAAAUAUAUUUUAUAAAUUAAAUUAAAUGUGAAAUGCUAGAAAAAUAGAAUUGGUAGUGGGAAGACGUGUGAAGGCUUGUUGCUAAAAAUUCUUUCUCAAAUUUAUAUAGAUAUAGAUAGAUAUAGAUGUCUUUUUUAGUGGUUCAAUCUCAUAUUCAUGAACUAUCUGCAGAAAAAAAAUAAUUCUGGACUAUACUAAUUUUGUUAUACCAACUCUGUUAUUUUUAUUAGUGUAUUAAUUGUUACGUUAUUUCUCUCAUUUUGUUGGGUCUACAUUAAUACAAGUGUAAUUGUUAUUAUGUCUCGUGUCCCAGAAAAUACAUAAUAUCCUAUUCAGGUGGAUACGUGCAACAGAUAAUCAAAUUGAUGGUAAAAAUUUAGAAUGAAUAAGUUGCUUUUGCAUAACGGUUGUAAAGGUUUCUUGAAACUUUAUGAAUUAGGUGUCUUGCGUUUGCAAAAAGAAUUUCAGAAGAUUUUUUGUAUUGGAAAUGGAGUUAAAACUUGCUAUAGGUUACUUUCCUGUAUUUCAAUCUUAUCGUAAAGGGUAAUUUGCUGUUGAACCUAAUUUUUUUUCUGAUUAUAUCCAACUAAUAAAUUAACUUAAGAAAAUAGAUAAUUUAUGGAGGAAAGCUAUAAGUAGCUGGUGCUUAUUUUGAAAAAUAGAUUUAUUUUUAUUUUAUCCAAUAAAUAAAUUAGUUUAUGAAAAAUGGGUACUCUGUUCUUAUAAUGGAGGAAAGCCAUAAAGAGCUAGUGUUUUAUUUAAAAAGGAUCUAUUUUUAUUUUAUCCGAUAAAUAAAAUUUUUGUAUGCAAAAAUGGGUACUCUAUUCUUAUAAUGGAGGAAAGUCAAAAAGAGCUAGUAUUUUAUAGAAAAAUGUGUUUAUUUUUAGUUUAGCCGAUAAAUAAAAUUUUUUAUUUAUAAAAAAAUGGGUACGCUGUUCUUAUAAUGAAAAAAAGUCAUAAAGAGCUAGUGUUUUAUUGAAAAACGGGUUUAUUUUUAUUUGAUCCGAUAAAUAAAAUUUUUUAUGAGAAAAACGGGCACUGUGUUCUUAUAAUGGAGGAAAGUCAUAAAGAGCUAGUGUUUUAUUGGAAAAUGGGUUUAUGCAGAAUUUUAUUUUAUCCAUAAUUUUUUUUUAUGGAAAAAUGUGUACUCUAUUCUUAUAAUGGCGGAAAGCCAUAAAGAGCUAGUGUUGUAUUCAAAAACAGGUUUAUUUUUAUUUUAUCCGAUAAAUAAAUUUUUGUAUGGAUGUCUAGAUAAAAUUUAUUGAUCGGAUUAAAAGAAAAUUUAUUUUAACACUCAUUUUUCCAAAAACAAAUUUUCUUUUCGAAAAAAAAAAGAAAAUAAGCCCGUUUUCUAAUAAAACAGUCGUUGUUUAUGGCUUUCCUGCAUUAUAAGGAAAGAGUACCCAUUUUAUCAAAAACAAAUUUAUUUAUCGAAAUAAAAUAAAUAUAAAGGCGUUUUACAGUUAACCACCCACUAUUUACGGCUUGCCUCCAUAAAUUAUCCACUUCACUAUUUUUCAUAAGUUAAUUUUCUAGUUGGAUAAAAUUGGAAUAAAAUUAGGUUGAACAGCAAAUUACCCUUUAGGAUAAAAUUAAAAUACAGGAAAGUAACCUAUAGCAAGUUUUAACUCCGUUUCCACUACAAAAAAUCUUCUGCAAUUGUUUUUGCAAACGCAAGAAGAAUAAUUCAUAAAGUCUCAAGAAACCUUUACAACCAUUAUACAAAAGCAACUUAUUCAUUCUAAAAUUUUAGCAUCAAUUUGAUUACCUAUUGGACGUAUCAACGUCAAUAAGAUAAUAUGUAUUUUCUGAUACACGAGACAUAAUAAGAAUUAAACUUGCAUUAAUGUAGACCUAACAAAAUGAGAAAAGUGGCGUAACAAAUAAUACAAUAAUAAGAAUAACAUAUUUGGUAUAACAAAUUUAGUAUAGUCUAAAAUUUUAUUUUUUUUCUGCAGAUAGUUCACCAAUAUAAGGUGCAACCACUAAAAAGAAUGACAUGCAUAUGUAAUGUAAAAAUGAAUAUAAAAUGAAUGUAGUUACAUUGUGUCAUCCGGUAUUCGGGUCCAUAGUGGAAGCCGAACUUCAAUAAUGGAAAGCCAAAGUUGAAGCUUACUUCAGACGCUAUGGGGAAGAAGUGGGGUCACCAAAUAUUUGGUACAAAGGAAAGACUUGCAAUAACAUAGUACGGAAGUCAGUUUGCUGUUUGCUUCCAUCCGUACACGCUUCUACUUGAUUCCUUAUGCACGCGCUCUCCAACAAUUUAACGUCUCCGUUUGGACUGUUUUGCCCCCAACACGUGUCGCUCUCUGCCGGCAUUCCUACCAUAGGCAGGUUCCUACCAUAAAGGUUUCCGCAUUUUCUAUCUGCCCAGAAAGCAAUACUAAAUUCAGUGAUGCCUGCGAUUCUUCAGUCAUCCCUUUUUUCUUUUUGGGUAAAGAAUGUGAAGGUGGAUAGAUAGGGAAAAAGCAGAAUCCCCAUUUUCUAGAAUGAGAAAUACAUAUCUUUGGUCAUUCAGUUAUAUCAGAUUGAUUAAUUAGCAAAUUUGGCAUCUAAAAUACAAGUUUUUUGAACUUAUUUCACGUAUAAGUAAUAAAAUACUAGCAAUUAAGAAUGUAUUGUCUAUUUGGUUGAUAGGUUGCAAUUUUAUCAUUUAUUUUAUUAUUAACUUCCCCUAUUACCUGACCCGAUGUGGAUUAAUUAUCAGAUUCUACUAAUUUUUCAUAAUUUGUAUUUAUUUCAGGAAGUAGAUCGAAAAUACCAUAACCAAUGCUAAUUUAACAGUUAUUAGAAAAGAAUUCAAACAGAAGGCAUGCAGGGACAUUUUUUGUAACAAAAGAGACGCAAGCCCUUUUUGGUCAUCCGGCCGAAGUCUUCCUCUAAAAGAGAUGGGAGCCGCCGCACAUGGAGAGGAUUAUUAGAUAGAAAUUAGAAAUGGCAGGUGGGGAGCACUACUCUAGAGCUUUAGCUUUGACUUUUCCUUCCUUUGCUUCUUAGUAGUUUUUGUCUUCUCGGAUGUCAGGAGCAAUUGAAGCAUUGAAUCAUUUCCCUGUAGCUUUUUCGUUUGUUUUUUCCUUGUGAUCUGUAGUGGAUUCCUCCUGCCACAUAAUGGCCGCUGCUAUCACUUCAGUUUUGUAUGGAUUUUUCUCAUCAACAAUGAGCUAAACCCCCCCUUUGUCUAGUCAAGAAACAACGGAUGCUUUGGUUCGUCUAAAAAUUAUGAGAUCAAUUUAAUUUAAUCUUUUUCUUUUAUUUAUUGGUAUUUGCAUGUUCCUUGAUUGCUAUGCUUAUGGUUAUUUAAAUUAAUUGAUUGUUUUGGAUCCAGAUAAUUAGUUAAUUUGGUAAUCUAUUGUCAAUUAGGGCUUUUAAAUCCGUAAUUAUUUAAUUGUUUUGAAAUAGUGACAACUGACACGAUUAGAUUUAUGUCAGGGGAAUAUGCUGGCUAAUCUGAAAUAACCCUGAUAGUGCGUUAUUUGAUUAGAAUAGAACUUCUCUAAUACGUAAGGCAAUUGGGGAAUUAAAUCUUAUGGGCGUACCUAAGAUUAUUUCUCAAUUAGAGCAGUGAUUAACGGGCGUACCUUAAUCACCGACACAGUAAGGAGGGGUUAACUGCCAUCGCUUGUUUGGUAGUUAUAACCUAUUUAUUAGUAAAUAAUUGGAAUUACCUUUGCAUCGAUGAUCAAUUAGGUGAACUAUUGUUGAAGUUAUUUCUUGGUUAGACCCUUAAUUAUCACUCAUUUGAUAUUAGUAAAUUGUUAUUUAAUUUUAGUAACUUUUUAGAUUUUAUUUGAAUUUUUUUUAUUGUCAUCUUUUGCACAAAAACACCCCCUUAUUACUGUGAAUUUGAAAAGAAACAGUUACUCCCAAUCCCUGUGAAUUCGACCCUACUUACCACUAUUUACAAAAAUUAACUUUAGUUGAGCAGGUUUUUAUUAUUGCAUAGGCUGAUAACCUGUCAAUUUUUGGCGCCGUUGCCGGGGAUUGGUGCCAGAUUAAUUUAUUUAUUUUUUAGUUCAUCUUAUUUUUAUUUUUUUAUUUAUUUUUUUCUUAUUUUUUUAUAUAGUUUAUGGCUGCUAGCAUUCCAUAUUUUGAUGAUAGACUGGACUUUAUUCCUGAAUGGGGUUAUGAGACUCAUGUUUUUCCUAAUGAUCAAUGGGCUGUUGCAAAUUGUGAAACUUAUUUUAUCUCAGGUUAUUCAACCGACACAUGCCCUUCAUUUCAAGAUAAUCUAAGUGCUCUAAUUGAUAUUUUUGGAGAUUUUUCACCUCGAUUUCAAACGUGAUAUGAUCCUUACUCAAACAGGUAUGAUCAAGGAUGGUGGGAUAAUUCUAAUUUUAAUUAUGCGACAGGGCCAAUGGAUUUUCAACCGCAAGAAUCUCAACAACCAUCACCCGUGUCAGGUAUAUCUCUUGAAGAAAUGAUUGAAUUACUAGCUGCUAAUACAUAUCGAACUCAGCAGGAGACACAAGCGAUGGCGGAUCAAGUGCAACUAUUGAUAUCCGGGAUGGCAGAUCAAAUAAAUCUAUUGACAUCCAGGUUAACGUGAUUAGUUUCUCACCUUAAAGAAUUGCCCUCACAAACCAAUAUCAACCUUGAAGAAGAUGAGAGUGCAAUUAUCCGACCAAAUGACAUGGAACUGCAAGAGUUUCAAGGAAACGGAUCUAAAGAUGCAGUUGAAAAGGAAGUUGAAGUGCAAGAAAUGAGACCCCAAUAUCAACUCGUCCAAGUGAAUGAAUCCAGUAAACAAUUUCCAAAUGCGGUGACAUCUCCUCCAUUCCUUAAUCAAUAUUCUCCUGACUCUUAUUCUUCAAUCCCUAUUAAUGAAACUGACUUUAUUAUACCAGAAAAUCUUGAAUUUCAUAACAGGAAUAAAUUAAGAGUGACGAUGACAAGAUAUUUUCGACCAAUAAAUGCAUGUGAGGGAGGAGUGAAUGGAGAAUUCAAAUUAUCGUUGACUUGUUUAGCGCCAUUUACUAAUCCAUGGAAGACUGUAGCUCGUGUGCUCAAGAAUUACUCUAUUUACGAGGGUUAUCAGGACUAUAUAGAGGAUGAAGUAUUGAAACGAGUUACAAGAUUUUAUCCUCUCUAAACAAACAUGAUAAUGUCUAACCAAAGAUAUUAAAAAAAUGCGCUCAUUGGGAGGCAACCCAAUUUCUUUUAGUUGUUUGUUCGGUUUUGUUUGUUAGUUUCAAUAUGUUUUUCUUGAGUUUGACUGAUUUCUGGUUUCAAUUUUCAUUUUUGAUGAUUCGUAGGUAUCCCUCUGACAUGACGCGCCAGCGUCAACUGGGCGCGUGGCAUAGUGCGAUUUCCUGGUGCUUAGUAAAAAGGGUUUCGAUCCCCUUGACGUGCCCGCGUCAAGUUCCAUGAAAAUCUCAUGAUCAGAUUCGUCAGAAGGGGUUCUUGUCCUCAUGACGUGCCCGCGUCGAGUCAUCUAGGAAACUCUUCACUUCUUGCCUUCUUGACGUGCCCGCGUCAUGUUCGCGGGAAAAAUGAGUAUUCAAAUCUCGAGAAAAAUUUCGAUUUCCUUUUAACCUCUAAUUUUGAAUUUCGAAAAUAAAUUUUAUUAAUGAUAAUACAAAAAAGAAAUUUAAAUAAAAAAAUUUCGUUUAACCGUAACUUCAAAAAUGAAAAAAAAACCGAACAAAAUAACUAUUUUGUUUUUGUUUUUCUCUUUUCUUUAUCUUUCUUUUCUUUUCUUUCUUUCUUUUCUGUCUUUUUUCUUCCCCGAUUCCCUUUUCCUUCGCACGCUGCCACCCUUCUUCUCUCCAACCUCGCACGCCGCUCCUCUUUUUCCCUCGUCGCCGCCGUCCGCCGCUCACCAUGCCCUUUCUCCCUCGCACCUUAGGCGCCACCGCCGCUCCUUCGCCCUAAGUCCCGCCUCGUCCACCACUUUGACCCGAUUUCAGGGAAGUUCCGUUGCCCUUCUUCUUCCUAUUGCUGUUUAUUUGUCACAUUAUAGGCAAUGUGUCAUUUAGGUGUGGGGGGGGAGGGAUUAGAUGGGGUGCCAGUGUUUCUAGUUUUUAGUUUUUAGUAGUUUUUAGUUUUUUGAUAUUUUUUCUUUAUUUUUAGUUUGGUAUUUGUCUAGUUUUCGUUACUUUUUUGACAUUUAUCUGUCUAGCUCCCCUCUGACUGCCAAAGUUUGAUGUUGGAUUGUUGCCUCUAGUUUUGCUAUUGUCAAGUUUUAAUUAUAAAAGUGUAUCAAAUUAAUGUGGUUGAAUCUAAAAACAUCUCUUUGGUGAAUAUCGAUGAUUGUUUUACUCUUAUAAUUUUUGUUUAACUUUCCUAGGCAUAGGGAAUGAUUGUUGGCAUUUUCAUGUGAAUUGGUACGGUUAUUAACCUUAGUUCUCCAUGUUUGAAAAUGAGGCUAGCUGAUGCAAAUUUUCUUUUAAUUUUUGUGUUAUAUUGAGUUUUUGGGUUAUUUAGCUGAGAAUAAGAGUUAACUGUGCUCCGCUAGUCUUUUCUAUCAAGUAACAGGGAAUUUUUACCAAAUGUGUCGAUUCUCGCGUCAAAAAGCAGUAAUUGCUAUGAGUAUGUGGUCAUGUGGCGAUAGAAGCUGAGCAACCGGGCUCUUUCAUCUGACAAAUGUCAGAGUUCGCGUCAAAAGGCUCUAAUAGAUAGAGAUUAAGUCUUUUACUAUUAUUGUAAAAAAAAAAAACAAAAACAAAAAUAGAAACAAAAAAAGUGAAAAAUAGAAAAAAAACGUGAAAAAAAGUGAAGGUUGUGUUAGGGUGUGAUAAAAAUCAGCUUGCCGAUUUAUGGAUUUAAUGUUGAGAUUUUGGUUAAUAUUUGGACCAUUUGCUGGUAAUGUUGAGCGAUCAUUCCUUUUUCUUAGAUUAGUUAAUCUGAAAUUAAAGGAGUUUGUGGUUUAGAAGCUAAUCGGAGUGAUGUUUCUCGGAUUUUAAUCACUAGUGCUUGAUAUAUGAUUUUUUUUUGUAUCUUGGCAAUAUGGUAGAUAGAGCAAUAGUCAUUGGCAAAUUUUGGUGUUUGUUUACCGUUUUUAUGCUUGAGGACAAGUAUGGUCUAGGUGUGGGGGAAAUUGAUAGGUUGCAAUUUUAUCAUUUAUUUUAUUAUUAACUUCCCCUAUUACCUGACCCGAUGUGAAUUAAUUAUCAAAUUCUACUCACUUUUCAUAAUUUGCAUUUAUUUCAGAGAGUAAAUCGAAAAUAUCAUAACCAAUGCCAAUUUAACAGUCAUCGGAAAAGAAUUUAAAUAGAAGGCAUGCAGGGGCAUUUUUGAGAACAAAAGAGAUGCAAGCCCUUUUUGAUCAUUCGGCCGAAGUCUUCCUCUAAAAGAGAUGGGAGCUGCCGCACAUGGAGAGGAUUAUUAGAUAGAAAUUAGAAAUGGCUGGAGGGGAGCACUACUCUAGAGCUUUAGCUUUGACUUUUCCUUCAUUUGCUUCUUUAGUAGUUUUUGUCUUCUCGGAUGUCAGGAGCCAUUGAAGCAUUGAAUCAUUUCCUUGUAGCUUUUUCGUUUGAUUUUUCCUUGUGAUGUGUAGUGGAUUCCUCCUGCCACAUAAUGGUCGCGGCUAUCACUUCAGUUUUGUAUGGGUUUUUCUCAUCAACAAUGAGCUAAACCCUUUGUCUAGUCAAGCAAUAACAGAUGCUUUGAUUCACCUAAAAAUUGUGAGAUCGAUUUAAUUUAAUCUUUUUCUUUUAUUUAUUGGUAUUCGCGUGUUCCUUGAUUGCUAUGCUUAUGGUUAUUUAAAUUAAUUGAUUGUCUUGGAUCCGGAUAAUUAGUUAAUUUGGUAAUCUAUUGUCAAUUAGGGCUUUUAAAUCCGUAAUUGUUUAAUUGCCUUGAAAUAGUGACAACUGGCACGAUUAGAUUUGUGUCAGGGGAAUACGCGAGCUAAUCUGAAAUAACCCUGGUAGUGCGUUAUUUGGUUAGAAUAGGGCUCCUCUAAUACGUAAAGCAAUUGGGGAAUUAAAUCUUAUGAGCGUACCUAGAAUUAUUUAUUAAUUAGAGCAGUGAUUAACGGGCGUACCUUAAUCACCGACACAGUAAGGAGGGGUUAACUGCCAUCGCUUAUUUGGUAGUUAUAACCUAUUUAUUAGUAAAUAAUUGGAAUUACCUUUGCAUCGAUGAUCAAUUAGGUGAACCAUUGCUGAAGUUAUUUCUUGGCUAGACCCUUAAUUAUCACUCAAUUGAUAUUAGUAAAUUGUUAUUUAAUUUUUAGUAACUUUUUAGAUUUUAUUUGAAUUUCUUUGAUUAUCAUCUUCUGCACAAAAACACUCCCUUAUUAUUGUGAAUUUGAAAAGAAACAGUUACUCCCAAUCCCUGUAGAUUCGACCCUGCUUACCACUAUUUACAAAAAUUAACUUUAGUUAAGCAGAUUUUUAUUAUUGCACAGGCUGACAACAUGUCAUUGGUAGUGCUCCAAAUAAGGGGUGGAUCCAAAGUUGCCUAAUUGGUCUAUGUGAAUAUGAAUCCUGUACAUAAACAAGAAGCAAUUUUAGAGGGUACUGUUCACAAAAUUUUAUCUGCUUUUGGAGGGUUAAUUAAGUCAUUUAAAUUUUGAUGGGCCAAUCGGUUUAGAAGAGUGUACAAGUGGAUGAUGCUGCGGUAUUUGUGAAAUGACUUUGGGGGGCCUUUAUUUAGUUGCUCUUCCUUCACAUAUUUAUCAUUAAAAUUAAAUGACAGCUUUAACUUUUAGGCUCAUACACACUAGGGUGUACGUGUGAUGAAAGAGAUAUAAUUGUUUGAUAAUGAUGGUCUUCUACCAUUGCAACUAUAGUUGCUGUUAUUCGAUAUGUACUUAGUCAAUAAAUUGGUAUUAAUCUCACACUUAUCUUACUAACUACAAUUAAUUAGUCAAACUCUUCCUUUCUUCUCCGUUAGAAUUUUGUUAGUUUUCAAUUCUUCCAGGGAGAUUAUAUUGAAUCACUUUUGCAAUCAGUGUUGGUGAUGGUGGCAUGGUAAUUAGUAAUUUGCAACACAAAUUCUUUACUAGCGAAUCUAUAACAACUAAAAUGAUUGUGAGAUGUGCCACUGGCCUUAAAUUCUUUUACGAUCGUCAUUGAGCAACUUGUUAUUUAUCAAUUGUAUGAUUACUUAUGAAUUAAUCACAUUGAACUCCAUCAACGCAUCUUGGCGGGGUAAUUAUUCAAUAAGCUGAAGGAAUGACAAUGCAGUGAAAUUAGGCCAGGUUGAUACAGGAUUUUAUUACGUUUAUUGGAGUAAUCAUCUCACAUGUUUCUAAGGGUGUUUAGAUUACAAAUUACUCAGAAAUCUCUUACGUGUCGUGAAGCAUCUGUGAAAAUGUGAAAGGCACCUCAUCAAAUUUCAAAUUCGCAGGCCAACUACUGAAUUAGCAGUUGGCAAUUUGUCAUUCCUUCAAAUUUUCAGUGCGACGGCUGAUCUUCUCCAUCUGAGCAUCUAGCUGCAAACAAAUGCCAGUUUCUGUAUUGUCAUUGAGUUAAUAGAUGCAUUAGCACUAAAAUCUCACAAGAUCAGGCAAACAACAAGGCAUAAAAACUGAAAUGUGUAAGAGGUCCAAUUUGAUAUCUGGGACACUGAUAUCAAUGGAAACUGAGAUGGCCAAAACAGGAAGGGGCCUUGGUUUUUCUCUCCCUGCGGAGAAUGUUCAAGAACUAGCUUCUAAUUGCUCUAAAGAAAUCCCCCAUCGAUACAUCAGGCCUGAAAUAAUGCUUGAUGAAGUAUCUACGAACGAGGUAGCACAGAUUCCAGUGAUCGACAUGGGAAAGCUUGCAGCUGAUCAUUCAGGAUACCAGAAUGAAAUGGCAAAACUUUAUCGGGCUUGCAAAGACUCGGGUUUCAUUCAUGUAACAAAUCAAGAGAAUCCUUCACAUAUAGAAUCCUAAUUGUACUACUUGUAAUGAUUAGAUACACAGCUUAAUUUUCCUAGUAAAGUAACGACUAACAGCCCGUGACUCAAUCUUGAACAGUUAAUUAAUCAUGGGGCUACCACAGUAGUUGAGAAAAUGAAGUUGGUGAUGGAGGACUUCUUUAAGCUGCCAUUACAGCAGAAGAUGGCCUGUGCAAAACUACCAAAUGAUGUUGAAGGAUAUGGUCAAAUAUUUGAGGUAUCAGAGGAUAUGGUCAAAAGCUUGAUUGGGGGGACAUGCUCUUCCUCCGUGCAUUGCCAGUUUCUCAUAGAAAUAUGAGAUCUGGCCUACGACUCCAACAUCUUUCAGGUAGACAAUGGAUAAUGCACAGUAUCACAAUCUUUUCCCACUUCUGCAGCAAUAUUAUACUGCUCUUAACUUUUCUCUGAAGGCUAGCCUUGUUCGUCAAGCUCCUCUGCUUACAGAAUUUCCCGUUCGUCAUGGGAAUUUAUCCUCUAUUUUUUGAGCAAUUGCAAAACAAAGAUUCUUUAAAAGGAAGCAUCUUUUGCUUCCAUUAGAAAGCUACAUGGAUUACUGUACUUAGGCGACAAAAACCUGAAAAUUGUGUAAGAAAAAUUCAUCACAAUGUUAAUUUCAAAUUUCUGAUGAUGUCAGAGAAACCAUGGAUGAAUAUUCACUUCAAAUGCACGAGGUUUGCAUGACCCUGUUUAAACUUAUGUGGGCGAAUCUUGGUGUAGACCCAGAAAAAUUAUGCAGCAUCUAUCAAGAUGGCACACAAGGAAUAAGAAUGAAUUACUAUCCACCUUGCCAGCAAGCAGACAAAGUUAUUGGCCAGACUUCACACUCUGAUGCAAUAGGACUGACCUUGUUAGUUCAAGUCAAUGAUGUUCAAGGCCUGCAAAUAAAGAAAACCAACACAUGGGUUCCUAUUAAACCCAUUCCUGGAGAAAUCAUCAUCAAUAUCGGUGAUAUUAUGGAGGUAACUGACCACCAAACCAAAUUUCCACUUACUGAGCAUCUAUAGAUAUCAUUGAGUUGAUGUGCUUUGAUGAUUUGUGCAAAUAAAGAGCAAUGGGGAAUAUCGCAGCAUUGAGCAUAGAGCUGUCGUGGAUUUCCACAAAGAAAGACUUCCAAUAACUGCAUUUCACGGAACAAAUUUCACAGCAAAAGUUGGCCCUGUAGCAGAUCUUGUCAAAGAAAUUGGAGAACAAUAAAAAACAACAGAAACCGAGAGCCUUCUCAGACUGUAUCUGAGCAGCAAACUUGAUGGCAAAAGCUUAUGGGAUCACAUGAGGAUAAACAAGUGAAAGAAUCAGCACAUUUUCACUUGUAGUAGUAGUAUUACUUUUUUUUUUUAAUCUUCAUCAUAAAACAAGCUUGAUGAAUUACCAAUAUGCCUUCAUGGAAGUUUCUAGUUGCAUGUUAUUGAUCUGUUUGCUUUUUUAUGUUAUGGUCGGUUGUCCUUAGUUGAUUUCCUUAUACUUUAGUGGUGUAAGUACUAGCCUACACAAGUCAGAUUCCUAAGGUCACAUCGGCAGUGGUGUUUAGUUGUCCAAAUUCAAGUGUGUUUCCUGGAUGAAGUAUCAAUAUUAGGAAGUUUGUAACUACAGUGGUGCGCUAGAUUGCAUGUCUGAACGAUAUCAAACCAACCUUGGAUUCCUAAGGUUAUAUCCGCGAUUAAGCGGUGGCGUUUAGUUGUCCAAAUUCAAGCGUGUUUCCUGGAUGAAGUAUCAAUAUUAGGAAGUUUGUAAUUCUAUAUAUACCUAUAGUGGUGUGCUAGAUUUGCAUUUGUCUGAACGAUAUGAAUACUCACUUGACUUGCUUGAAGUCUGCAUUACCCUUGUUAAAGUGAUGGUCACGAAUCUUGGGGUGGACGGACCAGAGAUACUAAACAGCAUGUAUCAGGAUGUCAUGCUCACAAGGAGACAAGGUAAUGUGUCUCAUCGCUCCACACUCUGAUGGAGGACUUACACAAUUGGUUCAACCAAGUUGAGGGCCAUACCCAACCAAUAGGUUCAAGUAGAUCAAGAAAAAUAAUAGAUGGGUGCUUACGUAACUUCCUAGUUCUAGUUUUUGGUCAUGUAUCGGAGUAUGAUGACGUAGGAAGUCUGGGAAAAAAAUUGUCACAGAGGAAGAAGUCAAUUUCUAAGAAUGGACAUAAUGUCAAUUUCUAAGAAAGGAAUUUCCUUAGUUUGGGUAAACAAUUUUCUAGGUUGCCCCACAAUACGUGAGACGUUGAACUUUGAUCUUCUUUAGUGCUGCAAGACAUCUAUAGCAUUCAUCUUGUCCCUGGGAGAAUCCUCUGUGCAACCUAUAGCUACUCUCAUAAUAGACGUUAUGCCCUCCAACUUUUCAGCGAAGUGUUGAUAGCCUGGCUUGAGCAAGUUUGCUUCUACUACCUGAGAUACUGCAUUUGGCGCACAACUUUUUACCCAGUUCCUUAGACGUGUCUGAAAACAUUUCAUCAAUGGGCUUCAAUCUAGUGAAAACUUCUAUCAGCAUGAUUCCAUAGCUAUAAAUGUCAGAUCCUGUUGAUACCAUGGUUCGCCGUUAUGGGCCGCGGGCGCGAUUGUUCCACAUCCGUUCCAGACUUGCGGUAGAUCGGUUAAAUAUCGGGUGAUAUGCAAGUUAGAGCAUAUAAGUCUUUUUUAAAAAUUAGAAAAAUUAAUUGGAGCUUUACCUGUUGCAAAUAUAGCCAAAUGUUGCUCGAGUCAUUGGUGUAUGCAGUGUUCUCCCCACCAGUCAAUAUUUUUACAGCACCAAAAUCAGUCACACAGGCAACCAUAUCUUCAUUUAGAAGGACAUUACUUGGCUUCAAAUCACAGUGAACAACGGGAAUUGAGUAAGUAUGAUGGAGAUACUCCAAUGCAGAUGCCAGAUCUAUCAUCACAUUCAUUCUUUGGAUGAUAUUUAAGCAAUUAUUGUAAGAAUACAACCACUUCUCAAGUCAAGGCUCCCAUUGGGGAAGUAAUCCCUUGAAGUCAUCAUUAGAGCAUACACCGAUGACUUUGGUCAGAUUUCUGUGCCUAAGACUGCGUAAGACUUCACAUUCUCUGGUGAAACUCUUGAAUGAAUAUUCCAACUGUAAAUUGAACACCUUUAUCGCCACACAAAUUCCAUUAGCUAGAAUCCCUUUGUAAACAGAUCCAAAACUUCCUAGUAAGUGGAUUUCAUCAUAGCCAUUGGUUGCUUGUAGGAGUUCAUAAUACGAAAUCCUUCCUUUUGCUGUCAAGGAUAACAAAUUUGUUCCAUUAGGAACCUUCUCCUUCUUUACGUAUCAAAAGAAAAAUAAAUGCCAAGGAUACACCAGCAAUUAUUGCUGAAACUCCAAACACUAUCAAUGUAGUUCGAAGCACUUCCUUUGUCCUUGAUCUGUGAAUUAAAGGAGUUUGGCAUGCUGGAACAUGAAACCUAGAUGAUCCACAUAAUGCAUCACUGGAGAUAAACGAUUCACUAGUGAAAUUCUUGAAAGGGCCGUUAGAUGGAAUUGCUCCUGUAAAUAAUUGAAAGAGACAUUGAAGUAGCUGAGCGAUUGAAGUGUUCGUGACAGGUCUAAAUAUUCCAAACUUAGCAUGUUACUGAUUGACUCAGGAAUUGUACCUUCAAAGUUGUUAUAUGCCAAAGAAAGAUGAUUCAAGUUUUCUAAAUCUCCAAUUCUGCUAGGAAUGUUAUUUGAGAACUGAUUCAACGACAAAUCUAUCCAUGUUGCAACCUUCACCUGUCCAAUCUCUAAAGGUAGAGAGCCAGUCAAGAAAUUCGAUGGCAGAAUAAAUCCCAAGAGAUCUUUGAGGCUCCACAAACUGUGAGGCACAUAAGGAGUUAUUCUGUUGGAAGCUAGAUAAAGACACCUGAGAGAAGUAAGAUUACCUAAACAUGCUGGAAUUGAUUUCCAAUCAGAUGUAAUAAAUUAAAGUACCGUAAGCUACACAAACUGUCAGGGAUAGUUCCGCUAACAUUUGCAACCCUCUAUAGAUAAUCCUUGAAGCAUUUGCAACCCUUUGACUGUACUUGGAAUUGAUCCAGACAAGGGAUUCUCUUGUAGACCUAGCACUCUCAAAUUGCUUAGAUUGCCAACAGUUUUUGGAAUUCUUCCCAUCAUUUUAUAGCCACCUGCAUAAAUCUUUUCUAUAGAAGAAGAAAGGUUUCCUAUAGAAACUGGAAGAAUACCAGUUAACGGGUUAUUAGCCACUGAAAUUUUUCUCAGGUAUCUGCAUUCUGUUAACGUAGUGAAGAAGCUUAACUCCGCCGAUGAAGAUUCAUUUGUUAAAUUGUUAUCAAACAGCACUAAGCAUUCAAGAAAUUGUAGAUUCCCAAAGACUAUAUAAAUUGGACGAGUGAGUCUGUUUCGAGCAAACUCUACAUGAGUGAGUUUAGAGGAGUUUGAGAUUGAGUCAGGUACAAUACAAUAGUCCACUGAGGUUAUUAGAGCAAGGUAAAGUUCUUCUAAAUUAGGCACACCUAAACCCAUAUCGGAUGGAAGAUUGCCUGAAAGACUGUUGGAAACAAUUGAAAGCACUCUUAAAGUUGAGAUGUUGAAGAUCCUGGUUGGUAUGGAACCUUUUAAACUGUUAAAUCUUAGGUUCAACACCUCCAAUGUCUGUAGGUUUCCAACCUCGUAGGGAAUUACACCUGCCAAAUUAAAACAGAUAGAACUCCUGAAAUGGAAUGUUUCGCAAUCCUGAAGAAACACAUCAUUUGCAAACGGAAGCAUGUUUAUUUGAUCAUGAAAGUUUCAGUUGUCUCAUGAUUGCUAUUCUCAAGUGCCAUACCUGUUAAAUUGUUUACACCAAGGUAUAGUUCUAUAAAGUGUAGUCAAAUUUCCAAUAUGUCUUGGUAUAGAGCCUUCAAUCUGGUUAUUCUCUAGACUAAACAGCAUUAGCUUUAAAAUACCUCCAAGCUUUUGCGUAUUUGUGCCUGCCAAAUUCAAGAUAAAGCGAGGAUAUAUAUGUUGGACCAGAAUAAUCAACUGUUUGUAACAAUAAAAGAUGCUGGAUGGACUGUGACACUGGCUUUGUUAAUUUUUUAACUUGACAAGAGAGGGAGUAGAUAGAAAUACAUAGGAGUUCAAAUUGUCACCAUCUCCGUUAGCAAAGCAAAACUUAUUAAUAUUUCUCUUGAAGUAGUCAGUAAAUUGUCACACCUGUCAAGUUGUUAUGCCCAAGAUAGAGCCGCUGAAGCCGAGUCAAAUUCCAGAUUUCUCUUGGGAUAGAUCCUAUAAUCUGAGGUUAUAAUCCAUGGCUAAUAGCUUUAGGUUAUAAAAAUUACCAAUCUCUUGAGGGAUUGUACUAGCCAAAUAAAACUAAAGUCUUGAGUUAAUGCACGAAAUUGGAACUAGGCAUUGGUCCCCGUGGCCAUCUCGUCAUACCCAUCAGGUUGUUUAGGUAUAGAACCCGUAAGCAGGUUAAGAAGUCAAUUGUUUGGUGAGCAAUUUUUAAGAAAUAGUGAUACACAUUGUAGUUUUAUUAGCACAAAGUAAUUAUACCAGUCAAUGAUGAAUGAUCUCAUAUCGUAUGCAAUGUGAAUUGAAACAUUGGCAAAUUUGGGAAGGAAAUAACAGGUUGGGGGAUACCUAUUAGGUAAAAGGAGUCAUAUAAUAAAUUUGAAUGUAUGUCCAACAUUUGCUAUAUUUACUAGACAAAGCAUUAUUAAUGUAGGUUUGUGCAAGCAGAAGUGAGGACAAACCAAAUUGGGUUAACGUAUUAUCUCUCACCAAAAUUUAAAAGCAGAAGUGAGGAGUUUUUAAUGAAAAUUUUUUGGUAGAUAUUAUUAAUACACAUCUAACAUCCCCACCUCUUGAUCGUUUGCUAAACCAAAUGUAGAAAAGAUCAAGAAACAAAAAGAUAAAGAGUAAGCAGUGCUGUCUUUAUAUUCACAAUCUCACACAUUCAUUAUACAGAUAAUAAAUAAGAAGGCAAGACACAGAAGAUGUCCAAACUAAAGAAAUACAAAAUAGAGGAAGCAGUGCUGUCCACAAACUAGAGAAAGGGUGCAGCCACCGCGGCUGCUAUUGCUAGGAAUGAUUAUGUCUUCUUCUUCUUCUCCUUCUUCUCCCAUAGCUGGUCCUCUCUCCAUUUCCUAUCAUCUGUGUAGUAACCAAUGAGAAUUUCAGGAAUGUGUGCGAUUCUUCUGUAAUCUUCACUUUCUUCCUUCUGAUUCUCUAACAGCUUCUCUCUCAAUUGAGAGCUCAUCUCAUACAAAGUCAGCUCUUGAAGAUGGCUCAAGUGCUGAAUACCCAAAGGUAAUUCCUCCAGUAAUGGAAGUUGUUCCAGAAAUAGGUCUUGGAGACGAGUGAUAGGUCAUUAUUUGUCGCUAAAUCUAUAAUUAUUCUUCCCUUGAUUUCAGCCAAAUAUUGCGUUAAUUGAUGGAUUCUACUUAUAUUUGGUUAAUGGUGCUAAAUUGUAGGAAAAAGAGCAAAACGUGACAAAAAGGGGCAAUCUUCCAAUUAAUUUGAUGGUAGCACGUUCGGGAUCGAUUUCCAAGUUCGAUUCAAACUCUGGGCAGCUUUAGAGGAAGAUUUGGAAGACUUGAAUUCUAAUUACUAGUCUUAUUGUUGAAUUAGGAAACUUGAAAUACUUUCUUUUGUGGUUUAUUUUGCUAUUUAGGAAACUAGUUCUAUUUGGUAGUAUUUUUCCAUUAGGAAACUAAGGAAAAAGCCACGGUUGUUGACCUUGGAAAAGUGGGGACCAUUGCAAUUGUCUUCCAAUAUUGCUUUGAUCGAAAUUGAAGGGAGAGAAGGCUACAAAAGGCCAGCCGACUUUGAAGAGGAGGAAAAGGACGGAUCCCGCGGGAUUACUACUUAGCCAGGGAUUUCACGUGAUAACUGGGGAGCGAAGGGAAUAAGAAAAGGAAGUGGCUCUGGUCCGCGGAGUAGAAAGAACGCAGCCGCUUGGCUCUGGUCCGCGGAGUAGUUCCUCCAUUGUAAAACAUUGACGCAAUUUCCUUCAAUGGAAUUGCGUGAGUUACUCUCAAUGGGGAACUAAACCUCCCAACUCUAGUCAAGGGAACAACUGAUGAAUUGGUUCAAUUAAUACUGUGAGAUCUAAACCAUUGUUAAUUGUUUUCUUCAUUUAUUGAUAUUUACAUAUUCCUUGCUCUUAACUGCUAUAGCCUUGUGUAUGAUUGGUUAGUGCGCAAUAAUUAAUUAUUCACAUAGGCUAUUUUGCUAUAUAGGGGUAAUUGAAUCCGUAAUUGUUCGUUACCUUUAUCCCAGUAGCAACUGGUAUAAUUGGGUUUAUGUCAGGGGAAUAUAUGAUCUAGCUUAAAUAAACCCUCGUAGCGUGUUUAUUGGUUAGGAUUGGGCCUUUCUAAUUAUUAAUGCAAUCUGGAAAUUAAAUCCUACGGUCGUACCUAGGGUUGUUUUUGGGUUAGAGAAAUAGCUAACGGUCGUACCUUAGCUAUCGAUAAAUUACGGAAGGGUUGGUUGUUUAGCGCGUGCGAGACAACUAUAACCAAUCUAUUAGUAAAUGUUGGAAUUAUAUUUGAUUCGAUGAUCAGUUGCAUGAACCAUUUCUGAAGUGCACCCUUGGCUAGAGUUUCUCUUAGUUAUUUCUUUUAAUAAAUUAUUUUCUGCAUUUGAUUUGUUCAGUUGGCAUUUGAUAUCAACACCCCCCCCAUUAAUCUUGAUUUGAAAAGAAACAAAUAUCUCUCCAGUCCCUGAGGAGACGACCCUGCUUACCACUGUCUACUAGUUAGGAAAUUCAGUUAAAUAAUUAAUUCAGGUAUAUCGGAUUAAGCAAACUCUUCGGGAACAGGGUGAAUCAAGUAACCCAUUGCACACCUAGAGUCCCUGCUCCAGUACUCGAAUUGAUUACUGACUGUUUCAGGUGGUAGUUAGGUUUUAUUUAUUAUUAUUGCACAGGUUCGGCACCUGUCAACGAGGCAAUGCACCCUCCUCCACUCUCAUCCGUCUCAACCCGGUGUUUUAGUGCUGGGAAUGUGUGCUGGGAAUGGUGUCAUUGUUUAGCUAAACCUUUCUACGGUUCAGAUGGGUUUGUACAAGCAGAAGGGAGGACAAAUUGGGAUUAUGUAUUCUCUCUCACCAAGAUCUGAAAGUUAUUAUCUGGAGAUUUUAAUAAAAAUUUUCUUGUAGAUAUUAUUAAUACACUUUUAACAUGUCUACCUCUUCAUCAUUUGCUAAACAAAAUAUAGAAAAGAUCAAAAAACACAAAGAUAAAGAGUAAUACUCUGUUACAGUACAUUAAAAAAACAUCACGCAUUAUACAUACAAUAAAUAAGAAUGUAAAACACAGAAGAUGAUGAACUUUCUCAUGCACAUCGAAGGGAAGAAAAAUUACUAAUAAAAAAUAAAAAACAAAAGGAGAGGAAGCAGUGUUCUCCACAACUAGAGAAAGGGAGCCACGACUGCUACUGCUAUGUUUUCUUCCUCUCCACCCACAGGUUGUGGCGUCUCCAUUUCCUAUCAUCUGUAUAGUAACCAAUGAAAAUUUCAGGAAUAUGUGCGAUUCUUGUGUAAUCUUCACUUUCUUCCUUCUGAUCCUCCAACAGUUUCUCUCUCAAUUGAGAACUCAUCUCAGACAAAAUCAGCCGUUGAAGAUUGCUCAAGUGCUGAAUACCCAAUGGUAAUUCCUCCAGUGAUGGAAGUUGUUGCAGAAAUAGUUGAUGGAGACGAGUCAAUGCACCCUCCUCUACUCUCAUCCAUCUCAACCCUUCCAUUCUCUUUAGGUGCAACUCCUUCAGCUUUAGAAACCCUCCAGCCUUGAAGCACAACCCUUCUCCCUGGUAAGAUCCGCAGAAAUUAAUUUCACCCAAAUUGGGCAAAUGUUGGAAGGAUUCAAGCGGAUCCUCCUCGCCCGUUAACCUGCUCCAGUCCAAAUCUAUUCUUACCAAGCCGUGAAGACGAGCUACCCAUUGUGGCAUCUUUUCUAAGCGGCCGCACAAAAUUAGCAUACGAAGAGAUUGAAGAAACGACGAAGAAGAAGAAGGAUGAUGAUGAUUUAGAUCAAUUAUCUCAUGAUCAUCACCUUUUCCAAUUGAAGUAACGCUUAAUUCCCGAAGACUGGAGAGGUUAGCAAGGGAGGAGCAGAGCUCCUUUCCAUCUUCUCUUCUUAACUUUGUAAUAGAUAACUCUCUUAAUUGGGUCAGCUUUCCUAUCUCCUUAAUUAUUGUGGAUCCACUACUAGCAUCUAUGCUGUCUAAUACUUCUAGGGCAAGAAGCCCUCCCAUAUUCGAGGGAGCUUUAAAUCCAUGAUAUCCAUAAUCAUCAUCUGAAGUAUCAACUUGUUGAUAUACUCUGAGAACACGAAGUUUUUGCAGCUUUAUGAUUUCAAUAGGUAAUUCCCUAACUCCGGUUUUUCCCAAAUUCAGAUACUCCAAAUGUUGAAGUUUCCCAAUGGCUUUCGGGACUCUCUCCACUCUUGUACCCCAUAGGUCUAGAUGCUUGAGAUGAAACAAGUUGAAAAUCUCAUUUGUUAUUUCCUCCUCUAUGUUUUGACCACGGAAAUCCAAAACCUUUAACAACUUGCUACUCCCUAAAACUUCAGAUAAUAACAUUUUGGAUAGUAGCGGAUCCGUGGAUCCAACAGUAACGAAAGACCGAAGGUGGUCAAAGUAAUAAUCUCGCCUUUGUUGGUGGUGCUGGGUGUUGUCAUUGCUACUACUAUGGACUACUAGACGGCGUACCUUUUCGGAUGGCCACGUCGCCGGUUGCCCAGUAGUAACUGUGACCAUGUUUUGUUCCCUUGACUUGAGAAGAAUAACUUCUCUCAAUAGGUCAUGGAUUCGACAAGUGUCGGGAAAUCCUUCAUAAAACACACGGGUCACUUGAAUUAGGCUUCUGCUGAUGAGUUCACUGAGAUAACGCAAGGCUACAUCUUCAAUACUCAUUCCUUCUCUCCAUUCGACAAACCUUUCAGCAAUCCACAAAUUAAUGAGUCUAUAGCAAUUUAUUUUGUAAUCCUCUGGGAAGAUACUUGUGUACAACAGACAUGCCUUUAGAUGCCAAGGCAAAUCACCAUAACUAAGAGAGAGUAUCUUUCUAACUCUGUCUAGCUUACCAGUGCCUUCUAAUUCACCACCAAGACUGCGUCGAACCAUCUCCCAUUCCUCUGUUCUGUUUACAUCUUUCGAAGCCAAAAGCCCACUGAUUGCAAGAAUCGCAAGGGGCAAGCCCUCACAUUUAUCCAAUACACCUUUGGCAACAUCCAUCAAAUGGCCAGGGCAGUUACCUCCGUCAAAGAUCUUGUUGCAAAACAGGGUCCAUGAAUCCUCAAUAGAUAGUGGCUCCAUUCUGUAGACAAGACCCCGAGAUUCAAUGGAAGAGGCACAGGCUACAUCAGAUUUUCGAGUUGUUAGCAUGACACGGUUGCCGCGGCUAUUCUCGGGCAGAGCAAAUUUGAUGGUAUUCCAAAAUUCCACGUCCCAUACAUCAUCAAAAACAAUUGCAUACCUUCCAGCUUGUUGAAGAAAAUCUUUGAUAAAUUCUUUCAGCUCGGUGGUAUUCAAAGACUCGAUCGAUUGUGGGACUGGUUUCUUCCCUUCCUUGUGUAACUGCCUAAUCAAGUCUUUUAGGAGAUCCUGAAAGUCACAUGUUUGAGAGACAGUUGCCCAAGCACGAACUGGGAAAUGCCUUCUGACUUCAGGAUCCUCAUGGACUUUUUUCACUAGGGUAGUUUUGCCAAGUCCGCCCAUACCAACCACUGAAACAACUUUCAGUUGGUGAUCAUCGCCUUCGAGGAGCUGAGAAAUAAGACGUUUCUUGGGCUGGUCAAUGCCAACUAAUUUAGCUUCUUCCACAAGCAGUGCGUCAUCUCUGUUAUAGCGCCAUGUUGAGUUGUUCACAGCAGAAAGUGAGUGGGACGCUUGGGCGGAGAUACCAUAUUCGGAUUGGUAUCUUUGAUGGCCUUCAGAAAUACUUUUGAUUCUGGAUUUGAUGCUUUGUAUUUCGCUAGCAACUCGAUGACGAGCUCUCAAAUUCUUGAUGGAGCUGAAAAUUCUCCGAACAGAGCCGUAGAAUCCUGUUGCGCGAUGCCGAGCAAAGCGAGCUACGAAGUCAUCAAGAAUGUCCUCAGUGUCAUAAGCAGCAUCUCGCACUUGCUUGAUCCAUUGUUGGAGCGUGGGUUGAGCAUCUUCUUCUUUUGCUUCUGUCUCUCGCAGGAAAGCUCUCAUUUGCUCCAACUCAUCCCUGAUGAAUUGAACCUCUUGCCGAACCCCUCCCAAUAGUCGUCCCUCCUCGCGCAGAAAAGUUGAGACUUGAUCCAGCACAAAAGAGAGAACUGUUUCUGCCAUUUUCAGUCUUUCUUUCUAACUUAAGAAUGUCGGGGAAGGCGGCUUCUGGUUUAUAGGACAGUCCACUUGUAGUAUCUUGAAAGGAAGAAGGAAGAGGAGGCUAUAGAUUCAUAAGCUGAUGAACUUCGAUGCUAUUUGGUGCAGUAUAUAUCAAAAAGAAACAGAAAGAAUUAGCCAAUUAGAAGAAACUAAGCAAGAAACAUGAUUGUGAAAAACGAAGCUGCCUUACCUGCCACAAUAUAAAAUCAUGGAAGCCAUUAAGAAGACUGUGUUUGCACAUGCCUUCGGGACCUUCUUUCAACUGUGGGUCCUUUGGUGGGAUAAAGAUAAAGGAGCAUCUUUCGCGAGGGGAAGGAAUAAAGUUAAAACGCGGUUGGACUGGACAUUAUUGAUUUCUUCUAACGAAGAAAUAAAAACUACUGCAAAAUGUUUUGCCCCUUCUGCGGACUAAUCUCUGCUGGCAUUUUCCUUCCCUCCACUAUGCAAUUAUUUAUUUUGGUGAUAUUCGUGCCAAACACAUUGCUCUAAACAAUCAAUUAAUGAAGGGAAUCCAUUGAGUGUCACUCGAAUUUUAUAGUCUCGUUACUUGCGUAUCAACUAUUAUUUGAUAAUCUAAUAUAUCUUUUGAUUGGGAAUUGAAAAAUAAAAUUCCUUGUAAGUGUAAAAACUGACCUAAUAUGUCUAAUAAAUUUUUAUACGACCUAAAACUAUAUUAGUUUGGAAACUAACUUUAUUUUUCAAUUAUUGUAAAUGAUUUCAGAGGACUAAUUUUUGUAAACUUUAAUCCUAAUUACAUAAUGACAUUUGUAUCUCUGUAUCCUCAUUAAAACAUACACAAAAACUAUGUAAACAUAUUUUUUUAUGUUCAAUAUAUUAUCUAGACACGGACUAAUUCAAAUAUUGGAGUAGAGAUGUUUUACUUUGUUAAUCAAUAUUAGUCCAAGCAUAUUAAUAGAGACGAAAAAAUAAUGCUACAUGAGUAUGUAAGCCCUCUUUUUCUCUUUCACUCUUGUACGCAGCUAUUUUAUUUUCGUCUUCUUCAUUUUUUUUUGAAAAAAUCAUUCUUAAUUAAGAAAAUUAGCAUUAUCCUACUCAUAACUUCAUAAGUCAAAAGAUCAUGCAAAGUAAAUUAAAGAUCUAAACACUACACAAGAAUCGGAUUAUAUGUCAGGAAUUCAAAUCCCACAACCUAUAUUUAAAAAAUUCUAGAUGAUGUGUCAAGGCAUCUAUAUAGUUUAGAUGAUACUGCUCAUUUAAUUCAAUUCGGUCCCUGUUAGUAUAGAAUAGUGCUAUUCUUAAUGUUGAAAAAAAUAUUAAAAAAUAAAUUGUUUGGAUAGGGUAUUAUUUGGAAUAAAUACUGUAGCACUGAUAGGGUGUUAAUUGUUGGUUAUUUUAUUGUUAAUUUUCCCCUUUAUCCUUGCCAAAUAUUGUUUUAAUUAUUAAUAUUUACUUAUAUUUGGUAUUGGACUCAAUUUCAGGAAGUGAAACAGAAAACUACAAAAAUGGUUGUGCGGCGGGCUGGAGUGGUUGUGCGAUGGGCGAGGGAGCUUCAGCCGUGGACUGCUGUGAGCUGCGGGCGACAGCGGAGAGCUGGGAUGCGGAGAGCCGCGCGCGAGAUGGCGGCGGGCACAGAGGACGACGGGCUGAGCAGCGUCCGUGGCAGGCUGGGUGCGUGCGGAAGAGAGGAAAGGGAGGGCUGUGGCGGCGGGCCGCUGCUUCGGACGACACAGAGGAACAGGGGAGAAGGAAGAAAGAAAGAAGAAGAAGAAAGAAAGAAAGAAAAAGAAAGAAAAGAAAGAAAAGAAAAGAAGAAAAAGAAAAAGAGAGAAAUUGCUGUUUUUUUUUUUCAAAAAUGUUUCUUUUUUUUUUCUUCCAAUUAUGAGGCUCUUUGAGCCACGGAAAUAAUUUUUCGUUCUUUUUUUUUUUUUUUGGAAAUUGAUUUCGACUUUUUAAUAUUUUUUUUUUUUUUUUGAAAUUUGGAAACUAAAGCUACGGUGAUAAGAAAUGUUUAUUCUAUUUUUUUCUUUUUUUCUCUUUAUUUUUUUGAAUCCUUACCUUUCCCGCGAACGUGACGCGGGUGCGUCAUGAGGGCAAGAGAGCUCCCAGAAGUUUGUGAAGUUUCUGAUCGUGAGCUUCCUGCACAUCACCACGCGGGCGCGUCAUGACUGAAGGGCACCUAUAAAUCAGCAAAAAUGAAAAUUGAAACCCAAAAUCAGUCGAAUUCAAGGAGAAUACAUCUAAACUACCACACGAAAAUGAACAAACAAUUAAAAGGAACAAUUGGGUUGCCUCCCAAGGAGCGCCUUUCUUUAAUGUCUUUGGCUAGACAUUAUCAUGUUUUGCUCAUGGAGGAUAAAAUCUUGUGGCUCGUCUUACUGCUUCAUCCUCUAUAUAGUCCUGAUAACCCUCGUAAAUAGAAUAAUCCUUGAGCAUACGAGCUACGGGCUUCCAUGGACUAGUGAAUGGCGCCAAACGAGUCGAUGAUAAUUUACAUUCUCCAUUCACUCCUCCCUCACUUGCAUUCAUUGGUUCAAGAUAUUUUGCCAUCUCCACUCUUAACUUAUUUCUGUCAUGAAAUUCAAAAUUGUUGGAUUCAUUCACUUGAACGAGUUGAUCUUGGAGUCUCAUUUCUUGCACUUCAGCUUCCUUUUCAACUGCAUCUUUAAAUCCGUUUUCUUGAAACUCUUGCAGUUCCAUGUCAUUUGGCCGGAUAAUUGCACUCUCAUCUUCCUCAAGAUUGAUAUUGGUUUGUGCGGGCAAUUCUUCCAUUUGAGGAGCCAAUCGAUUUAUUCUGGAUGUCAAUAGACAUAGUUGAUCUGCCAGAUCACGAAGGCUCGCUUGUGUCUCCUGAUGAAAUCGAUUUAGGCUCGCUUGUGUCUCCUGAUGAAAUCGAUUUGUAUUAGCAAUUAGUAAUUCCAUCAUUUCUUCAAGAGACAUGCCUAACACGGAGGAUGAUUGCUGAGACUCUUGCUGUUGAAAAUCCAUUGGCCCGGUCGCAUAAUCAAAAUUGGAAUUAUCCCACCAUCCUUGAUCAUACCCGUUUGAAUAAGGGUCAUGCUGCGUUUGAUAUUGGGGUGAAAAAUCUCCAAAAGUAUCAAUUGGAGCACUUAGAUUAUCUUGAAAUGCGGGGCAUGUGUCAGUUGAAUAACCUGAGUCAAAAUAAGUUCCACAAUUUGCAACAGCCCAUUGAUCAUUAGGAAAAACAUGAGUCUCAUCACCCCAUUCAGGAACAAAGUCCAGUCUAUCAUCAAAAUAUGGAAUGUUAGCAGCCAUAAACUAUAAAAAAAAUAAGAGAAAAUAAAUUAAAAAUGAGAACAAGGUGAACUCAAAAAGAAACAAAUUAAUCUGACACCAGUCCCCGGCAACGGCGCCAAAAUUGACAGGUGCCGAACCUGUGCAAUAAUAAUUACCUACUCAAGAAAAAUAUAGAUUUUGUAUAUAGCGGCGAGCAGGGUCGAAUCCACAGGGAUUGGGGAUAAUUCGUUUCUUCUAGAGUCCAGAGUAUGGGAGGUUCUUGGAUUAAAUGCUAACUAAAUAAAUCAAGUGCAGAAAAUAAUUGAUUAAAAGAAAUAAUUCAGAGAAACUCUAGCCAAGGGUACACUUCAGAAAUGGUUCAGGCACUGAUCAUUGAUGCAGAAAUAAUUCCAACAUUUAGCAAUAGAUUAGUUAUAGUUGUCAUGCACGCGAUAAACAACCAACCCUUCCUUAAUUUCUCGAUAGCUAAGGUACGACUGUUAGCUAUUUCUCUAACCCAAAAAUAACCCUAGGUACGACCGUAGGAUUUAAUUUCUAGAUUGCAUUAAUAAUUAGAAAGGCUCAAUCCUAACCAACAAACACGCUACGAGGGUUUGUUUAAAUUAGAUCAUAUGCUCCCCUGACAUAAACCCAAUUACGCCAGUUGCUACUGAGGUAGAGAUAACGAACAAUUACGGAUUCAAUUACCCCUAUUUAGCAAAAAUAGCCUAUAUGAAUAAUUAAUUAUUGUGCACUAAUCAAUCAUACACAAGGCCAUAGCAAUUAAAAUCAAGGAACAUAUAAAUACCAAUAAAUGAAGAAAAUAAUUAAAACAGAUUCGAUCUCACAGUAAUUGUCGAACCAAAUCGUCAGUUGUCCCCUUGACUAGAAAAGCUUAACCACGCCUCAUGAGAAAAUCUCCCCGUUGGGGAAUAUUGUCGAAUACCUGGCGUGUGUCACCUGGCGUGUGUCAGAGGCCAGUCCAAAGAAAGAAAACUAGAACUAAACUAAAAAACUAAAACUAAAGCCCUAGAUAUCUUUUGCUUCUGUACGUUGUCCCCUUUUAAAGCAACAAAAGAAAGAUGACUAAAAGCUAUCUAGGUGGUCCCCACACAUGUGGACAAAGCCUCCCAAGUACUUCUUGUUCCAAGUCUCUCUACGUUACUUUCUUUGAAGCCCAAAUGACCAAAUGCCUUUCACUAGCUUGUGGUCCCCCACCAAUUCAAGGGCCCAAGGAUUGAAGCCCUUAGAAGUCUCCAUAUUUUUCACAAAGUCCCUCCUUUUUGGUAGUUUUCUGCUUCAUUCCUGAAAUUGAUUCCAAAUACCAAAUAUGAGUAAAUAUCAGCAAUUAACACAAUAUUUGUCAGGGAUAGAAGGGAAAAUUAAUAAUAAAAAUACUAACAAAUUAUACCCUAUCACCUUGGUGGUUCUCUCCCUGUGGAGAAAUCCCCAUCGAUGCAUCAGGCCUGAAAUAAUGCUUGAUGAAGUUUCUACGAAUGAGCACAACCACAGAAAUUGAGAAAAUGAAGUUGGUGACAGAGGACUUUUUCAAGCUACCAUUACAACAGAAGAUGGCCUAUGCACGACUGCCAAAUGAUGUUGAAGGAUAUGGUCAAAUAUUUGUGGUAUCAGAGGAUCAAAAGCUUGACAGGGGGGACAUGCUCUUCCUCUGCGCAUUGCCAGUUUCUCAAAGAAAUAUGAGAUUCUGGCCUACGACUCCAACAUCUCUCAGGUAGACAAUGGAUAAUACACAGUAUCACAAUAAUCUUUCCCACUUCUGCAGUAAUAUUAUACACAGUAUCCAAAUGAUGUUGAAGGCUAGCCUUGUUCGUCAAGCUCCUCUGCUUACAGAAUUUCCCAUUCGUCAUGGGAAUCUAUCCUCUAUUUUUUGCGCAACAAAGAUUCUUUAAACUGGCAAUUUAGAAGCCAAUUGGAAUACGCAAUUUAGAAGCCAAUUACGAGUCAAGAGUCUUCCCGUAAGAAGAAUUUGUCAGGAUUUAGUACUAACAAGUUUAGAGUGACUUCUAACAAAAUGAAUAUUCGUAUUUCUUAAUAUAUAGUUAGCUUUAAUUAUCAUGCAUAAGAAUAUAAUAAUUGGAGAUAAUUUUAACACAUAUAAUAAUUGGAGAUGAAGAAAAUGAUUGUUAAAUAUAGGUGUAAAUGUGUAAUUUUUAAUUUUGAUUACCAAUAAUAGAAGAAAUUUUUAAUUUUAAUCUCAGUGCAAAAAGAUUAUCCUAGAAGAAAUUUGGUAGGACCUGCUAUUUAUUAUCCAGCUGGGGACUAACUCUCACUUUAACACUAUUGUUAAUGUAGGUUUGUACAAACAGAAGUAAGGAUAAACCAAAUUGGGUUUGCAUAUUGCCAAUACAUUUCUAACCUGCCUACUUCUUGAUCGUUUGCGAAAUCAAUUAUAGAAAAGAUCAAGAAACAAAAAAAAAAAAAAUAAGAGAGUAAAAUACAGUACAUCAAGUCGUUAACAACAUCACACAAUAUACACAAUGUAGUAUACAAUAAAUAAGGUAAAAUACAAAAAAAAAAAAGAAAAAGAUGCAAUGUCGUCUACAUUCCACAACCAGAGAAAGGGAAGCCACGGUUGCUAUUGCUGCUGCUGCUGCUUGUUAGGAAAGAUUAUAUGUUUUCUUCUUCUCCGCCCACAGCCAGCGGUCUCUCCAUUUCCUAUCAUCUGUGUAGUAACCAAUGAGAAUUUCAGGAAUGUGUGCGAUUCUUCUGUAAUCUUCACUUUCUUCCUUCUGAUUCUCCAACAGCUUCCCUCUCAAUUGAGAACUCAUCUCAUACAAAGUUAGCUCUUGAAGUUGGCUCAAGUGCUGAAUACCCACAGGUAACUCCUCUAGUAAUGGAAGUUGUUCCAGAAAUAGUUUUUGGAGACGAGGCAAUGCACCCUCCUCCACUCUCAUCCAUCUCAACCCUUCCAUUCUCUUUAAGUGCAACUCCUUCAGCUUUAGGAACCCUCCAGCUUUGAAGCACAAUCCUUCUCCCUGGUAAGAUCCACAGAAAUUAAUUUCACCAAAUUGGGCAAAUGUUGGAGGGAUUCAAGCGGAUCCUCCUCACCCUUAACCUGCUCCAGUCCAAAUCUAUCUUACCAAGCCGUGAAGACGAGCUACCCAUUGUGGCAUCUUUUCUAAGCGGCCACACAUAAACAGCGUACGAAGAGAUUGAAGAAACAAAGAAGAAGAAGAAAGAGAAGGAUGAUUUAAAUCGAUUAUCUCAAAAUCAUCACCUUUUCCAAUUGAAUCAACACUUAAUUCCCGAAGACUGGUGAGGUUGGCAAGGGAGGAGCAGAGCUCCUUUCCAUCUUCGCUUCUUAACUUUGUAAUAUAUAGCUCUCUUAAUUGGGUCAGCUUUCCUAUCUCCUUAACUAUUGUAGAUCCACUACUUGCAUCUAUGCAGUUUAAUACUUCUAGGGCAAGAAGCCUCCCAUAUUCGAGGGAGCUUUAAAUCCAUGAUAUCCAUAAUCAUCAUCUGAAGUAUCAACUUGUUGAUAUACUCUGAGAACUCGAAGCUGUUGCAGCUUUAGGAUUUCCAAGGGUAAUUCCCUAACUCUGGUGUUACCCAAAUCCAGAUACUCCAAAUGUUGAAGCUUUCCAAUGCUUUCGGGAUUCUCUCCACUCUCGUACAGGAUAGGUCCAGAUGCUUGAGCUGAAACAAGUUGAAAAUCUCAUUUGGUAUUUCCACUUGACUAUCCAGUUCCAAACCUUUAACAGCUUACUACUCUUGAAAUUUCAGAUAACAACAUUCUAGACAGGAGUGGGUUCGGGGAUCCAAUUGUAAAGAAUGACCGAAGGUGGUCAAAGCAAUAACUUCGUCUUUGUUGGUGGUGCUGGUGUUGUUACUGCUACUACUACGGAGUACUAGACGGCGUACCUUGUCGGACGGCCACAUCGUUGGUUGUCCAUCAAUGACUGUGACCAAGUUUUGUUCCCUUGACUUGAGAAGAAUAACUGCUCUCAAUAGGUCAUGGAUUCGACAAGUGUAGGGUAUUCCUUCGUAAAACACACAGGUCACUUGAAUUAGGUUUCUACUGACGAGUUCACUGAGAUAACCCCAAGCUACAUCUUCAAUACUCAUUCCUUCUCUCCAUUCUACAAACCUUUCAGCAAUCCACAAAUUAAUGAGUCUUCCGCAUCCUAUUUUAUAAUCCUCUGGGUAGAUGCUUAAAUACAACAAGCAUGCCUUUAGAUGCCAAGGCAAAUCAUUAUAACUAAGAGAGAGAAUCUUUUUAACUCUGUCCAGCUUACCAGUGCCUUCUAAUUCACCUCCAAGACUGCGUCGAACCGUCUCCCAUUCCUCUGUUCUGUUUACAUCUUUCAAAGCCAAAAGCCCACUGAUUGCAAGAAUCGCAAGGGGCAAGCCCUCACAUUUAUCCAAUACACCUUUGCAACAUCCAUCAAAUGGCCAGGGCAACUAUUUCCCUUAAAGAUCUUGUUACAAAACAGGGUCCACGAAUCUUCAAAGGACAGUGACUCCAUUCUGUGGAGAUAACCUAGAGAUUCUGUACAAGAGGCAGAGGCUACAUCAGCUUUCCGAGUUGUUAGCAUGACACGGUUGCCGUGGCUACUCUCGGGCAGUGCAAAUUUGAUGGUAUUCCAAAAUUCCACGUCCCAUACGUCAUCAAAAACAAUUGCAUACCUUCCAGCUUGUUGAAGAAAAUCUUUGACAAUUUUUUUCAGCCCAGUGGCGGUCAUAGACUCUAUCGAUUGUGGGACUGGUUUCUUCCCUUCCUCGUGUAACUGCCGAAUCAAGUCUUUCAGGAGGUACUGAAAGUCACAUGUUUGAGAGACAGUUACCCAAGCACGAACUGGGAAAUGCCUUCUGACUUCAGGAUCCUCGUGGACUUUUUUCACUAGGGUAGUUUUGCCGAGUCCUCCCAUACCAACCACUGAAACAACUUUCAGUUGGUGAUCAUCCUCUUCGAGGAGCUCAGAAAUAAGACGUUUCUUGGGCUGGUCAAUGCCAACCAAUUUAGCUUCUUCCACAAGCAGUGCGUCAUCUCUGCUAUAGCGCCAGGUUGUGGUGUUCACAGCCGAAAGUGAGUUGGACGCUGGGGCAGAGAUACCAUAUUCGGAUUGGUAUCUUUGAUGAGCUUCAGAAAUACUUUUGAUUCGGGACUUGAUGCUUUGUAUUUCG
RNAcentral lists this long non-coding RNA (102739 nucleotides) under Coffea arabica (coffee). RNAcentral's name for it is "long non-coding RNA (CARA_LNC005532)". The stretch from base 22338 to 22444 matches the Rfam family "Plant small nucleolar RNA R71". Lineage: Eukaryota; Viridiplantae; Streptophyta; Magnoliopsida; Gentianales; Rubiaceae. The record is from RNAcentral.